UGCUUAGAACUAAUUAAGAGAGAUUCUAAUAUCAAUCCUAGUCGAUUUAUACAAAAGUAAGUUAACAAAUCAGAAUUGUCUAAAAUUAUAAGAUUUAUAGGCCAUAAUUCAUAAUUUUAUGGUUAAUGUAAAAGUUUGAAUGCUUUUUCCCAAUAAAGACGUGAAUUAUGACCUAUAAAUACAUUCAAAGUUUUCAAGUAAAUGUUUACGGGCUAAUGUAGAAUUUAACGAGAUUACAAUAUAUAAUUAUUAUAUAAUGUAGUCUCGUUAAAUCUGUUCAAUUGAUAGUUAUUCAGGGACAUCAAAUGCAGAGAUGCGGAUUCAAACUUAUGAUAUUUUAUUUGUUCAUUUUUAAAUGAUGAAUUUCAACCACUAAACCACUUAAUAAAAAAUAAUUUUUACCAAAAGGCAAGAUGUGUAAACUUAAAGACUCUUCGACCUAAUAUGCUUCUUCUUUUUUUGAAUAAAUUCUACUUUUUUUUAAUAAAAAAGUCAUUUCAUUAAAAGAUAACAAUCGAGCACAAAUUAGAAGCAUAAUUAAAGGUGGGUAUAAAUCUCAACCAUGUUUUAUAACAUAUUACAUUAUUAAUCUCAAUCAAAUGGUGGGCUUCAACAUUAAGGUUCCUACCAACAAACAGAACAGAAGCUGCAAAAUUCUUUAGAAGCAUUGUGCAAUCAAGUUUUAUGGGUUCAAGAAUGGCACAUGUCUUUAUCAUAUUCACACGAUCAACCACAAUGAAGGCGUCAGAAUGAACCAAGAUCCUCUUCAGUUUUAACUUCACUGCUACCUGAACUUUCCACCUAAUAGCUAGCGCUUCUGCAACGCUAAGGCAUGUAGAACUCUCAAUUUUAUUGCUUGCAGACAACACUACUCUCUUCUCAUUGUCUUUAAUUACAUACCUCCAAACCACAUAGUCAUUAAGAAAACACCCAUCAUUCACAUGAAUUGUAUGGAAAUCCUUUGGACAAUUGAGAACAUCACUUGUCUCAGCAAGUUUCUUCCUCACAGUCAGGCAGGGGUUAGAUUUGUUGAAUUCCAACACAUAGUCCAUAGCGCUUCUCGCUACAACAUCUGGGGCAGGAGCCUCAUUCUUAAACACCCAUAAAUUUCUCGCGUUCCAAAUUUUCCAAAGGAUUGUGCACACCAAUUGGACUACAAAAGCCUCCUUAAGAUCAAAAUUUUCUCCAACCAAUCUAACAAACCAGAGUUUGUUAGAGUUCAAUGACCAAUCGAGGGUGAUAACCACGCCAUUUUUGAGAAAGCACAUUCCAAGAAUAUAUGAUGAGUGGUUUCAAGGGCUAUGUGGUAGAAGGAACAGAGAGUUUCGAGACAAAUACCUUUCUUUUGCAUAUUACCUUUGGUUGACAAAAUGUUUUUCCCUAACCUCCAGGUGAAGUUUUUUAUUCUCGCAUGGAAAAGGGCUUUCCAGAUUCUCUUCCACAACAUUGCAUGAGAAGGACUCAAGGAGUCUUCUUUCAUUGCUUCACGCUUUGCUCCCAAUAGGUGAUAUGUUUUGACUUGACUGUGUAUUCUCCCUUUUUUCCUUAUGCUAGAUCAAUUUAUCUUUUGGUCUUCUGAUAGAGAGGGGUAUACUGUUAAUCUACUUAGCUUCCUCAGGGUCGAAACAAGCAUCCACAAGGUCCUUGUUACAUUUGCAAAAGUCACAAUCAAUCAAUUCCUUCACCAAGGCAUCUUUAUUUAGACCUCUAGCUGCGCUGACAACUUUGAACCCAGGGUUAACCGGUAACUAAUUAUCCUUCCAAAUUCUGACUUUAGCCCCAUCCCCAAUUCUCCACCUCGAUCCAUCCAUGACCAGCUCCCUAGAACUCAGAAUACUAUGCCAAGCAUAACUAGGUGCAUGGCCCAAUUUCGCCUAUUGUAUAUAACAAUUGGGAAAGUACAUGUUCUUCCAAACAUCCCUAAAAAGAGAAUUACUCUCAAUAUGAAGUCUCCAUAAGUGUUUUCUAAGUAGACUUAAGUUAAAAUCUACAACCCCUAUAAAACCCAUACCUCCUAAACCUUUUGCUUUUUCCAUUUUGUCCCAACUCAUCCAGUGCAAUUUCCUCUCCCCAUUUUUAGCUCCCCACAAAAGCCUUUCCAUGAGCCCUUCAAUAUGCUUUCACACUCCUUUAGGGAGUUUGAAAAAGCUCAUAAUGUAACUAGGAAUAUCUUGAGCAAUUGCUUUAAUUAGAACUUCCUUUCUUGUUCUUGAUAGAAAACCUUCCUUCCAACCUUUCAUAUUCUUCCAAAUGCGCUCUAUAACAAUAGAAAACGCCUCUUUCUUUAAUCUUCCUAAUACAACCCGUAUACCCAAAUAUCUCGAGUGAGAUAGCACAGUCUUAACUCUCAUCCUGUUAUAGAUCGUAUUUUUAACUUCAUCACGCACAUUUCGACUGAAAGAGGCCUCAGACUUGUCAAGAUUGACCAUUUGUCCUGAAUCUUUUUUGUAAGAAGAUAUGACUUCCAUUAUUCUUUUUCUUUUGUAGAUGUAGCUCUUGCAAAAAGAAUACUAUCAUCGCAAAAAACAAGUGUGAAAUCUUUGGAGCUCUCCUUGCAACCUGAAUCCCAUGAAUGUUGUUUAAAUUAGAUUCCUUCUUCAGCAAGCCAGACAGAACAUUUGCACAAAGAUCAAACAGAUAAGGGGAAAGGGGGGUCCCCUUGCUGAAGACCCCUCUCUAGAAGGAACUUUUGACUAGGUUUCCCAUUGAGAAUGACUUGGUAUGACAUAUAAGAGAGAUGUACCUAUUGAUCAACUUCAAUAAUCUCUCUGGGAAUCCCAUAGCUUCUAACACUCAAACAACAAAACUCCACUCCACCUUAUCGUAUGCUUUCGACAUAUCUAAUUUUAGGGUCAUAACCCAUUUCUUCACUUUCGUCCUUUUCUCCAUCCAGUGGUAACAUUCCAUGGAAACUAAAGCAUUAUCAGUAAUGAGUCUCCCUUUGACAAAGGCACUCUGCUCUACAUCAAUGAUGUACGGAAAAAUGUGUUUUACCCUAUUAGCCAUCAUCUUCAACACCAACUUCAUCCCCAUAUUGCAUAAGCUGAUUGGCCAAAACUCCUUUAUGGACUUAGGGUUUUGGCACUUUGGGGUCAACAUAAUGAUGGUUUAAUUUAACUCAGCUGGCUCCUGAUCAUUGUUGAGGAUAUUCAACACCAUUUUCUUGACAUCAUUUCCUAUAAUAUACCAAUAUUUUUGAAAGAAAAGACCUGGUAGCCCAUAUGGACCUAAAGCCUUUAAGGGGUGCAUCUAGAAUAUAACUUCCUCAACAUCUUGUUCAGUGAACAGACCUUCAUACCAAGCUUUGCUUUCAUCACUAAGUUUUCCUUUAACCACCUCACAAGUUGUCUGAAUAUUUGUUGGACCAAAAGAGGAGUAAAGUUCAGAAAAAUGGGAGAGAAGGAUUCUCUUUCAAUUCUCCCUCCCUCUCCACUACACCUCAUCCUCGUCGCUGAGUUUGCAAAUAUUAUCUUUUUCCUUCUCUAACCCGUUUUUCCAUGGAAGAACUUCAUAUUUUGAUCUUCGUCCUUCAACUAAACCGGCCUACUACGUUGCCUCCAUAAAACUUCUUUCGCUUUCAGCAGGUUACUUAUUUCAUUCUCGAGGGAUUUGUAUGCUUUGAUAUUCUAUUUGCUAGGGGACCAUCUCACAUCAUCCUUCAAUAGAUCUUCUAUGCGCUUUAUCUCCUUUCUCACUGAUCCACACCUAUACUCUUUGAAAGUUUUCCCUAACCCGAACAUAACCCUCAACUUAUUAUAACCUGCAAAAGCGUUAGACUCCCAAGUUUGUCUCACGAUUCCUUUGCAUAUUCUGUCUCUAGACCACACAUCUUUGAAUCUGAAAAAUGUGUCAUUUGACCAUAUCCUCAGUCUCCACUUGUCUCUCUAACUCAAUUCUUACUGCAACAUGAUCUAACCCAUAGUGAGGAAGGUGCUCGCCUUAAUUGGUUGGAAUCUUGAGAUCUCAACGGAAGUUGUGAAGACUUUAUCUAAACGACAUAUUGUUAUAUCUUUCUAUCCCGUUAUACCAUGUGAAUGGGUACCCAUCAAAACCAAGAUCAUGCAAUCUAGAAGCCUCCACGACUUGCCUUCCCCAAUGAAAUUGACUAAUCGACCUAGAAUUUCAGCCUUCUUUUUCAUUGUUUGCUAAAAUGUCAUUGAAAUCGUCGAAGUAAAGCCAUUUGGCUUCAGUCUACUGUUGAAGUUGUUGAACUAAUUGCCACAUAUUCCUCUUAUUAUUCUCCUCGGGGUAUCCAUAGAUACACGAGAGAAACCAAGGAUGUUCAUCUUAUUCGUCUACUACAGGUCCAUUGAUAUGAUUUAUAGAAAAGGAGGUAAUUGUGAGCUUUAAGUUUUCCUUCCACAACAGGGUGAUACCUCCUACUCUAUCUUUUCCCUGACCACUACACUCCAUUAUGAAACUUUAAUCCAUACCCCUUUUAAGCUUAACAAUUAGCAUCUCCUAUUCUUUUAGUCAAAUUUCCAUCAUAAAGAUCAGGGAGGGGUUUUCCAAACAAAUUAGCCUCAAUGAGGCUUGAACUGCACGGGGGUUCCCCAAACCUCUGUAGUUCCAAUGGAAAAUUUUCGUUGGAUUAAGCGGUGUUGGUCUUACAAUACCACCUAUAUAUUUUGAUAUGAUACUUCCUUAUUUUCUAUCCCCUGCUUCCUUUUCUUACCAUAGCUCCCUAAAUCACCCAGUGACCUAUCCAUAACCAUCACAUCAACUAGGUUUCUCUUGCCGUUUUCAAACUCAUUGUUCUUCAAAUUAUUCUUACUCGCCCUCUUACUGGAUUUCUCCCUACUCCAUUUAUUCCCUUUGUUCUUUCCAUGGAUUUCUAGGGCCUUGUCUAACAAGGGGUUGUUGUUGAUGGCUAUAUCACCCAACAAACCUGCCACUAUUUCAAUCUUCAGUUCAUCUGAAGUUGAUUUUCCAUUUCCCACUUUCUGAGUGACUCCAGGUUUCCUUUUUACCUCCCUAUCCCGCAUGACUUUUGUUUCUCCUUUUUCUUCCCUCUCUUUUGUACCACAUAUACUUUGGCUUGAGGAUAGAUUGAAGAGGAUUUUACUGCAUGUUCCAAAACUUAAUUCCUUGUUUCUCUGCUCUUCAUAUACCAUUGGCAAUGGGUAUUCCCUUAACCACAUCCCAUAAGAAAGCUCUUGUUCAAAAACAUCUUCAUACCCUUCCUCCCCCAAAUCUCCCAUUGACUCGCAAUCCUUCAGUUGAUGCCUUGCUCUUCCACAGACAAAACAGAAAGUAGGGAGUCUUUCAUAUUUGAAAAAACCCUAUGAAUUUUCUUCUUAAAACAAACUAACGUACCCCUUUCUAAUGGUUGCUUCAGAUUCACAGUUGCCUUUAUUCGAAGAAAAUGCAUGUUUCGGUGGAUGUCCUUGGAGUCCAUCUCUUCAAAUGUUCCAAGAGUGUUUACAAUUUUUCUCUCCAUCGCCUCAUAUCUAAGAAUGAGGGGUAAAUUAUAGAUUCGUACCCAUAAUUAGUUAAAGUGAAUGUCCACACAGACGAUUGUUCUUCUUCAGACACUCUCCUCAACACCAAAAGAUUUCUAUCAAAGUUCCAGGGUCUAGUAUAGAAGAACAUGAAUGCAAUCUUAUAUAAAUAUAGACCUUUAUAUAAAAGUAUAGAAUAAGAUGAACCUAAAGUUAUAUAAAUCGGAGCCUUAAAGUCACUUUUAAAAUAAGGUCCUUAAAAUAUAUUUUAAAAUUUUAAUUUUGUAGUUUAACUAUUGUUAAGAGUUGAACUAAAGACCAAAAAUAUAUAAGAUCUUUCUUUUAUCCACUUCAUUAUGAAAAAAUAUGUAAAAUAUAUGUUGUUUUAUAUAUUUAUAACUAAACUAAACUUUUUGAAGUCUUUUUUGGCCCAAAAUUUUGAUGUCUAAAGUCCUUUUUGGUUCGCCUUACCCUUGGGCCAAUCCUGCUCUACUCCAAUACAAAGGUCUACUAAGCCAACGCUAUCUUCAAACAUGUCUUUAAUCUGGACAUAGACUUCCCUUAUUUAAUUUGAGGCAUGCACUAAUAUCUAGUAUAGUUGCCCUAACAAAAAUAAUCUUGGUCGCCUCGAUGUCUUCACAUGUCAUAGGGAAUGUGUGAUCAAUAACACCCACCUCCAUGUCCUUGUUCAUAAUGAGGGGGACUUUAUUAAUCAUAUUCUGCAAUAAUAUGCUAGGAGACAAACCACACAUCAACUAUAAAUAGAGGAUUUAACAUGAACCAAAAUAAUCUCAUUCCUACCCUAAUAUUCAGAGUUCUAAUAAUGUCACAAGGCGAUAAGAACUCCCCAUAAUCAUAUAUCUCAAGUUCUUAUUUAUAGUAUGUUGUUAGCAAGGUCCCCCACCUCGAUUUCAACAAGAACAUUUGACGCCUAUCAUGAGGCCGAGUAAACAUAAUCCCUCAUUCACAUAAAUAGUUGAUUCAAAUAAGAAGAUGACACAAACAAGAACACCCGAGGAAAGUGAAGCCCUGACCAUUAUUCGAGCUACCAUGGAUGAGUUAUGAUGUAAAAGUGAGAUCCUACAUAUGCAAGUAGAGGAAAACCAAUAAAUGGAUAUUAUUAGAGUGGUAGAACCACUUAUAUCCAAAUUCUUUUUAGGAUCCCUUAAAAAGGAAGCAUUAUUGUGGUACAUGAGUUUUAUCUCAAUACUCACUCACCAAGUACUCUGAUUUUUCUUAGAAAUUGGUGCAUCAAUUUCGAGAAACAAACAUCAAAUGAUAACAACAAUAAAAUUAUUUAAUGUGUUCUGUGUAAACUCAAAUACCGUAAGGGACCACCUGGUCUUAUUUAACGAGAUUACUAUUGGGAUUGCUAACCCUAAUCAAGAGAUGUUCAUGGGAAUAUUUCAAAAUAUAUUGAAACCCAUACACCUCAACGAGUGCUUAACGGAGAAGUUGACCGACAACAUGUAGGAAGUGAUGAAGUGGUCAUAAUGCUUCACCAAAGGAGAAGAAAACAAUUCUGAGAAAAUAAAUAGGGAUGCUAUGGAAAGAUAUCUUGAGCAAAACAACUUCCAAUGCUACAAGAAGGACACCUAAAGAACAAGUCAAGUUACAUGCCAGACAACAUAAGGCUUUAUGAUUUCCCAAAAAUCAUACUAAACAUUAUGAUAAUAGAGCUACUAAAAGAGACCAUACACACAAAGUUGAUAGAAAAACUAGCCAACCCAAAGGGCUAGUAUGACUACCACUAGGUGAAAGAUCACGACACUAACAAUUGUUUUCAUUUAAAAAGGGAGAUCGAUAGGUUGAUCCAAUAAGGAUAUUUGAAUAAAUACACAUAAGUUACUUGUUAAUCUUUUGCACUUAUAAUUAAUGAAUGUUUGAAACGAUCCAUAACUAGGAGGUUCAUAAGUAGUUUCAACCUUAUAUCCAAAGGUUGCAAAUGCAGAAAUGGUAUGAAACUUUUGUUUGAUAUAUUGUAUUGAAGGUGAAAAACACACAAGAAAAUGAGAGGGUUUGAAUUGCAUUGGAGUUUUAAAAUAUUUUCUAAAUGUUUAAGAUAAAAACUAAUUCAAACAAAACCGUUGAAGGUAAGGGGAUAAGGAAAGAGAAAUAGACAUAAAGAAUUUAUCAUGGUUCACCUCGACCAGCCAACCCCCCCCCCCAACAACUCAGAGUUACGUUCAGUCAGUAUGAUAUUUCUAGUCCAAUUGAGUUAUACCUUAGAUUUCUCAACAUUAAAUAACAAACUAAAACUUAGUAUCUUUAUCUUCUCAAAGAAUUAGACUACAACUUAGCCCUUAGAAAAAUACAAUCAAAUAAGAGAUAAUUUUUUGUGUUCAUAAAUAUCUCUCUGUGUAUGAUACACAAAAAUUAAGCACAAAAUACAAGUGUUUAAGCUUUCAACAUAAAAUGUGUAUGCAAUGAAGUCACAUAAUGCUUUGAGUAGAUAUUUUCAUUAUUCUUGAGUGGUGUAGAGCUUGUUCUCUAGAUGUUUGUUCUUGAAAGUUUUUUUACUUUAUUUUCUCAAAGUUGAUUCUUUCAAGUCUUGUGUGUAAUUAAUUAUAAGAGAAUUUGAGAAUAUAUAGAGUUUCCUUGAUUUUACCAUUGCAUGAGCCAGAAGUUGGAAUAAUAGUAGUUGUAGGACAUUGUACUAUCAAACCAGGAUAGUUUCACAACUUUAUACUCACAAUAGAAAUUGUCGUGUACUACUUGUACCUAUUUGUCGCGCACUACUUGUAUCUUGUCUACUAUUGCUAUUUGUCUCUCAAUUUUAAAUUUAUUGCGUUGAGAUGAAAAUCAUAAAAAUUAUUCUUUAAAGAAUAAAUUUUUAAACAUUAUUUUAUUAAUCACCAUAGGAUAAAUUCAUCAAAGGAUAACAAUUUAAUCUUCUAAGCAAAUCACCACAGUGUUGACUAUUAAACCUAGACUUGACUAAAUGAACAUAAUGAUACCAUGUGUAACUCUUGCUAAGGGUGAUGUUGAAAGCUUGUACCAUAAGGUAACAAAGCUAAGUCUUCAGCUUCAAGACACGUGUUUGGAUGGUGCUAUAUUAAAAUGAGUAAUAAUCAGUUUGAUAAAUGAUAUCUUUAUAUUCAUCUUUAAUUCAGGUGAUCAUUAUGUAGAAGCAGACUUGCAUGCUCUCUCUAGACUACAACAUUGGUUUUAGACACCUGUAACACAUAUUAGAGAGAAAAAAAAUUCUCUUACAUAUUGUUAAAUGGGUCAUUGUUCUUUCCAUUGGAGAUAAAAUUUAGGGAGCCUUUUGGUUACUGGUUAGAAAUUUUACAGAACUUUUUGCACACAUGUUGAAACUUCGUAGAGACGUUUGUCUUUAAGUAAUUUAAAUUUAAAAACUUGUGCUUGAAUGUUUAAAACUUUUGUAAGCAACCACCUAGUAGAGGAUUAAACACAAUGUGUUUGAUCAGCUAAAAAAUAAGGCAUUGGACAACACAACUCUAUUUGUCCUGCGUUUGAUUUAACAAAUGUUCACGAGACAUAACAAAAAUCAGGAUUAGAGAUUGGACAAAAAUUGAAAUUUUUGUCCCAAGCUAAAUCAAGACACGUGUACAAAAUAUUAAAAAAAAAUACUCUUUUAUUUUCUAUUAAAAAUACUCUCUCUCUCUCAUAUAUCUACUAUGUUCACGUGGACACGCCACAAUCUCAUUUAACGUUCACACAUCAACAAUAGUAACAUAUUAACAUGAUAGCAUAAAUAAUUUUCUUGAAAGAAUGCAUUUAAGUGUUUUGUAUAUUUGAAAUUUUAAGUUGACAUACAUUUCCAAUUUUGUGACCGUCAUACUGGUUUACUCAAUAAAAUAAAAACGUCCAUUAUCAUACAUUAUGAGUCUCAUAUUAAGAUGUCUUUCUUUAUUGAUUUUCGUUCGGAUGUCAAUAUGAAAUUAUCAAUCCUUUUAAUAUAUAUCUAGACUAGAUGAAUAAAUUUCCAAAACUCUGACUAGUAAAGUUAGUUAAACAUUUAUUAUUGAGCUAUUCUGCCACUAAAAGUCGUGGCUUACUACUUCUAUAAAAACAGACAUAUAGGCUAGGCACACAAAAUUUCCACAACUCAUUUUAAUGAUAGUCAGUUUUUAUUUUUAUUUUCUUACCGGAAGAAAUUGUUUUCAUUCAUUCAAAUUUAACAUCACUGAAAAUAAAAAGGGAUGCAUAUGGAAAUAAACUUACUUCAAUACAGUUAAUAAAAUAUAACAGUAAAAUACUUAAAGGGCAAUGUUAACUUGUGUCUUAAAUUUAAUACAACUUUAUAAUUCAUAUUUUUAUUGUUUUUUUCAAUAUAUAUUUUUUAUUUAUUGGUUUUUUAACAUGUGUCCUUGGGGCACAAGUUACCAUUACCCAUACUUAAAUAAUGUGGCUAUGAAAGUGAUUAAAACAUUGAAUGAAUUUGUGAUUAGUCGAAGUUAAUUUGUCAAUUUAAAUCAAAUAAACAUCACUUACUUUGUUUAUAAAUUUAAAAUUUUAAUUUGAUCUAUAAUAAAUUUAAUAGAUGAUUUUCAUAUUUAACAUCAUAUUUAUUCUAUCUCACACUAUAUUGUAUCUUAGGUUCGGCUUAUUUGAUUAGACCAUGUGAACAUUUAUCCGAAAGCUAAAAAGUUGAGCUACAAUUUACAUGUGGAAUCUAAAGUUCAAUUUAAACAUAUUUAUCAGAUGGCCAAAAAGUUCAACCUGCGAAGGAGUUCACUUCCCUAAUUUUGCAAUAUCUUAGGAUAUAAAUAAAAUUGUUAUAACAGUUGAAAUAUGUAGUUUCUAAAAAUGCAAAGGUGUGAUAAUUCUUAAUGAUUAAAGGUUAUCAUAAAUUGUAAGAUUGUCGUAUGGUUGAGAGCUAAUUCAUGUAGAGAUAGAUUUAUGUCUUAUAGUCAGGUUAGUCUAUCACGGUAUUGAGGUAUUUAUAAUCCCUAGGUCUGGACCACAAUCUUCUUAAGAUACAACAAUCUCUUCGGGAAUGGGUUGUUGACUCCCUUAAAAUUUAGGGAGCGUGAUUAAAUCUCACGACCCCCUAUGUAACGUCUAUUGACCUGAUACACGUUUCACACACGAUUGCGUAUUAUGGACAGAGACAGUAAGGAUUCAGGUGAUGUAAUCAGAAAGGGACUCUCGAACUAAUAAAUGAGAGACUUGGAAAGAAUGAUAGGCAAAGCGUCAUUCCCCCCCCCCCCCCCCUCUUAUGAUCUCUUACAAUUAUACCACUAUACAAACCCUCAAGCACGAGGGCUCGUAGAGGCCGAAGUAUUUUAACCCCUUACUCAUCUUUAGACUUUCUAUAGGAGCCUAGUCGAAGUUUCAAUUGAACCUUCUGAACGAGGUUUAGUUGAACGUUUGUGACAAGACUUAGUUAAGUCCCUAAGGCGAGACUUAGUUGAGUUCCAUAGGCGAGACUUCAAAUUUAAGGUGUCACCUUUGUGUGGUUGGUUAUAGGAUAUAUUCCUAGGUGUUAGUGAUGUAAUUCACGCGUCAUCUGUGAGAAUUUAAACGUCAAUCAAUUGAAAGAAAUUAAACAUUAGACAGUUGAGAGAGAUUAAGCAUCAGUUGGGCUAUGUGUGCAUUGCAUUAAAUGAAAUUUAUGAUGAUCUUUCUUCGGAAGUCGAAUUUGGCCUUACUCCCUACACGUGUGUUUAAUUUAAGGGAUCUUUCCCAUUUCUUGUCAAUGUUAAGACACACAUACGGUAGUAGGUGGCCCCUACAACUAGAUAUCUUUCUUUAUAAAACGCCUACUUGUUUUUCCUCUAAUAUUUUUCCCACUCAAGCUUUCAUUCAUAUAGUCGAGAAUUCGUACGAGUGCAAAACAAAUUUUCCCCAAUUUCUUGAUUAUAGUUAUAGGUAUGAAUCCAUUAUCCCUUGACUAUUUUGUUCUUGGUGUUUCUUUGGGAUGCUCUAAAGGAGUAGUUUCACUUUUAAUAUCACAUGUUAGGGAGAUGAAGGCUCAUCCAUCUUUGUAUUCUAAUGAAGAAAGGGUAACGGCAUUUUGGCGGCAGAUUAGACUUUCCAGUAUUGGGCACGAGGAAGACCUGAUCUUGGAGCCAUGUUAUGAAAGGGAGAGAACUGAUAUGGUUGUAGUGCAUGAUUUUCUCAUUCCCUAUUUAUACUUUCACCUUCCCAUUAUUUAUGAUUUGGGGGUCUCGGUCCCUUUCACACCAUUCGAGGCCAAAUUCUUGAGGACCGCCAAUGUCGCCCCUUCUGAAAUCACACCCAAUGUUAAUGGUAUUAUCAAGGCCAUCGAUAUUAUGUGUCGCUCGCUAGAGGUUACUCCCAAUAUUAGGGUAUUCCUUUCUUUCUACGGUGUUACACCAAAUCCCACGAGAGGUUGGGUGACUUUGUUUAGUCUUCUAGGGAAGAAGCUACUAGCACCCAAUUCCAACCCCUACCCUUAUUGGAAGGACAAGUUUAUGGGAUUCAAGAGGUUAAAUGGUGCUUCAAUGGUCAAGACUAGGGCGAUAAGAUCCCUCCCCCCCCACUUUCCAUUGUCUUGGACGAUUGAUCCGAAGAUCCCUACUGGUUUUUCACUCAAUGAUCGCACCCCCCCUUUGAGCGAGAGGUGGUUCAAAAAAAAUCGACUUCAAGUUUAUGUGUUCAUGUACCUUGAUCUCUUUAGGUAUAAGGGAUGACAACAGGAUAGUCGAAUAUCUAGGAUAGUCUCCUAACUUGUUUUUCUUUAUAUCAUUUGUACAAGAACAAUGUCAACAGAUCCAUUAACAGUGAGUGAGAAAUGAACAUUUGGCGAGAAUGAGGGUUGAGCAUGAACCGCCCUUUGUCCCUCUAAACCGCUCGGUUGGUCAAAUUUCAAAGGGGAACACAAAGCAUAUCAAGGAUUACCCUAUUCUUAAUGAACAUCCCUCCAAGAUCCCCAAGCAGGAAAAUGCUCUUCUGAAGAUCUUGAGGGCACACAGUUAACAGUUACUCAUAAUAUUAAUAUCAAAGUUGAACCCUGGUUAACUAGGGAUAGUCACCGCCCUUUCUCAUCCCUCUAGAGGCACGCCAAUUUUUUAUGUUGUCAAAUUUAAUAAGAUUAACCUCCCCUUCCAUGAGGAUUCCCCCUGACUACUGAAACCUUCACAAUAGAUCAUCCCAUGAGUUUUCAACAUAGCCGAAGCGCAUCUGCUAAGAAUUCUCUUAAUCACACGGGUUCAACAGGAAAAACAUUCUAAAAAUGUUGAUGAUCUGAAGUCUAAGCUUGCAUCGACUCAAGAAGCUUUCACUCAAUGCCAAUAAACAAUAAGUACCUUGGUGCAUGAGAAAGAUGAUUUAAAGGCUUUACUUAGAACGGUGGAAGGCACAAAUUCAUGUUGUUGCCGCCAUCACUAGACUAAAGAGUUCUUUAAAUGAGGACCUUAGUUAUUUCAAGAGACUUAAGGAGUAAAUAUAUAUACCCUUAAGGAUGACCCAGUUGAGACUUUUAAUCUAUAAUUUGAGCGGGCAAAGGAACACAUAACCUUUCUCUAUUCGGGGUUGGAUUUAAGCCAGAUGGAUUUGUUUAAAGUGGUAUGGGGGAGGUCAGCUGAUGGAUGACGAGUAUGUCCCUCCUACUGAGGAAAUCAUAAUAAAUGGGUCCCAAGUAGACGAUGCCCUUUUCUCUAGGGAUCCCUUAGAUGACCAAUGAUUCCAUAACUUGAUCCUUCAUGCCUUUAUAGUGUUGUAUAAGGUUUCUUUCCUAUCUCCUUUUAACAAUUUUGAAAUACUUUAACCCUUUUAAAUCUUUAAUCAACAAUAUGCUCUUAAUUCAUCUUUGUACACUAUCUUGUACUAUAACUUUAAAUGUUUUAUUUGAAACACACCGAACCAAGCUCCUUCAUUCCAAAUGCAUCCACCCUGUAGAAAUUCAUUUGAAAAAACACUAACACUUAACCUUGCACACUAACCGAACCUGCAAUUUCAUUUCAGCAGACCACAAAAUUGAAUUCCACGAUAAGUCAACAAACGCAGUGCACAGAGAAUCAAAACCAACCUACUAACUAAAAUUGCAACUUGCUAACUAACUCUAACAAAUUUAUAAUUCAUUUCCAACUAACUUGUGAAUUUUAGUAGAAUUUGAAUUUGCAUUUCUAACUGAAAUCGGAAGGACCUAAACUCUAUAAAUAUUCUUCACUCAUUCAUCAUCAAGGGGAUUACGAUUUCAUUUUCACCUAGCUAUGAUUUUCGAGAUUUCAAUCUUCAUCGCAAACCUCUUUUCACCCUCACACAGAGCUCUCUCAUAAAACUCCAUUAAAGUUUCGCCUUGAAGCUUCAAUAGAGUUGAGCUAUGCCUUACAUCGUUACACUCCCUCUCGAUUACCUUCGAUUGCAGAAGAAGUAACAGAAGAAGAAGAGAAUCAAAGGAAGAAGAUAAGAUCAAGAUUUACCUGGUUCAAGUGAUUUUCUGUCACAUCUUCAUCUUUUUUGAUUCAAUGUUCGCCUGAACAAAUCUCCGUUUCGGAGGUAAAUUUUCUUCUUCUCUGUUUACACCAAUCUUGUUACCAUUGCAUAGACAAUACUCUAGGGAUCAAUAGCCCUAAGGUUUGAGCAUGAAUCUGUGAGUCAUCAUCAUUUAAUUUAUCUUUGAAGACCUAGGGUUCUUCAUGAUUUCCCUUUCUGUUUGGAGUUUAGAGUAGCAAUCUGUUGAAAUUGACAUCGAUUUUGGAUUUAGCAUGUUGUCACGAUCCCGAUGAUGGUUUUAGUUUGGGCUAUGGUGUUCCACCGCCACCAGAGGCAAGCUCUGACGUGGUGGAUGAUGGUGCCUCGGUGACCUGAGUCCACUCUGAUAUCCCUUUAUGGUCUGGCGUGUGAUUUUGAAUUUCCCCUUUGAAACACUUAAUGUCAAUUCCACUUGCCCCUUAUAUUUUCAUUUUUGGGCUCAGUUGAGUUAGGCCUUGUGUAAUUUUUCUGAACCUAUCACCAAUUUUUUUUUGCACCUCCCUAGCUCUCACAACAAUUGGAUAAUGGGCCAUGCGCCUUAUUGGCUUAUUGCACCUUUGUUUGCAAUUAAUACCCCUCUGGUUUUGUAUUUGCUUUUGCAUUUUAUUCCAUUUUUGUUCCCUUUAAUUUCUUGCUAUUUAAUUUUUUAAUUUUUCUUGACUUGAUAUAGAAAUUAAUUGUUAGGGUGAUUAGUCUUUUUUAACAUGAUUAAUUGAUUUAGUUAGGAUUAAUUGUGUAUAUUAAUUCUUGAUUAAUUGAAAAUGAGUAGAAAAAUAUUGAUUUAACCUAGUUUGCAUGAUUAGGUUUAGAUUGUCAAGUACACGAUGAUUGUUUAUCACCUUGUGAUUUAAUUCUUCCAUGUUGAGAAUUUUAAUUCUUGAUUUAGGAUUUAAUUGAUUGGAAUUAAUUUUGUCCAUUUAGGUUUAAUUGAUCUUUUAGUCAUUUGUUUCUCAUAUGAAUUUGGAUGAUUGAGUUCUUUGAUUGAUUGCACCUUAACCAUUGCAUGAUCCCCUAGUUUAGGGUUUGCUCAGAAUCAGUUGAUAUAGUUUGACUAAUUAAUCCAUUAAGUUGUACAUAUUCCAACUGAUCUUUUCUCAUUGGUUGUGUUGAUCAAAGUUUACUUUGAUCCACCAAAUCCUUUGCAUUAUACUUAAUUCCCUAAGCCUGUUCAAGUGAUCAAAGACCCUUGAUCACUUGAUAGGGAGAGUCCCUUUUGCUUAAGUUGUACUGGAUCUCGGAGCACAAAACUUCAAACUCAAGUCCAAACUCAAACCCAAGCUCAAGAAUUCAAGCUCAAGUUCAGGUUCAAGACUUCAAGCUCAAGUCCAAGCUCGUGACUUCAAACUCAAAUUCAAGUUCAAGACUUUAAGUCAGUAUAAGGCAUUCACAUUGAAGACAUAAUGGACUACUGUUCAAAUCACAACAAAGGUGUAUCAACACUUUUCAAUCAUGAUUCAAGUUGUGUGUCAUGAGCCUUAAGCAAUAGAGAAGGGGUGAGAGGGAGCAUUCAUACCCUCAUUCUAAAUAUCUUUGGGUACAGGAUGAUGACCCAGUUGCUCAUCAUAUUCACCUCUAUUCAUAGACUUUAGCAUAAUUUAAAUCAAAUGAUUGUCAAGUCUCUCUUCACAAGCAACAUUGCAUCAUCAGGAUCAGCAAUCAGAAUCUUCUUCAACAACUUGUCUGUUAUGAUAAGGAUUACACGACACGAGCCUUAAGCAAUAAUGAAAGGGGUGAGAGGGAGCAUUCCUAUCCCCAUUCUGAAUAUAUUUGGGUACGAGACGAAUGACCCAGUUGCUCAUCGUAUUCACCUCUAUUCAUAGACUUUAGUGUGAUUCGAAUCCAGUAAUUAACAAGUCUCCUCCAUGCAAGCACCUCAAUUAUUCAAUACCACAAGAAGAAAUUAUGUUCCUCCAAUCUACUUUUGUGCCCCUUUCAGUUUAAACACUAUCUUCAAUCACCUUUGUUGAUUUAAACACCAUUGCAUUGCUUUCAGUUUAAACACCAUCUUCAGUCACCUUCUUCAGGUUUAAACACCAUUGCUUCAGUAUACAUGCCAUCUCCAAUUACUUUCCUUAGGUUUAAACAUUAUCCUAUCCUUUGAAAAAUCAUGUUCAACUACCUUUGUUGGUUUAAACACCAUUACAUUGCUUCAGUUUGAAUAAUCUUCCUGGUUUGAACACCAUUUCCCUUGCUUUGCUUGAGCCCUAUUACUAUUGCAUUGGAAUAAACCCCUUUUCCGGUUUAGGGUUUAAAUAACAUUGCCUUGGUUUAAACGCCAUUUUCUAGGUUCAAACACCACCAUCCGGUUUAAACACCACAUUAUCCUCCACCUUUCGGUUUAAACACCACUCCGCUGGUUCAAACACCAACCCUUCAGUUUAUAUACCACUUUUGGCCCAUACUUUGGUUUAAAUACUAUUUCUUUGGUUCAAACACCACUAUUCAGUUCAAAAACCAUAAUUUUGUUAUCCUUUGGUUGAAACACCACAAUUCAGUUAGAUUCCGAUUUAGACACCACAUCAAAGAAAUUAUGAUUACACUUCAAGUUCUUCCUUCGGUUCAAACACCAUUAUCCGAUUCAAACGCCACUUUUCCCUCAAUCAAUUAUAUAUCAAUUUACUCCAUCUUUUCACUUCAAUCAAUUUCAUUUGGUUCAAACACCACAAACACCAAUUCUAUCCAGUCCUCCUUUAUUUGUCCGUCCUAGUUUCAUAAACUACAGAGCUCUGACUUUCUCAUUGCACGGUGAGAGUACAUAGGCACGGGGAUGCGAAUCCUUGGCGAGCACCUUCCUUCACUUUCCCUUUCUUUUCUUUCAUUCUUUCAUCUCCCACCAUUAGUUCUAUGAACUACGAAGCUCUGAAUUCCUUAUUGCACUAUAAGGACACGUAGGCAUAAGGGCCCUAAUCCUCACUGAGCACUCUAUCUAUUUUGUUGUUUUUCCUUUAUUCUUUUGUAAGUAAUCUAUAGAUAUCACACCCAUUCGAGCAUAGAACAAUCAAAAUGGUUCUUGUUGAGUACAAUGGAUGUGACGGAUGUUAAUACCUUCCUCUUGCAUAACCGACUUCCUUACCCUUUUUCUCUUCCCCUGGGUUUUAUCGAUGUUUUCCCUUUCCUCUGGGAAUAAAUAAAGUUCGAUGGUGACUCUGCUGUAUCUUCGAGCGUGUGAUGCGCUCAAGUAUAUUUCCGCUAUCUUCACUUUGCUCAAGCACACAAGCAAGAGACUUCCUUUGCUCAAACACUAAAGUAAGAGACUUAUUUGCUCAAGCAUACAAGCAAGAGACUUCCUUUUGUUCAAACACUAAAGUAAGAGACUUCAUUUGCUCAAGCACACAAGUAAGAGACUUUAAAUUCUCAAACACUUAGUAAGAUACUUCUAACAAUCUACCUAGAUGACAAAUUAUUGUUGGGUGAAUACACUUGAUAUACAAUCAGAGGUGUAUAAGUAAUACAACUCAAUAAGAGUCUUUUAAGACUUAAGGAUUUCUAAGAUAUACAAGGAUAAGAAAUCCUAAGUUUAGCUUGUGUUUUUACUUUGACAAAGUAACUUCUCUUUUGUCAAUUGAUGUUUAUUAGCAUUUUUCGACAUUUAUAUUCAAUUCUUUUAGCUCCUUAAAUAUAUAAGAAAAAUAUUCAUUGAAGAUGAAACACAUUAGAGUCCUUUGAGAAGCUUCAAAAGAGACAUUGAGAUGUUUCACCGAAUUGUUAGGUAAGGUGAAAGCUUGUUUGAAAAACCUUUGCUACAAAAGGAAUUAGCAAUUGUAACCCAACAGACUUUAUGAAGAAAAUAGAGCUUAGGUCUUCACAUGAUAAAGUAUGUUCAGAGUUGAAUACUGACCUAUCAGUGUCACCUUGGUCCUUGCGCUUUGACUGGCUCAGGUUCUGGUCCAUAGAAGCAGACUUCUCUAAAGCCUGGUCUUUAGAGGAUGGCUCCUUCAGACUCUGAUCUUUAGACGCCAACCUCUUCAGAAGUUGACUUCUCCAGAGUCUGGUCUUUAGCUUCUGAUCCAUCAUAUUUUGAUCUUCAAGCUUCUCAUUUAAUGUUCAGAGUCAGAACCAAUACUUGGAUUUUAUAUGAAAUUUAAGUUUAUGGUCUUGCACACUUGAACAAACAUUAUUAAACCCAUUUAUUCUUUAAAUACUUUGUUAUCAUCAAAACCUAAGGGAUAUGGGACAAACCAAUUUUGUUCCAACAAUCUCCCUUUUUUUUAUGAUGACAAACAAAACUAUUUAAGAACAAUGGUUGAUAAUUUAAUUAACUAGUUGACUCUAGGGUCUGAGGUUUGUAAGCUCCUCCGAAGUCUAAUAGUCCAUAAGAUUAGGUUUGUAAGCCCCCAUUAAGUCCUACCCAGGUUAAUUAAAUUUAAACAUUUAAAGCACAUAUAUAAUCCUUCAGAAUUUAAGCAAGAUAAUAAUUGUCAUGUCUCAGGUGCUUAAAUACUUCUAUAUAUACUCCCUUUUAUGAUCAAUAAAAAAAUGAAAUGAAAUAGAAAAGAUACAUAAGACUUUUUUUUUCAUAUAACCAAAGAAUUUAGAUGUCAGAAAACAUGUUCAAGAAGACAAUGUUUGGGAUGUAAUUAUAAUUGGAUAAAAAUAGUUUUAAAAACAUAUUUGAUUUUCCCUUUAUAAAAAUUUAAGAAAGAGAUUUGAGAGUUGGUUGGAACGGUUGGUGAACAACUUCUGCACUUCUCAAGAUGGUCAAGAUAAGUUCUUUCAGCUAGACUUUGAGACAAAUAAGGUGGUCAAGUCUAGGGAGACGUGCUUGAAGACUAAGAUAAUAUCUCUCUCCGAUGUCCAUUGGUGCACAGUAUCCAAAAUUUAUUUCUCUUUAACCAAAACUCUCUAUAAAAGCACGAUUUUGAUUCAAACAAGAUCAUAUUCCAUUGUGUCUCACAAGCUUUUCCUCAUAACAAAAACAAUGAGUAAAUCUUCCAAGAACUCCAAAGAGAGCACUUCAAAGAAUAUUGACAGGGCUGUUAAAGAAGAUGUAGGAAGAAAACUUAAGGGUAAGUCCAAAAAGACUGGAUGUUCAAGAACAAGGAUUGGUUCAACCUCAGGAGCAUCUAAAGCUAGGAGAACAUCCAUGGCUAAGCUGAAGAAUUUCAAGAAAAGCCAGGAUUCGUCUUCUGACUUAGAUUCAGAUGUUGAUGACUUUGACUUUGACUGGACAAACUUCCUCAAUCGUCAUACUUAUUUCCUUGAAGAAUUUGGAGAAGAGUAGGCUAUGUAGUUCAUCUUGCUCCUUAUGGGAAAAAAUCAACCAUGUGUCUUUUUUCUUGAAUAAUAAUAUGCCCAUUUUCUCUUGCAUAUAUUUAUUUUAAUCAUUUGCAUACAUUUCAUUUUAGACAUCGAGAAGAAAUAUUUAAAGAAGUUUUUUCAACCAUUUCAACCAAUUUUGUGUUGUCUGAGUUUAAGAAAAACUAGAGAGUUUAAACAAAAUAUAAAUCACACGGCUAUAAAAUAAAUGACUAAAGGUAAAAACAAAACAUAGUUUAAUGUUAUCCAGAAAUAAUGAUUCCCAAAGGUAACACAACCAUUUUUGUUAAGAAAAGAAACAAAUAUGACAUAAAUCACACUUCUUUGCUUAAACAAACAUGAUUGGUUAGAUCCAUUACUAUAACUCAAGGAUCAUAAGACAGAAAAUUCUCAGAAGAAUUCUAACUCAGAACCUUCUGAAUCAAAAAAUCAUUUUACACAGUGAACUAAUUGGUUCAUAGUCAUAUCAUUCAGAAUCAUAUCUAAAGUUGAAGGAAGAGACACACUAGAUAAAACACAAGUUAAUGACAAUUAUGAGACAUACACAGUAUUCAAAAACAUGUAUAAUAUAAACCACUAGUAAUUAUCUAACAACUAAUAAACCAAGUGUUUGAAAACCUUUCAGAUUCAUGACACAUAAGUGGACAGAUGUCAAACAUCAAUUUUCCCACUUAUAUGCUAUUAGAGACAACAAAUCAAAUUCUGAGUAUCUGAGGCUGAGUUGCUCAUAUGCUACACUUCAUCAAAAGCUUGUUCAGAGCUUCUAACCAUAGUAGCUUCUGAUCAUCAUUAGACUUUGAUCCUCCAUUUAGAAGCAAACACUAAUCUUUAACAAAAUGCAUGUUCAUAUUCUUUUUGAUAAAUCAAAUCUUUCAAUAGUAAGAGGCUUGGUAAAUAUAUCAUACCAUUGAUGAUUUGUAUCAAUGAAAUUUAUAUCUAUCACACCCUUCUGAACAUAAUCUCUAAUAAAAUGAUGUUUUAUUUCUAUGUGUUUGGUUCUAGAGUGUUGAAUAGGAUUCUUUGUCAAGUAGAUAGCAGCAGUAUUAUCACAAAAGAAUGGAAAAUUGUUUACACUUAUGUCAUAGUCUUCCAACUGAUAUUUCAUCCAGAGUAGUUGUGUACAACAACUUACAGCUGAGAUAUAUUUUUCUUCUGUUGUAGACAAAGCAAUGGUUGCCUGUCUUUUACUAGCCCAGGAUAUUAGGUUUUCACCUAUGAAUUGACAACUUCAUCUAGUGGAUUUUCUUUCAAUUCUAUCCCCAGCAUAAUCUACAUCAUAGAAUCCAACUAGCUUAUAAUUUAGGGAUUUCUUAUAAAGCAACCAUAGAUUGAUUGUUCCCUUCAGAUACCUAAAGAUCCUUUUAACAACAGUUAAGUGUGUCUCUCUAGGACCUGACUGAAAUCUUUCACACAAAUAGACAUUAAAUAAAAUAUAUUGUUUAUAAGUUAUUAAAUAAAGAAGAGAUCUAAUCAUACCUCUAUACAGCUUCUGACAGACCUUGGUGUUGCUUUCCUCUUUGCUCCACCUUUUCAUCUGAUAGGAUCUCACUUGUAAUGAGUCUAACAUGUUACUAAUGGUGAAGACAUCCAUUGUUCCUCCAGUUUCUGGAACAUGAACUUUAUUUAUGAGGAUCUUUUGCAUUUUCAUUAUUUUUGCACACUUUUGUGUGUUUCUUUUUAACAUUUUAGCAAAUACAAUAGAUACUUAUGCUAGCCUUAUUUACAAGUGCAUUCCUCCCCUAAACUAAAUCCUACAAUGAAUCUUCUUCCAUACUUUAGAACAAUUCAAACUUCUUAAAAGGCUAACUACUUUUCUAACUUCCCUUAGCGUGCCAAGGGUUAUCACUAAGUCACAAAUUUUGUGCAUUGCUUCUUAUUAAGACAUUAUUUCCAAUAUUGUCAGUAUUCCCAUUUAAAAUUAUCCUAAGUUUUUUUAGAAAUUCUACUAUUUUUUUAGAUGAAGAUGGUUAUUUUAUUAUAUUUUUUAAUGCAAAAUAAACAGCAAAACACAAGCAUUUAAUUGAUUGAAAAUGAAAUUAAAACAAGCUAACAUGAUUAAAAUUAAAUAAAAAACUAGAUAGGUGUCUUCACCCCAAACCUAAAGUUAGGACAAUGUCCUCACUAUCAGUUUGAUGAGUUCUGGCACAUCAGAAAACAGAAAUUAAAGUGUAGUUGACUAAACAUGAUGGGUUUGAAAUACUAGUUAGGCCUAAAGCAUGUUGCUUUUCCUGGUUGGUUUUGGUUUUUCUUAUCUCUUUCUCUUCUCUUCUUUUCUUUGUCCUUCUUCUUGCUUUACUCCUUCUUCUUUCCCUUGGUUGAUUUAUCCUCUAACUUGGCCUCCUUAUCAGAAACAACAACUAAUUUAACUUUUUCUUUCAGUUUUAUAGAGGACUCUUUGGUCUUUUGUUGCUCUUCUGAUUGGGGAUUGGUGACACUUUUUGUCACUCCAGAUGGUUUUCUUUUUAUUUUACCUAUGUUCUCGUGCUUCCUUUAAUUUAAAUGGGAUAGGGAACUCGUUGUGUUCCUUAUGACCAUUUUGUUAAAUGUCUUGUUCAGGUUGGGUUUAUUUUCCUUCAUUUUCAUCUUCUUGAAUUGGUACCUGCACAAGAAUAAAAGACAUAUUGUCCACAAUAGGUUCAACUUCUUGCUCUAUUAUAGGUUGAUCCUUAUUGACUUUUUCCUCGUCCUUGUCUUCAGCAUUAUCAUCAUUGUUGUUGUCCUUCUCAUUGUCAUUCUCUUCAGCAUCUUCCUGGUCCUUUUUAGUGUUCAUUUCUUCUUCCUUGUUUUGGAUGACUUCCUUAUUUAACUUCUUUUCAUUAACAGUUUCUUGUUCCUUCUCCUUUGGUACUUAUAUAGUUACAAUUUAUUCACCAAGUUCCUCCUUUUGCUCACUUUUGGCUGGUUCAUUCAUGUCAAAGUCUUUUUCUACUUUUGGUUCUUCUUCUCUUAUUUUAUUUUUUUGGGGCUUUUGCUCUGGUUUUCUAUUUUCUUAGAUUUCUUCUUUUUCUUCAGUUGGGAAGUGAGGUCCAUACAUGAUACAUUCCUUUACAAAAGAAAGCGUUCUUGUAUUCCUUACUAAAUUCUUGUUCCAUCUCAUCCUUGCUUUUGAUGAUGUGCUUAUGAACAAGGGAAUCCCAACUAGAGAUCAAUGAGCAGUCAUCUAUAUCUUCUUCUGGGUAUUUCAAUGCAUUGAGUACAUUGAAUACCACUAGUUUCCCAUUUAUCCUUAUAGUGAGUUAUCCCUUUUCCACAUCUAUUAAAGUUCUUCCAUUAGCAAGAAAUGACCAUCCCAGAAGGUGGGGAAUGUCUUCAUCAACACUAAAAUCCAUGAUUAUGAAGUCAGAAGGUAAGACAAACCAUUCAACCCACACUAGCACAUCUUUUAAUUUUUCCUUGUGGGUAGCAAAUGCUUCUAGCAACCAAGUAAAGUGUGAUGGUUUUUGACCUUGUAACUCCUAUGCACGACUUCUUGAAAAUGGACAGUGGACUGUAUCUCCUAUGUUUCUCCAAUAUCAUACAAUGCUCUUCCACAAAAAGAAUAUAUCUCCUAUGUUGCAUAUUAUGGUGAAACUUCUAGGAACUUUCAACUUGGGUGGUAACUUGCCCUGAACAAAUUGCUACAUUCUUGAGUUAAUGCUAUAGUGGCAAAUUCUACAACUCUUUUUAUUUUGGUCAAUACAUCCUUCAUGAACUUAUAAUAGUUUUUCAUUUAUUGAAUGACUUUAAUUAGAGGUAUGUUUAUGUGCAAUUGUUUCAAGAUCUCCAUGAAUUUUCCAAAUUGUUUUUCUUCUUUAGCCUUUCUAAUUCUUUGGGGAAAGGUCGUAUUGGUCUCGCUUGCACAAAUAUGGGUAUUGUUCUUACUUUUGGCGUAUUAGUUGUGAUUUUUGUAGUUGAAGUUGUCGUGCCAUAAGUUGUCAAAUUUAGUAGCUUAGCUUGCAGCCUCUCUUGUCUUUCUCCAACCAGGGAAGUUGUCAUAGAUAUUGGUGGUUCUUUCGAUACAUCAAAUGAUGUCAGAUUCUCCUUUGGUUAGUCAAUUUUUUUACUGGGUCCUUCAUACUCCUUACCAUUUCUCAAUGAAAUGACCUUGCAUGUUUCAAUGCUCUUGGUUCUAUACGUGGAUGCUGGUGUUUCAGUAGAGCUUGGGAGUGCUCGCAUAGGUAUUGAACUGAAAGUAGAAGAAAUUUUCCCAACUUGGUUUUCCAAGUUUUUGAUGCUUACACCUUGAGCUUAAAACUGGUUAUUUUUUUCUUGUAUAAAAGAAUUCAAAAUAUUAUUUAGUUGGUUGUUUCAUUUAGUAGCCACAACAUGGUUCGGUGCUGAAAAACCAGAGGUAAUUUAUGGUGUUUAGUUCAUUUUGGAUGUUACUACAUGAGAAAUUAGGAUGAUUAUGCCAUCCUGGAUUGUAUGUGUUAUUGUAGGGGUUGUUGUAUGUGUUAUUGCCCACAUAGUUCACAAAAACAUGAUUAGUUGAACAUUAUUCAAAUAAAUGAGCUCCCCCUACAAUAAACACAUGUAAAAGUAUCAAUUACAACUUUUACAUGAUCGCCAGCUGGCAUAUCAGAACUUGUCAUCAUUUGGUUUAUUUUAGCCACUUGAGCAGCUAAGGUUGUGGUUUCAGUGACCUCAUGGACACUAGUUGGCCUCUUUGGAACAACUAUAGUUGGUGCCCUAGCAACUAGCCAUUAAUAGGUGUUGGCAGUAAGGCUUUCAACCAAUUUAUAACCUUAUUCAUAGGAUUUAGAUAGCAAAGCUCCAACAUAGGAGGCAUCCAAAAUGUUUCUUGAGGAUGGUACCAAUCCAUUAUAGAAUGUAUCCAAUUGAAUAUAGAUUGGUAUGCCAUGGUGAGGACAUUGCAUUAAUAGUUCUUUGAAUCUCUCCCAAGAAUCAAACAAAGACUCGUCAUCUUCUUGUCUAAAUGAAGUAAUCUCAUUUCUCAUCUUAGCAUUCUUGACUUGAGGAAAGCACUUAGCUAAGAACUUUUCAGCUAAGGCAUUCCAUGUGGCUAUGAAAUUGGUUCUAAGGAGUUCAGCCAGCUUUUGGCUCUAUCCCAUAGAGAAUAUGGAAACAGCAUGAGUCUAAAAGUAUCAUUAGUAAUUCCAAGUAUUUUGAAGUUACUAGCUACUUCUAAGAAUUGUCUAGCUCCUGAAUAUUGGCAUAUUUCUUGCAGCAUUUGAAACAUCAUAUGCUUAAAUUCAAAUUGUACCCCUGUGAUAUAUGGUCUUAUAAUAUGUGUAUUCAUGGCAUUUGGAUCAAACACAAUAUACUCCUUUAUUUUCCUUGCUUUAUCAUUGACUAAACCAAUAAUGUCAUUUUCUUCCAUAACUCUUUCCAUUUCCAGUGGUACUUCUUCAAAUUUUCCUUCAAAUGGCCCUUCAAAGUAUCCUUUAAACCUACAAAAUAACAAGAGUAGGUGGAGGACUUCCUGAUAAGUGACCAGUAGCUUGAAGUCUCCUUAUUAAUAUGAGUGUUCUCUUGAGCUCAGAUUGCCUCUGUAUACUAGAGUUAGCAACCUGUGCAUGCAGCAUACACACACCUUUCGUGUCACCAAAAGAAAAAAAAAUGUCAAAAGCUCUAAUGUAUUUUUCACAAAAAAAUUUAAGAAUCAAAGUGUUAUCAAUACGAUCCCCGACAAUAGAGAUAAAAACUUAUUGUGUGAACUAUUGUUAUGUGCAAGUAUACACAAUCAAAUAGUAGCAAGUGAUGUAAAAGUAAGACCAUCGAUCCCACAAAUAUUGUGAUAACUUAAGUUGAUUCUUUAUUUAUAAUAUUGUGAAUAGCCAUGAGCAAAAGGGUAACAAUAAUAUUGGUUUGUCACAGGUUCAGGUUGAAAUAUAAUAAGAUAUAAGUGAAGAUAAAGAAGUUAAAUCAAUAGUAAGAGGCAUGUUGGGCAAUGAUCCAUCUAAUGAAGUUCAUAUUUUGUGUGUGUCUGAUAAGAUCUAUUGUGACAGGUGAGGCAGAAGGUGAUCUAGUGGUGUAUGUCUACAACAUCAAGGCAUAUGCAAUAAGUCAAGGAAACAACUCUUGAGGUCUAUCAAGAACAUUAAAAGAUGUCUUUUUGCAUCUCUUGAUUUCCCUUAUGGUUGUAGUCCUUUAUCUCUAAAGUGAAUAAUCUAGUGAAUAUGGCAAUCCUACUUCUUUCAACCAUAUUUUCUUAUGAAGUCCGUUAGUUAAUGAGUCUUUCAACCCUUAACCAACUGUUACCUAUUUCUAAGGUGAUCAAUCUAAGAAGCAAACGUAUAAAAUUAUUUCACAUAGAAAAAUAUAUAAAAUUAUUUCACAUAGCAAAAUAUAUCACUUCAAAUCACACCAUGUUAACACAAAAUACUAGUUUUCGUUAAACUUCACAUUGCCCAAUAUAAAGAGUUUUAGCCCGUGAUGAGAAAAAUAAAUACAACAACACGAGUUCUUAUAUUCAACAUUUCUAAACACAAAUUCAAAGAAAUUAUAAAUCUAAGUAUGACACUCUACUCCUUACAAUUUAUAAAUCAACAAGAGAGGAAUUAUGUCACAUUAAGAUGCUUAAAAUUUCUUGAAUGGAGGGAGAAAGGAAGGAACUUUUCACCAUUGGUCCAGUCUUCUUCUUCUUAUUAUUAUUAUUAUUAUUAUUAUUAUUAUUAUUAUUCAAUAAGAUAACCUUUUAGAGUAAUUUCUUAAGUUCCUAACUUCUGGACCUCUCUCCAUUUUGUAUAAGAGGUUCAUUUUAUACCCUCUAGUUUUUAGGGUUUUGUCUUGUCAUUGGAUCAUGGGCCUUAUCUAUAUUCUUUAGUUUUGGCUAACUAAUCACAACAUAUUUUGUUGGAAUAAUAUUUGUUCAUAUCCUUUGGGUUUUGAUGACAACAAAUUACUUAUUGAACAAUUGGUUAUACUAACAUAUGUUCAAGUGUGCAGGAUCAUAAAGCUUAAAGUCUACUCAUAAUUGAUCCUGUUGAAAGCAUUUGUUAACAAGUGAUCAGUGCAUUUUGAUGUCCAUUCUUCUACUAUUGUACUUAGACAUUUAUAUAGUUUCUUUUAUUAAUUUUACUACUUUAUUGUGUUUUUAGAUUUAAGUUUAUUUUUGCCUUUAUUUUAAUUUCGUAUUUUAUUUUCAGCAUUAAUAGUUAUUUGAUACAUGUUCACUAUGCAAAUCAUAACUUGAGCUACGAGAAUUUGAUUGAAGCGUUUUGAUAGGCGUUAGAAAGCUAAGAGAAUGAGCUACAAGUUUUGUGUUGAAGUCAAAAACUGAUUCGGAGUGAAGCAGGACCGAAUAAAUCGUUGAAGUUUCAGACUUAAGAAAUAUUUAGUUAUGGGUCAGGUUUUUUAUGUUUUUCGACCCGGUUGGGUUAGAACCCGAAUGCUAUGUUUUUCCUAUACCUAGUGGUCGCUGCUAUUGUUCAUGCCCUCAUUCACUAUUCACAAAAUAUUUCUAAAUCUUUGUACAAAAAUCUAUGAAGAACUAAUCACUUUUGUUGAUCUGCUGUAUUCAGGUUUCGAUACUUGAGAUUAAUAUAACUUUACUAUUUAAUUUCUAUUCCUUUCAAUUUUUCUAUGUGUUUAUCGUUUGCUUAAUCUGAUUUAUCACAGAGUAGUUUUUUUGGUUCAAUUGAUUUAUUAUUCCCUAAUUUUGAUUGUGUGUUACUGUAUACUUAAUCUGUUAACUCACUUUAUUCUUAACCGAUUGCUUAGUUCGGCAAAUAGGAAACAUAAUUCUUAUAAUUUCAUUCACGCUUGUUGAUUGAUAUUGUGAUCGAGAAAAGAUAGAAUCCACUUAGGGAAGUGAAGUUAUAAUAAUUGAUGAUAGGUAGGAACUGAAUCAGUAGAUCAACUUAUUUUAUAAUCAUGUUUAAUAAUCACUUUUCAUAAUCACUUUUUAUAACCCCCCGAUUGAUUCCAGUAGGUUAAUAAUAAUCCAAGAGUCCUUGAGAUACGAUAUUCGAGUGUCGCUUCCUUUUUUACUAUGUUUUGUCUUAAACUCGCCUUUAACCCAUGUGCGAUAGCAGAUCAAUAAGCUAAAUGUCUCAGAUUAUGAUGGAUCAGAAUCUGAUGACUCUGAAGGACCAGCUUCUGAAAGUUCAGACUCUGAUCAUGGUGCUUCUUCCUCUGGUGAUAGCUCAUACUCUAGAGACCUCAGCUUGAAAAGCUCAGCCUCUGGUUCGUACUUUGUCCCCGUAGCAGACCUAUGUUGUCAACACCAGAGGGAAAAAGUCAACUAGAGUCCCUUAGUACAAGGCUCAAGAAACACUGAUGUGACUUCUCUAGUUUGCCCCCUCGUCUGAUUUAUACCUAAGAUGAAAAAGAGAUGUAGUGGACUAUUCUAUUACACUUUGUUUCAAGAUCUUAACAUGAUUCAUCUUCCAAAGUCUCUUGGAGUUGUUGCAUUUCAAAGUUCUCUUGUGCAUACAACUUUCUAAUGACUCUUUUUCUGCCUCUAUAAAAGGGAGCUGAAGAUUUGAAGGAAGGUUAACAAUUAUCAAACAUCUUAAUAGAACACAUUGAGUACAAACUUUGAGCUAAAGUUUCAUCUAUUUAUUUGCACAAGAUCUUAAGAUUUCUUAUCUUUGUAUAUCUUAAAAAUCUUAAGUGUUAAGAAUCAUUUUGAUUGUUGCAAUACUUUUAUACUUCUGACUGUGUAUCAAAGGAUGGUUGUAAUUAUUUCUACUAAACCGCUUAUUUAAAGUAGAGGAAGUAUCUUGAAAGGUUGCUUGAGCAGUGGAGUAUCUUUCUGGUAUGAUUGGGCAGAAGACUCUUGCAAGAUUGCUUGAGUAAAAAUCGCUUUCUAGGUUGAUUGAGCAAUUGAAGUAUCUUUCUAGUUUGAUUGAGAAAAGUUUUAAUUAGUUUGAUUAUAGUGAAAAUCUCUUGUUGGAAAAGGGGACUGGACUACUCUUAAUUUAGGAGAGGAAUCAGGAUAAACUCUGUGUGUUGAUUUACUUCUUACUUCUGUUUGUUUAUCUUUCUGCUACAAACUAACUCUAUGUUCAAACUUUGAACUUGUUUAGAUUCAGAAGUGGUUUAUCAGAAGUUCUAAAAGAAGCAACAUACACAAUUCAACUCCUCCCCCCCCCCCCCCCACCCCUCUUCUUGUGUGUUUUUCUCACCUUUAGUUGGUAUCAGAGUUUGUUUUGUACUAUAACACUUAAGAAUGGUGCAUAAAAGAUCUUGAGAAAAAUACAUCGUUCAUCAUAGUUGAUGGUCCUGAAAUAACUAGCCCUGAUGGUGGUAAUCCUCGUGGUAAUAACAACCAUGAUCAAAGUACAUCUGGUCAAAACAACUAUAUUGCUAGACCACCAACAUUCAGUGGAGACUCUACUGAAUUUGAAUUAUGGAAGAGUAAGAUGUACACUCACAUCAUUGGUCUGGAUGAUGAGUUAUGGUAUAUCUUAGAAGAUGGAAUUGACAUUCAAGUCAAUUGUGUUGGAAUGGUUUAUGACAGAAAGUGUUUCACUCUUGCUCAAAAAAAGAUAUAUAAGAAACAUCAUCGAGUGAGAGGCAUUCUUGUUGAUGCCUUGCCUCAUUAUGAGUACAUAAAGAUUAUAAUAAGUCAACUUUCAAAACUAUAUUUAAAUAUUUAUGUGCUACCUAUAAAGGUAAUCAACAAGUUCAAGAAGCUAAAGAAAAUAUUUUGGUUCAGCAGUAUGAGCAGUUCAUAAUGAAAGAUGAUGAGAACAUUAAAACUAUGUUCUCAAGAUUUCAAGUUCUUAUCUCUGGACUUUAGGUCUUGAACAAGAGCUACACUACAUCGGAUCAUGUCAAGAAGAUUCUUAGGAAUCUUCCGACCAAAUACAGACCCAAAGUUACUAUUAUUCAAGAGGCUAAAGACUUAAACACAUUAAGUCUUGAAAGUCUUGUUAGCAAUCUCCAAAGUCACGAGAUGAAGAUAAAUGGAGAUGAGCCUGUAAAGCAAUUUAAAACAUUGGCUUUAAAUUAUGUUGGAAGAUAUGAGAAGUCUUCACAGACUAGGAUGUAUAAAGAAGCCACUCAUGGUGAAGCCUAUGAUGAAGAAUCUGAUGAUGAUGAAAUGGAUUCCAUCAUCAAAAUAUUUCAACACUUGGCCAAGAAGAAGAGUGGAUUCUCUUGUAGAAGUGGUGGCUUAAAAGGGUAAAGUUAUAGACGUGAUAAAGAUGACCAGAAGGGAUGCUUUAACUACAAAAAGCUUGAUUAUUUCAUUGCUGACUAUCCUGAUAUACAAAAGGACAAGGUCAAAAGGGAAAGCUUCUAGAAGAACAACUUUAUAAGCAAGUUCAAAACUAGUCUCAUGGAAACAUGGGAAGAACUUAACAAUGAAGAAGAAAUUGAUAAAGAAGAAGCUAAUCUUGCUUUGAUGUCCUCAACUCUUUCAGACUCAUAAUCAGAAACUAGUUUUGACUCAGAUUCAGAGGUCACAAAUGAGGUGCUUUGAAAACUCUCUAAAUAUGAUUUGAUUACUUUAUGUCAAUAUCUUAUGGAAAGAUGCUAGCAGAAAGCCAGGCAUAUGAAAAUUAUAAAUAAGCAAUAUGGUCUUAUAAGAGAUGAACUAAACUUCUCUAAAGACAAGAUUGAAAAACUUGAAAGAGAACAAAUUGCUUUAGUAUAAGAUAUGUCUGACAAACCUCUGGAUAAGUAUGAAUCAACUCUUCAAGAGUUUGUCAUAUCUGGUUUCAACAGAACCAAACUUUCAUCCAUGAUCUAUGGUGUAAGUAAGACAAAAGGAUAAGGUCUCAUUUUUCAUCAAAAACCUUAUAAUCCAAGGGAUGAUAUCUUUAUGAAACCAUCAUAUCCUUCUUCUUCAAGCAUUGCUAAGGGGCUGGAUACUUACUUUAUGCCUACUGCUGAAAAUGGUAAGCUUCUGAACCAAUCAGAACCUCUGGUGAAUGACUCGCAAGUUUUGAAGGAAUCAGAAUCUCAGACUUAAAGGUCAAGAGUUCUAAGUAAACUAGAACCUAAGACUCUCAAGUCAGAGGUUCUGAAGAAUUCAGAACUCAUAGUUAUUGAAUCAAAUGUUCCAAGAGGAUCAGAAGUCAAGGUCAAGACUUAUCCAAGACAAGAUUUUUAUAAACAAGAAUUCUGGAAUGAGUCUAGACCCUAUUAUAAGGCUAAGCCUCAAAGCAAGAGGGAACCCUAAAAAACUAACUACAAAGAACCCAUACGAGUAUGGGUACUAAAGAGUGAAAUUGUGUUUACUGCAGAUAUGCUUAAGGGAAAAAGCAAAGCAAUAGCUGUUGUUCCAGGAUAAUGGUUGUUCACAACUUAAAACAAGAAGAAAGCCUAUAUUAAAAAUCCUAACUCUGAAGGAGGAAGGAAAUGUGGAAUCUGGAAUAAACUAGUAAGGCAAGAAUACUGAUAUCGGGAAGACUGAUGUUAUUCUAUAAAAUACUGGUGCUUCAGUCUCUAUGGAAAUCUCUAAAGUUUAUCCAGUUGUUGAGGAAUAUGAAAAAACUCCUGAUGUUUUUCUAAAGAGUAUUGUUGGAACAAUGAUGUUUCUGAAAACAAUCUCAACAGCAGAUCAAAAGUUUCACAAAAAAAAGGUAUGACUAUCUCUUUGUUUUUAUGCAAUAGUUUCUAAUAUUUUUGUCAGAAGUACCUCUUAUUUAUGAAAGAAGAAUUAAACUUCAUUGUGGUAAUUCUACUUCUAUAAUAAUGGGAAAUAAUCUUAUCCCAUAUCUAAGUCAAACAUCUUUAUCUUUUAAAGAUCUAUGCUUACUUCUGAUUGGAGUAGCAGAGUCCGAUGAUGUUCAGAAGCUACUAUGAUCAAAAGCUCUAAAUCAGUUUCCGAUGUAUAAUAGCCUCUGAAGGAUUUCAGCCUCUAAAACUCAGAAGAAGGUUAACUGCCUCUGAUAAGCACACAAGUGGAAAAAAACUAUUUCUCUGCCUCUAGAACCUGUCCUCUUAUGUGUCAUAAAUUUGGAAUGUCUUUUGACACAUGGAUUAUUGUUGUUGGGUAAAAACUCCUUUAAUCUCGUUGUUUUGUCUCAGUUAAUAUGCUUCUUUCCUGUUUGUUUAUGUAUUUCUUUUUUUGAUUAAAAAUUAUUUUACACUCAAAAUCACUCUAUAUAUCAGACGCACACACUAUCUCUCUCUCUCUCUCACUUCCCACACUUUUGUUUUCUCUAACCUCCUCUGGAAAAAACCUCUUUUCAAAAAGAAAACCCUAGAAACCCUAAAAACUCCUUCUAUAAAGGCAUCAUCGUCAAUUGCUUAACAAGCGCACAUGAUUGUCAAGUCUGGAAAAAGUAUGACUAUCAAACCCAAGACGAUGAACAUCAAUCAGAAUGAUCCAAAGCUUUUUGUGGAACAGAUUAUUGUCUUCGACUCAUUUAAUCAAAAUGGAUUUUACUCAUGGAGCUACUUCAGAAUAUAAGAGUGCUCUUAAUUAUUUGAUAUGCUGAAUGGAUCAACUUAUCCUUAUAUAGUAAGAUAUUUUUGGGUUAGGGCUGAAGUAUUUGAUGAAUAUUCUGCAUCUGUGGAACUCAAUCAGUUGGUAGAAAAUGCCAGCUCUUUGAAAGGAAAAAGUAUAGAAGAAGUGGGUUUGAAGAAGUAGAGACCAGAUCAGCAGUUAUGGGUGUUGAAUUUGUCAUCACUCAAAAGACGAAUAUUAAUCAGAUUUUAUGGGAUUACAAGAAUUUCAUCUUCUACCUGAAGAAUGAAGAUAAAAUCAAUCUCUCUACCUACAUCUUCAAUCAUUUUUGUGACGCUAUCAGGGAGAGCACAAAGAACCACAAGAAGAAUGUACCCUAUAAUAUAUUGAUGUAUGAACUAUUCUAUCAGGGUCGUCUAAUUGAUGCCCUUAAAACUUUGCUUGGAAAUGAGUAUCUGGAUGAGAUCCAUGGGAACAUUAUGUCUGCUUCUGUUCUUGCCAACAUGAACCUUCUGAAGAAAAGUGAAGUGGUGUCUUCAAAAGUACCUCUCUCAGCUAGAUGUGCUAAUACUGAUUAUCUUCAGGACUAUCUUGUCAUCACCAAGAUGGACAAUCCUGAAGUAAUCAGAUUAUACAUUGAACAUGAAUUCAAAGAAGGAGUGGUUAUAAGAUACAUAGACUUACCCAAUAAGCCUAUUGAAGUGUUUAAUCCAUCUAAAAAGAGAAAGCAGGUUGUUUCAAUAUCUCAUAAGGAAGUUCAUAAGCCUUUUAAGAAAAAGAAGGAUAUUGAGAAAGAGAUUGAAGAAGUCAUUGUAUCUACUGAGUCAACACUUUCUAAGACCAGAAGUGGAAUAACUCCUUAGAAGGAAUCUUCUUCUUUUGUCUCUACUGAUGCACCUACAAGAAAGAAGAAAUUAAGAAAGAUGGUUGUUCCUGCUGUUAUUAAAGAGGAAGAGGAAGAAGAGGAUGGUGUUAUUCCCCUUGUAAGAAGGAAGUUGAGUACAGAUGUUGCAGUCUAUGAGAGUAUUGUAGAACCUAUUUUUAUAAGUGCUCAACUAUUAGCCUUUGCUAUGUUGGAACAAGUAAAAAAGCAUCCUGAAAAGUAUGAUGCUAUGGUGGAAGAAGUUGCUGAUGUUGGAAUUGAUCUGGAGACUAUUGAGGUUUAGGUUGCUAAAGUUGUUGUUGGGUUAAAGUCUGUUGAGGAUGAAGAUUUUGGUAUUCCUGAAGAAGUCAGUUCAGAACCUAUUAUUGAAGAGAAUCUGGAUACUUUAGAAGCUCUGAAUACUGGUAUGACAUAACAGGUAUAAAUAUGAACUCUAUCUCGGAAGAUGAUUUUUAUUAUUGCACCCUAAACCACAAAUCACCAACUCCCUCACCAAAUCCCUCACAUAAUCCUUCUCCAAAACAUAAUUCAUCACCUGCUGUUGAAUCCAAUGUUAUUCAGAAUCAAUUAAAUAUAUUUUCUACUUCUGAACAACCAUCACCUCUGAACAUCAUGAUUUAACCACCCAUAGACGUGUCUAGUGGGAAAGCUUCUUCUUCUAGCUCUUAGUCAGAGUAUGAUGAAGCUGGUUUCGAAGCUCACCUUAACCUUAAAUAUGUAAUCCCUACACCUGUCUUUACUAGACCUAUCCAAGCCAUUAUUAUUCAAACCUUCUCUCCUCAAUACCUACCAUCUAACUAAACAUGUUAUACUUCUAAAGUUGAACAUGUAACCUUAAUCCAACCAAAACCUACUUCUCCACCAGAAACUCAACCACCUCAACUAUCACCCAAAUCUACACCUCAUAAAGAACCUAACCUUGUUCAAACUCAAAUCCAGAAUCAAGAUGAGAGAACUUCUAGUUAUGAACCAGUUACUUAUAAUGCUAAGUGGGAUUCUCUCCAAACUCUAUUGUAUCCAUUAUUCAGAAUUUGAAGGAUGCUGCUUCAGAAUAUGUCACUUCUUCCAGCAAAAUACAAGAGCCUUUAGAAGCAAAACUGGCCUCUAUUGUGGCUACUCAACAAGCCAUGGCUAUCAAGCAAGCAGAAAUGGAUGAGAAGAUGAAGUCUAUGAAUUCCAAACAAGAUAUUAUGGGUGUUAAUCUUAAAUUUGUUCUAGAUCUUUUGAAGAAACCACAGGCUUAAGAACUAGAACCUGUUUUCUAUUUUAUUUAUUCAUCUUCUCAAAACUGAUUAUAUUUAAUGAUAAUAUUUACUUAAAAUCAUAUUUUUCUUUGCUUUUUGUCUCAUUUUCUUGUGUGUGUUAUGCUAUGAGCUAAUUUUUUGGGAAUUGCAAAAGUUGUUUUUACUUAUUUUUAUCAUAAUUUAAAUUUUCCCACAUAUUUUUUCUCAAAUAUCAUCUCUCUCUCUCUCUCUCUCUCUCUCUCUCUUUAUCUGUGUGUGUGUGUGUGUGUGACAAAAGUUGUUUUUACUUAUUUUUAUCAUAAUUUAAAUUUUCCCACAUAUUUUUUCUCAAAUAUCAUCUCUCUCUCUCUCUCUCUCUCUCUCUCUCUUUAUCUGUGUGUGUGUGUGUGUGUGUGUGUGUGUGUGUGUGUGUGUGUGUGUGUCUAUGCUGGCAUAUUUUUAUCCACUUUUUGUUGAUGACAAAAGGGGGAGAAAACUAUGGGACUAUUUAAUUGGAUACAAGUAUUUUUGAAAUGCUUUUAUAUACUUGAACUCUCAUCAUAAUUUAUUCAAUGCUUAAAUCUGAACGUAUAUGUCUUAUGCUAUCAAGGUAAGUUUAAUUAACUUGGAUACGACUUAGGGGGCUUACAAAACUCAGCCUUAGAACUAAUAGACUCAGGGGGAGAUUACAAACCUUAGACUCUGAUGUUGUCAAGUUUGUUAAACUAACCAAACAUUGUUCUUAAAUACAUUUGUUUGUCGUCACCAAAAGGGGGAGAUUGUCGGAACAAGAUUUGUUCACAUCCCUUGGAUUUUGAUGAUAACAAAAUUCUUAAAGAACAAUUGGGUAUACUAACAUAUGUUCAAGUGUGCAGGGUCAUAAAGCUUAAAGUCUACUCAAAAUUGAAUCUGUUGAAAGCAUUUGUUGACAAGCUGAAUGUCUCAUAUUCAAAUGGAUAAAAAUAUGAUGGAUCAAAAUCUGAUGACUCUAAAGGACCAACUUCUGAAGGUUCAAACUUUAAUCAUGGUGCUUCUACCUCUGGUGAUAACUUAGUGUCUAGAGAUCUCAAUUUAAAAAUCUCAUCCUCUGAUCCGUACUCUGUCCCCAUAGCACAUAUCUUAUCAACACCAGACUUAGGGAAAAAUUCAACUAGAGUCCUCAUAGAUGAUGUGACUUCUCUAGUUCUCCCACUCGUCUGAUUUAUACCUAGGAUGAUAAAGAGAUGUAGUGGAUUAUUCUAUUACGCUUUGGUUGAAGAUCUUAGCAGGAUUUAUCUUCCAAUGUCUCUCUCUUGGAGUUGUUGCAUUUCAAAGUUCUCUUGUGCAUACAACUUUCCAAAGAUUCUUUGUCUGCCUCUAUAAAUGGGAGCUGAAGAUAUGAAGGAAGGUUAUUAAUCAUCGAACAUCUUAACAUAAUACAUUGAGUACAAACUUUGAGCUAAAGUUUGAUAUGUUUAUUUGCACAAGCUCUUAAGAUAUUUUAUCUUUGUAUAUCCUAGAAAUCUUAAGUGUUAAGAAUAAUUAUGAUUGUUGCAAUACUUAUAUACUUUUGAUUAUGUAUCAAAGUAUAGUUGUAAUUAUUCUUACUAAACUAUUUGUUUAAAGUAUAUGAAGUAUCUUGCAAGGUUGCUUGAGCAGUGAAGUCUCUUGCAUGUGUGCUUGAGCAGUGAAGUCUCUUUCUGGUGUGAUUGAGCAGAAGUCUCUUGCAAGAUUGCUUAAGCGGAAGUCUCUUUCUAGAUUAAUUGAGCAGUUGAAGUCUCUUUCUGGUUUGAUUGAGCAAAGUUGUAAUCAGUUUGAUUAUAGUGAAAAUAUCUUGUUGGACAAGGGGACUGGACUACUCUCGGUUUAGGAGAGGAAUCAGAAUAAACUAUGUUUGUUGAUUUACUUCUUACUUCUAUUUGUUUAUCUUUCCGCUACAAACUAACUAUGUGUUCAGACUCUGAACUGGUUCAGAUUCCGAAGUUGGUUUAUCACAAGUUCUAAAAGAAGUAACAUACACAAUUCAACCCCCCCUCUUGUUUAUUUUUCUCACCUUCAGAUUCCUUCUUCUUGCAUUUGAACCAGCUCGAGGUAGUACAAUUUACAGCAUGCAAGGGACAACACAUCAUGUAGCAAGCCUAUUGCAUGGUUAGACAUAACACUCGCCAUUCUACACAGUACAACUUUUGUAUACUUUUUCUUAUAGUGGUUGAUCUUAUCCAUUCUCUUUUCCAACUUAUUUGCACUCAAAUCCUCACACUUUUGUCACUUUUUCCCUAAUUCCAUCAACCUUUGUUACUAGUUACCUUCUUUCCAUUUGAUAUUUCGUUGAAAGUUGAGGUUCUUGUGAUGUCCCAGUUCUAUCGUGCCAUAACUUAUUGGAAACAAGUCAUACACAUGUGAGACACACAUAAACACUCACAAAAGAGGGCACUUAUUAUGCUCUUCACAAAAUUACUUAAAACAGUAAAAUUAACUUAAAUUAACUUAAUAAACUUGCUUAACACAAAAUAAAGUCAAGUGUUAAGGGCUUGAAUCUCUCACACAUAGUGAGUUAUCCGCCUGCUUGCAGCAAAAUGAUGGAAUAACUUCUUCACCAGGUCUUGAUAGAUGGUGACAGAUGUAAGUAUUGAGUGCACAACCUAAGAUGAGGGUGAAUUAGGUUUUAUGAAAUUAUCUAGUUAUUUUUUAGUUAAUGGAAAUUUUUGGAUAUUGUGACACUUUGUUGGUUUAUUUACUUGCAAUAGUUUUGCAAUGAAGACAAAAUGUUUGGUUUAUUUCCUAGUUAAGAAAGAUAUGAGAAAGUUGAUAGAAAAUAAAGUGUAGUAAUUGCAAAUAAAACAAGUAUAUCCUGGUUCCCCAUAUCCAACCAUUGGUAGUUUAUUCCCAUCACUCCCCAUGAGAUAUUAUCCAAUAUUAUCAGAUAUGGACUCUCCUACAAUCUUCUAAUAAUAACAAAGAAGCUACGCCACUUCCUUGAUUUCAUAGACACCAUACAACAAUGGUGGGCUUUGAAUCUUUGUGAUUCAAAUGACCUUUUCCAACAAGCAGAAAGACAAACCUUCAUAUUUUUAAUCUUCUGUAGAAAAUAAAACCAUUUUCUUACAGACAAAAAUCACCACACAAUUUGGUGGAAAAAUGACUAUAAACAGAUAAUUUUGUACAAACAGACUUUGCAUCAGACUUUAAUAACUUUUAGAGAUUUGUUAUUUUUCUAGUAUUAUGAAAACUAUGUUCUUCCCUUUUUUGUAACAAUUUAUAAUCAUUGAUAUAUUCAGUAGCUCCAUGACUUAGAAAGUUUUGCAUGAUGUGAAAGUUAUGCACACAAAGUUUUCUGUUAAAAAUUAUGAACACGGUAAAAUAUUUUCUAGGAAAGAGGUUAUUUGAAAUCUGGAAAUUCUAGCUUUAAACACAUCACAACGUACCUCUUGAAAAUGUGUUGCAAUGCUUUAAAAAUGUUCAUGAUUAAUUGCAAUGAUAUGUGAAAAGGUUUCAUGCAAAGGUAUUGCAAUGUUUCGUAAUUUUCAAAAAUAUCCAUGGUCCAAUUGAUUGGAGCAUUCCAUACAAUCAAUUGGCACUAAAUGUAACGUUCAAGAAUAUGCAAAAAUAUAUUGGUCCAAUCAAUUAUGGUCUUCAUCCAAUCGAUUAUGGGGAAUAGUUUCAAGGCAAAUUAAGUUCCAUACAAUUGAUUAUGGUGAUGGGUACAAUCGAUUGGAACCUUUAAUUUGAAGAAAUUCCAAAAGGCAAUGUCUAAACUACAAUUGAUUGUUGCUCUUCUCAAAUCCCAUUCAAUUGAUCGUGGCAACACACCAAUCUAUUGUGGCUAUACAAAAAUUUCAAAUUUCCCCAUUUUUUCAAAGAGUGUCAUGAAUGAAAAAUGUUAUAAAUAUUCUAAGAGCCUUAAAGAAAGUUUGAGUUGGAGUGAGAUACUUGAGCACUUAAUGUAUAACCAGUAAAUUAAAUUGCCACAAAUAACUUGAUUAAAAGAAUACUUUCUUGAAUUCCAUUACUUAACACAUGAACAAAUUAUUCAAAUAUUUUUCUUCUUUGAUCUUUCUUCCAUGAUAAUCUUUUGUCUUCAUCAAAACCAAUCCUUCAAAAGACGAUCAACAUCUUCUUCAAAAUCUUCCCCUUUUUAUGAUGACAAAUCACAUUGAUGGGAAGUUUUUGCUUGAAACUUGUUUUCUUCCCCUAUCUUGUAUAUUUCCCAUAUCUUGCAUAUCUUCCCCUUUAUUAUUGCAAUUUAUUCUAUGAUGUCUUUGAUAUCUUGAAAAACAAUAGAAACAACCAUCUCUUUUCUCCCCCCUUUUUGAGAUUAUCAAAAAGACAAAGAGUAAAAUCUAAAUGGGUAUAUUAAUAUAAGAUAAAUUGUAUAUUAAACAUAAAAGAACUUAUCUUCUUUACAAUAUAUGAUUUGAUUUCAAUCUUUUUCAAAUCAUCUUAAUCCAACGAAGCUUUAAUUCUACCAUAUCAUAUGGUUUUAUAUCUUGAAAGGUCAAUCUUGAAUUGACAAUACUAGCAUAUGAUCUUCAAGUAUCUACAAAACAAUUAAUAGUACUUUCUAGGUAUCUAAUUUUUUUUGUCCUCUUGGGUUAGAUCCUCUCCUCACCCAUACAUACUCACCAUAAGGAAUACCAUAAUUUCUUAUGUAGUAAGUAUUAGAAGUAUGGUAUGACACCUAAAACCCUGACUCACAAUUAAAAGGAUAAAAUUCACAUUUUAGGAUGCUACUCAAACACAACAUGCAUACUUCCCAAAUAUUUUUAAAACUCAUAGCGGAAUUCAAAAUAAAUAGCAUAAACUUCAGUUAUCUCAUCACACUGAAAUGCUUAAUGAAAUUAACAUAAUCCAACAAUUAACUGAAAACAAUUAAAAUACCAUGUUCCCCGAUGUUACAGAUCAGAGAAUUAAACCAACUAAAUAGCAGUAAACGAUAAAAUAAACGAAUAAAAGCUCAAAGUCCAUCUUCCAACUCCAUCAUCACUUACUCCUCCUGAGUAUUUGUACAACAACGUACAGAGCAACACAAAAAAACAAGAAAUAGGGUGAGAAUACACUCAAAUAUAUUAAUGGUGUAAAAGAAUGCAAGGGUAGUUUAAAUCAUACAAUCAAUAACAAGUAUUCAAUUACACAAUAAUGCAACAAUUCAAUUCACAUAGCCUUUACGUAUGUAAUGUGACUCACAACUCGAAUCUAUUUGUGUGGUACCAAUUUGGACUUCAAAUGUUUGUUACUGAUCUCAUCCCUUCAAAUUGGUUCCUCAUUUAAAUCGGGUCCCCACUUAUGAACCUGGAAUGAUCACAUAUCCCCACUUUUGAACCCAUGACUCGCCUCUUUCAACACAUCAACACAAAAUGAUGCAUGAAAUAUAAGUAAUGCAACAACAAUGAUAAUAACACUUAUUGUUCCACUUCUAACCAUAAGAAACAUGUAAUACAACAUUAAACAGUAGUCCCUGCUUCUGAACUACACACCUCACCAUAACAUAUACAAUUAUCUUCACAUCAUAUAAUUGUAUUUGCAUCAUAAAAACUUAUAAACAUAAUCAUAAUUAUACAACACAUCACCGUUUGCACAUAAAAUUAUAACUCACCACUUAUAAUCAUGUAAUUAAUACAAUUAUCACUUCCUCAACAAAAGAAUUCACAUUAAUUAAUUAAAUUCAUCAAAUACACCAAAACAGCAGUCAACCAUUGACUACACGAGAAAACAACAUUGAAAAUUGGACUUAUCAUUUAAAAACUAGUUCCUGGUGUCAUGACGACUGCCCCCUUCACAAAUCAUUACUCAUGUGACGACCGGCAGAAGAAAUCCCACCUGGAGACCAAGACGGUCUCCCUGUCACCCUACUGAUGACCGUCAGCUUACCCAAAAGCAUGACGGGCAACCCGUCACACUGAUGCUGAAAGCAAUUUCUACGUUUUUGGCCAUGGGAGCUCAUUCAAAACUCUGACUUUAAUCCCCAGCACCCCAAUUGACACAAAAAAUAAUAGAUACAUAUUAUACAGGGAUCAAAUCAUCACAUACUCAUCAAUUAUCAUUCAAUUUCACCAAUUAAUCACACAUUCAAGGUUAUGUUCAUAGCACCAAAACACAUCAAUGACAAUAACCAAAUUCAUAAUUUAUACCAACACAUCAUACACAAUAUUUAGGACAUAACAGUGUACGAAUUUACACAUUAAAAAUAGAAAUUAACAUGGAUUUCACAUAAUCAUCAUUCAACACUCAUAAAGCACAACAAUCGUGAAUAAAAUCUAGAGGAGAGUGAGGAUCCCUCUCCACCCUUCAUGCAAUACACUUAUAUUCAAGUAGUCCCCCUACCUGAAUUUCCAACAAAAAUCUCCAAGCUUUGUAUAUGGUUUCCUUCUCUCUCUCUCUCUCUCUCUCUCUCUCUCUCUCUCUUCUCUCUCUCUCUCUUCUCCAACUCUCUCAAUUUCUACGUACUAACCCAAAUAAGCUCUAAUAAUUCAUUUUUAAUAAUAAACCUAAUUUAUGAAUUUAAUAAUUACACCUUGGCCCUAAAUCCUUGUAAAAACAAGAUUUGGUUCUACAUAUGUUCUUAUGUUUUGAUGAUAACAAUGCAUAGAUUCAUAAAGAACAAUUUUGUACCCUAAUAGUUUUGUUAAGUGUGCAGAUACUAGAUAUAAGUUCUGACUUUGAAGAAAUGACGUGUAACAUCAUCAAACUCUGAACCUAGUGCACUCUAACUCUGAGAUGUGUAUUCUACAAGAUAAUCAAGCUCUGGACUACUCUACUCAAAGGUUCUGAACAUUGCUCAUCCAAAGCUUUAUGACUCUGAUAAGAGAAGUCUCUAACAUUAUCAAGUUUUAAUAUCUUACACUGAACAACUCUGAUGAACUGUGUCACCAUAAUCUGAAGACUUGGUUCUGAUGAAUUGGAUCAAGACUCUGAAGACCAAGUUUUUGAAGACUCUCUCAUAUAGAAUUUGAUUCUUCUUCUAUGCAUGCUUCAUCAACUCUAUACCUGAAGCCCCUGAACAAUUGAAGAUAAGAUCAAAAAGUUUCACGUGAGAAAAUAGUACAUAGUACAAGAUCACUAUUCUUUCCACUACACUGAUUUUGUGGGAAAAUGAUUGUACUAUAGUACCAUUGUGUCUCCCAUUUUCCACAGCCAGUUAUACAAGGAUACAACUAUAUUUGUGUAUUUCAUUUCUGCCCUCCAACAAAUCUUUCCAUUGCCUAUAUAAAGGAGUCUUGGAAGAAUGUAACAUCGCCAACAAAGAAGAAAAUAGAUACUACGUGAAUAUUGCAUAUUGUGAAACAUUUGAGAGAAAUAAAAACAAGCACAGAAGGAACUUUUGUUCAUACACUUUCAUAGAAAAUAUUGUUUGUCUAAAAUCCUUUGUAAUUCAUUUGCAUAAUCUGCUUUCUUAGAAGUAUCUUGUAACACACUUUGUAUCUCAAUUUUUGAGUUGUAUUUCCUUGAGUGACUAAGUAUAGUCAUAAUUACUCAAGAAGACGUUGACAGUUAGUCUUUGUGGUUGUAAUCAAUUUUGGUUAUAGUGGAUUAAGUCCUUGUGAUAAUGCAAAAUCACCUUGGCGGGUAGACUGGAGGUAGCUUAGUUAACAACGAGUCAGGAUAGAAAUAAUUAUUUUCAUUAUUUUUAUUCUAAGUUUUCUUCUUGUCAUUUUAGGUUGCAAAAGAUUUUCAUUCUAGAAACCCAAUUCAAACCCCCCUUUCUUGUGUUUCCAUUACCUUCACUCCUUUCUAAUUAUCACCAUUUUGCCUCAUCUUUCUAUUAAUUCCAAUUUUCACCCAAUCUCUCACAACUUUAUUAUUUUCUAUUAUUUUAGUCAUUUAAAAUUAACUAAGAAUUUGAAUCAAUUUAUACCACUCUCUAUAAUUCCCCGAAAAUUACCCACAAUUGCCAAAUAGUCAUAUAACACAUUUUAUCACCAAAAUAAAUAAAUAAAAACAUUAUAAAUCACUUAAAUAAUUAAAUAUAAGCAACAAAAUUUUAAUUUAAUUAAUUAAUUGAAUUCGGGGUGUUACAUAUGACCUUUUGCAUUACAAUAAAAAUUAGUAAAGCUAAAAACAUGAUUCAUUUUAUUGACAUAAACCUUAUUUUUAUCAUAAAACCUUUUAUGAUGAUUUACAACAUGUACUUUCUUUAAUUCCCUAUUGUUAAAUUUGCUAGUAGCCUUUACAAAGAUAGUUUAACUUGGACUAGGUUUAUCAAAAUUAGACAAGCCAAGUCAACAUUUAUUACUUGUGAAUCUUUGACUACUUAACACAUUUUUUAAACUAAUUUAACUUUUUUCAUAUUUCAUGAUCACUUGGUUUAAUUAAAAAAAUUUAGAUUCAUGAUCUUGACAUUUAUUGCAUGUAGAAUCUUCUAAUUCCACUUUUGUGUCAUUAGCCAUAUUUUCUAGUUUUAAAUAAGUUUUCUUUUGAUUUGAACAUUGUCCAGAAAGUUUCAAAAAUUCUUCAUGUAAUUCUUGAAAAGCAUUUUAUAAUUCAUCAUAUGAAGGACUAUCAUCAAUUCAUGAAAAAUAUUUUAUAAUUCAUCACAUGAAUGAUGUGAUGUCAUCAAUGUCUUGCUUGCAUGGUCUUCAUCUCAAGAUGAACUUAUUUCAUUGUCAUCUCAUGCUACAUAUGCUUUCUUUGGCCUCUUGUACUUCUUGCUUUUAAAUUUACUCUUCUUUUCAAGUGUAGGGCAUUCACUCUUUACAUGUCCUUUUUUUCACAUUCAAAGCAUGUAACAUUCCUUAUUGGUGUUUCUUUCUGAAUGAUCUCCUUUUUCCUUUCUUUUCUUAAGAACUUUUUAAACCUUUUGAUAAGAUCAUCAUCUUCAUCAUUAUUGGACUCAUCCUCUUGGUUGCUAUCAUGAUUUUUUAAUCUAUUAUUUAAGGCAAGACUUUUUGAAUUCUUUCUUUCAACUUUAUGCCUUUCUUGUUUUUCAAGUUAUAUCUUGUGUUCUUGAAGUUUACCUGAUAAUGUUGUAGAAGACAUUUUUGAAAGACUUUUCUUUUCUGAAAUAGUUGUUACCUUUGGUUGCCAAGUUUUUGUCAAAUAUCUAAGUACUUCUGAAUUUAAUUCAUCAUUUGUAAAAAAAUUAUCGAGAGCCAUCAAAUGAUUUGUUAAAUGACUAAAUAUCUUUUGAAAAUCAAUAAUAGAUUCACGGAUCUGCACUCUAAACAUUUCAUAUUUUUGUGAUAAAGUGUUUAGUUUUGAUCUGUUUACCUCUAUCGUUCCUUCAUGUGUGACUUCUAAAUCAUCUCAAAUCGUCUUUGUUGUUUUACAAUGAGAUAUACGAAAGAAUUCAUACAUACCUAGGGUUGAUUGAAGCAUGUUCCUUACCUUCUAGUUAAAUAAGAUAUUUUUCUUAUCAUCAGCAUUGCAAGAGAAUUUUACUUUUUUUGUUCUACAUUAUUGAUGACCGUCUUAGGAACAUAUGGACCAUUUUCAACAGCAUACCAUAUAUCAUCGCCUUGUGCUUCAAGAUACGCUUGCAUGCGAAUUUUCCAAAAAAUAUAAUGUUCACCAGCAAAUCAUGGAAGUUUGUUGUUAUUACCACCAUCUCUAAAAACCAGAUUUGCGGGAGCCAUUUUUCUCGGAUCAAGGAACACGUUACCUGAACCUGCUCUGAUGCCAAUUGUAAGUAUUGAGCCCCCAACCUAAGAGGAGGUUGAAUUAGGUUUUAUGAAAUUAUUCGGUAAUUUUUUAGUUAAUGGUGAUUUCUAGAUUUUGUGACACUUUACUGGUUUAUUUAUUUUUAUUGGUUUUGCGAUGAAGACAAAUGGUCUGGUUCAUUUUCUAGUUAAAAGAGAUAUGAUAAAGUUGAUAGAAAAUAAAGUGGAGUAAACAUAAAUAACACAAAGAUAUAUCCUGGUUCCCCUUAUACAACCAAAGGUAGUACAUUCUCCUCACUUCCCAUGAGAGAUUAUCCAAUAUUGUCAAAUUUGUGUACAACUUACAACAAACUCUUAUACAAUCUUUUAACAAUAACAAAGAAGCUACACCACUUCAUUGAUUUCACAGACACCACACAACAAUGGUGGACUUUGAAUCUCUGUGAUUCAAAGGACCUUUUCCAACAAACAGAAAGACAACCUUCCUAUUUUAAACUUUUGUAGAAAAUAUAACCACUUUCUUACCAAAAAAAAAUCACCACACAAUUUGGUGAAAAUUACAGUAAACAAAUAAUUUUUGUACAAAGAGACUUUGCAAUAGACUUUAAUAACUUUGAGAGAUUUGCUGUUUUUCUGGUAUUAUGAAAAUUAUGUGUUUCCCUUUCCUGUAACAAUUUAUAAUCACUGAUAUAUUCAAGUGCUCAAUGACUUAGAAACUUUUGCAUGAUGUGAAAGUUAUGCACAAAAAGUUUUCUAUUAAAAAUUAUGAACAUGGUAAAAUAUUUUCCAGGAAAGAGGUUAUUUGAAAAUUGAAAAUUUUAGCUUUAAAUACAUCACAACAUGCCUCUUAAAAAUGUGUUGCAAUUCUUGAAAAAUGUUCAUGAUUAAUUAAAAUGAUAUAUGAAAAUGUUUCAUGAAAAUGUGCAAUGAAAAGCUAUUGCAAUGUUUCAGAAUUUUAAAAAAGAUUCAUGGUCCAAUUGAUUCGGAUAUUCCAUACAAUCAAUUGACACUAAAUGUAACAGUAAAAAAUAUGCAAAAAUACACGGAUCCAGUCAAUUGUGGUCUUUAUCAAAUCGAUUGUGGGGAAUAUUUUCAAGGAAAAUUGAGUUCCAUACAAUUGAUUAUGAUGAUGGGUACAAUUGAUUAGAACCUUCAAUUUGGCUAAAUUCUAAAAUUCAAUAUCUAAGCUACAAUCUUGCUUUUCUCAAGUCACAUACAAUUGAUUGUGGCAAUACAUCUAAUCUAUCAUGGCUAUACAAAAUUUCAAAUUUCCCCAUUUUUCAAAGAGUGUCAUGAAUGAAAAAAUAUUUUAAAUGUUCUAAGAUCCUUAAAGAAAGUUUGAGAUGAAGUGAGAUACUUGAGCACUUAAUUUAUAACUAGUAAGUUAAAUUGUCACAAGUAUCUUGUUCAAAAGAAUACUUUCUUGAAUUUCAUUACUUAUCACAUGAACAGAUGAUUCAAAUAUUUUUCUUCUUUGAUCUCUCUUCCAUGAUAAUCUUGUCUUCAUUAAAACUAAUGCUUCCAAAGAAGAUGAACAUCUUUUUCCCAACAGAGAUCCUAGGGAGGGUGCCUCCCUCGUGGAUGUGUCUGUAAAGGUGACAACCGGAGCUUGCACUUCAAGGGAUUAGGUGCUCCAAUUAUAUUAUUAAAUUUAAUUUUUUUCCAAAUUCAUUGUCUUGCAUAUUCAAUUUUGAUUAUUGGUCAGUAAUCAAAGUUUGUGUUUACUCUUAAUUUAAAUUGAAAUAAAUCAAUUGACGAUUCAAUUCAGAAUAAGAUUAUUCGAUUUAAUCUAAAUGCUUCUUAAUUUUAAUUCAAAUAGGAUUUACUAGAAUCUAUAACGGUAGUUAAAGGUUUGAAACAAUUACUUCUUUUGUACCAGUUGUGCAAUAAUUAGAAUCAAUCUCAUUGUUUAGAUUGAAUUCGUGUUAGAGUCUGUUUGGUAAGACCUUAAAAAGAGUUUUUAGUUUUUCAGUCCACAUUAAUGAAAAAAAUUUGUUUGGUAAAUGUCUUUUAGCUUGUAGUUAUUUUACUAGCUUUUUUUUUUCAAAAGCUAUAUGAAGUGGCUUUUGAGCCGGUAGCUUAUAACUUGUGAUUUUUUCUUCCAUUUAUAUCCUUAUUAUUUUAACAAAAAUAUAUUCUUACUCUUCAUUAUACAAUUAAUAUAUAUAUAUAUAUAUUCGCGUCAAUUUAUAAGAUGAAAGAUGAUUCAAUAUUUAUUAUCUUUAAGUAACAUCUAAAUUAUAUAAUAAAUUUUAAAAUAGUGUUGAUAAUUUUCAAAUUAGUGAAACGUCAUAGGAGAAUAAUGAUAUUAACCAAGACAAAAAAAAUCAGGAUACCACUACAGUUUUAUUGUAGAAUAUUAAACAAUAAACUUAAUUUUAUUAUUAUUUUAGAUUAAUUUAACUGAAUUCAAAAUUACAAUAUUAAUAAUUUAUGUAUAUUGUUAAAUUUCAUUAUAAAAAUUGUAUACAAAUUUAAUAUAUUUUGAUGCUUUCUUUGAUUUUUCAUAUAUAUUAAAGUUGUUUUCAUGUUUUUAUUAAUACAUCUAUUUUUAUCGAAUAAAAAUUAAUUUAAUUUAAUAAUAUAAUAAGAUAAUGAAUCACCAAUUUUUAAUCACCAAUUUAUAAUUAAAAAUAUCGUUUUAUGUCAUUUUGUAUCUAUCAGUUAGUGUAACAACUAAUUUACCAAAUAUUCAAAUUAAUUUAUCAUCUAUCAAUCAUUAGCUAUAAGUUAUCAGCUAUCAAUCAUCAACUAUAAAUUAUCCGUCAUUAACUAUCCGCUAUCAACUAAUUUUAUCGAACAAAGAUUAAUUAUCAAUUAAUAUUUUUUGAAACAUGUGAUAUAUUCACAACAAUUGUAUUAAUCAAUGAAACAAUUCUUUUAAUUCAAAUCUUUUUUUCCGAUUAAACAACGUUAUUGGUAUUCAAAUAUCUUGAUAAAUAAUGGCCAAUGUUAAUCAUCUUAUUAAUAUACAAUUUAUAAUUUAUAAUUUUUGACUACAAUCAUCAAUAAUUUCAAAUCUUAAAAUUAAUCCCAAAACCUAAUUGUUUCUAAUGAAGAAGUAACAGACUAGUUAGAGAAACAAAAAUGAAAUUUAUAAUUAUCCUAUGGACUCGUUUGUUUUGUCUUUUUUAAAAAAUUAUCUUUAUAAUAUUAAAUGAUUUUAUAUAUUUGUUUUUUAUUAAAAACCUUUUUAUAAAAAUUUUAAAUAAAAAUUAGUUUAAAUAAUUAUUUUUAAAAUGUUAAUUUUGAUAUUUCAAAAAUCUUUUUUAGAUAUCAAAAUUUUAAAAAAAAUCACUUUUAAAUAGUUUUUCAUAAAAAAAAUUAUAUCUAAGACACAAUUUUUUAAAAAAAUUAUUUUGAUCUUCAAUAAUCUAUAUUUAUGUUAUAGAAUAUCAAAAUUAAUUUUUUCAAUUUAGAAAAAACGAAUAUAAAAAACUUAUAAUAUAUUGAAAAACAGUUUUAUAAACUUCAUUUCUAAAAAUACAAAAAAAUAAUUAAUUUUUUAAAGCUAAAACAGAUCAAUCUUAUAUAAAGUAAUAGUUUUUCUUUUUUUUCCGUAUAAACCAAAUAUUUCAACAUGCAAUUACAGAUAUUUAUGAAUUGAAAAUAAAACUCACUCUUAAAAUAUUUAACAUCUAUAUUUUUAUAUAAAAGGAUAAGAGAGCUUGGACUAACCUAUUUUUCUUCCAAAAUUGUCCCUUAAAUAACUUCUUAAUUUUUUCUAUCAAAAUUAUUCCAUAAAGGAAUAACUUCUCAAUAUUUCAAAUAAAAAAGAUUCAAAUAAUAAUAACUUUUCAACAUAACUUCUCACAAUUUAUAUAAUAUUUUUUCUUUCCUCAUUUAUAAAAUUUAUUCAUCAAGUUUAUUAUACAAAUAAUUUGAAAUUAAAUAUUAAAACUAAUAAAAAAUAUCUAUUUAUAUUUUUGACACGUGAUCAUUAAAAAAAGCGGACAAACGAGAAUGAAAGUGCACGUUUGGACGCUAAUCAUUAUAAUUUUAGUGUUUUCACGCAUAGAAGAAUAACUUUAAAUAUGUUAUUUAAAAUUUAACAUUAUUUUAUUGAUAUAUUAUCGAGAUUUGAAAUUACUAUUAAAAAAUAUAAAAACCUAGUAAUUGAUUUUGUCUAUUCACUUAUGGUAUGUGAUUAGAUCUAUGAGUUAGACUCUUAAAAUAAAACGAACCAACAUAUUUUGUCUUAAAAAACCAUUUACAAGUAAUAUAAUAUAUUUCAUGUCUCAAAUAUACUUAUAACAUGUUUGGUUUGGUUUUUGUAAGAGACAAAAGUAAUUUUAAAGGUAUAAAAUUGAUUCUAGAGUGAUUUUAUGUUGUUUGAUUCUUUUAAAAUAGAAUUGGUUAUGCCUUUAGGAUUGAUUAUACUAAAAGUUAGAAUUUAUAGUUUCUGAGUUUUAGCGUGAUUUUUACAUUGACAUUUGUUGUUGCACUACUACGAAAAAACCAUUUCACAACGGUUGAAAAAUGGAUAUCACCAUGUCUGAUCGACCGUUGUGAAGUAGGGGUAGUUAUAUGUAUGAUGCUUUCCACCAGAAUCGUACGCUCGUGAUUAUAAGCUAUGUAGCGCGCUACCUAUCAAAACAGUUACUUUAAACAACUGUUAUGAUAUUCUUAACUCAUAACAUUUAACAAUGGUUGGUAUAAACAACCGUUGUGAUAUAUACACUGAGUUUAUUAAAAAUUAUAUGGAAGACUUAUUUCGCCAACUCUCACUAAACAUAUAACUUUUCAAUAUGAUCUAGGACAUUAUAAGAUGACAAAUUAAAUUAUAUUAGAAGAAUAAGCUCACGUUCAAUGUUAGACAAGAGUUUUGCAACUCCUUAUCCGUAUUUUGUUCUUUAAUGGUUAGAACUUUGUCUAAUGCUCCUAGUUCUUUCACCUCCCUUUCCUUCACCUCUAGUUCAUUUAAAAAAAUAUUAUUUACUUUGCAAAUAAAAUUAGAGGUGGAGAAAUGGACGGUUAAAGAACUACAAGCAUUAAAUAAAGUUGUAACUAUUUAAGACCGAAAUGCAGAUAAUGGACUGAAUAGAAUUGAACGUAUAUUUGUUUUCUAAUAUAACUUUAUCUAUCAUAGUAUAAUUUUCUAAUGCAAACUGAAAAGUUAUAUAUUUGGUAAGAGAUUGGAAAAACACUCAAAUCACAUUAGAUAUAAUAAACUCGUCUUUUAAAUAAGUAUUAACAACAACAUUCAUCAACAACAAACCUUAAACAACAUACAAUAUAACACUUUUAUUAAUAAGAACAACAACAACAUAUAUCAACUCAUAGAAUAUUUCAGAAAUGUGUCUAUCUCCCAUAAUAAUAUCCACAAUAAAAUGAGGAUGAAACUGAAGUGAGAGUUGCAAACUUAUGUUAAUUUUGCAUGGAUGUCAUUCUGGGUCUUUCACACAAGUUUGUAGUGCUCACUUUAGCUUUAUUCUCGUUAUUGAAACAAGCAUCCCUGCCUACCAGUCAAAACAGACAGAAAGUUCAAACAUUAUGAAAUAAGUUAUUGAAACAUAAACAAUAAUACAUCAACAUAAACAGAUUUUGAAACAAAACAAUAUUAACAAGAACAUCAACAACAUACAACAACAUUUAUGAAACAAGUUAUUAAAAUAUAAGCAAAUUUUGAAAUAAAACAACAUCAACAACAUACAAUAAUAUUUAUCAAUAACAUACACGACAACAUACAUGAAAAUAACAUACAACAACAACAUACAACAACAAUGUACAACAACAUACAAUAUUUAUCUAUAUUUAUCAACAACAAAAAAAUCAUGUGAAACAUAACAACAACAUAUACGAAAACGAGAGAAUAAGAAAGAAGAAGAAUACCUUUAUGUAUGAAGAACAAGAUUGAGGCAAUAGUGUAGAAUAGGAAAGCUAAUGAAGAAGAAGAGAGAAAAUGUGUGUUAGGAUUUUGCUGUGAGAGAUACAGUGAUACUGUCAAGAAGCGAGAGUUAAUUCGCUUAUAUAUGAGUAAACAAUUUCACCAAGGUCGUAUUCAAAAACCGUGAUGAAAUUUAAUGUCUUUCACAAUGAUUGACAUUACCAACCGUAGUGAAAAAAUAGAAAAUUAUUGGAGCUUAGAUUUGAACCAUGCCAUUUCAUAGAUGUAUAAUCACGGUUAUUUGUUUUGACGGUAAUGCAAUAUCUUUUUGUAAAUAAAAAAAAUACAUCCAUAAAUGAGAUAUUAACACGAUUAACUGUCAUACCAUUGUUAAUUAAUGUUAUCGAAUAUAUAUUUUGUAAUAAUGUUAAACUUAAUUAUACACAAAUAUAUUCAAAUAUAAAUCAAUUCGACUAAACUCAAUUAUUUUAAAAUUAAUUCUAUCAAAGUCAAUUUUAUAUAACCCCAACCCAAAAACACAGUUACUCUUUAAUAAAGCAACCUAUUAAAUAAACAAAAAAAUAUGUUAUCUUUAUAAACCCCUUUACUUCACCACCUUAGGAUGAGUUAUUUUGGAGCAUCCAACCGCUAUGGUUUCAUCAAAAUGAAAGUUUCACCUUGUUGAUCAAGAUCAUGAAUAGAGUUCCAACAAUCGCCUUCACCAUAACAUGAAAGACACACAUACGUAGUGAUGACGCAAUGAUUGAGUAAGAGUGAAAUGAUGGCAGUGUAUCUGUAAUGGAAAAAAAAUGUUAAAAAGCAUAAUCAUUUUACGCAUUAUUAUACACAUUUUUCACUUUUUAAGAUAUAAAUAACCUCACACAAAUCUUUGCUAUUGGGUCACACCUUUCAGCAUCACCAAGUUUGCUCAGCUAGUAAACACCAGAAUACCCUAUAUUAGUUCCCACAUACCUUUCACAACCCAUUAUGGACCCCUCCAACCUUCUCCUGUUUCUCACUGUCUCCUAAAUAAAACUUUAUAAUUUUUUAAUUAUGCACAUUUUUAUUUCUUAUGAUUUAAUUAAUUAGAAUAGAAAAAAAGGUGAGGGCUAUAUAUAAAGGCAGUGUUGGUGAGACUUUUACUUUUGCAUUAGUUUGAAAGACUUUACAAUAUUGUUGUUGUGGGAGUUAUUAUGGGGAGACAACCUUGUUGUGACAAACUUGGUGUGAAGAAAGGUCCUUGGACUGCUGAGGAAGAUAAGAAACUCAUCAAUUUCAUUCUUACAAAUGGACAAUGUUGCUGGCGCGCCGUGCCUAAACUCGCUGGUCUUAGGCGUUGUGGGAAGAGUUGUCGCCUUCGAUGGACUAAUUAUCUUCGUCCUGAUUUAAAGAGAGGUCUCCUCACCGAAGUAGAGGAGCAGCUUGUUAUUGAUCUCCAUGCUCGCCUCGGCAACAGGUAAUCCAAACACAGACACCGUAUCUGACACUGACACUGCAUAAGUUUAUCUAUAAUUCUCUCAUAUUUUAAUAAACAUGGUUUUCUUGAGUUGCAAGCAAUUGGAUAUUUGUAUAUUCUUUUCAAUAUACUAGUAAUAAUAUUUUUUCUUAAUAUAAUAUUCUCUAUACGUAACUGCAGAGAUUCUAAUUCUACAGAUAUAUGGUUGAUUGUUGUUGCAGGUGGUCGAAGAUUGCUUCGAGAUUACCGGGAAGAACAGAUAAUGAGAUAAAAAAUCAUUGGAACACUCAUAUCAAGAAAAAGCUAAUUAAGAUGGGAAUUGAUCCCAUUACUCACGAGCCUCUGAAUAAACAAGCAUCAUCCAAUGAAACUUCAUCCCCUGCAGAGAAUUUGUCACAGCCAGACAACAACCAUGAAGUGAAGGAAACCGACGCAGUUGUGAAUUCGGAAGAGAAUUCAAGGUCACCCGCUACAGAAAAUUCUUCUGGAGAAGAAUCUCUUUUGCUAGAUAGUCUCUGCAGUGAUGAUUCUCUAAUGAAUAGCUUAUGGUUAGAUGAAACACCAUUGGUGGAGGCACUUUGGGAAAUGGACACUACACCUAUAGCAGAGACAGAGACAGAGACAGAGAAUACAAAAAAUGAGAUGAAUUUUGUGCCUUCUUGGGAGGAUAAUUGUGCUUGGUUAUUGGAUUGUCAAGACUUUGGUAUUCAUGAUUUUGGAUUUAAUUAUUUCAAUGAGAUAGAAUCAAAGGAAAAUCAACAUUAGCAUAUUCAUGAAUAAGUAAGUAUAUUUGGUAUGUGACAAAAAAAAAAUACCAUGAGCUCAAAUUGUGUUGAGUUUUAUUUAGUUAGUAUUUCAAUGAGUUGUUUUCUUGGUGAGCAAAAUCUAAAAAAAUUGAUAGCAAACCAAAAAUCUUGGAAAUGCUACAUACUAGUAAAUAUUUAAUUUCUUUUAAUUGGUGUAAUUUUAUGUGUAUUCUAGUGACCAAAAGAAACGUGAACAAGUGUCAAAGUAAUAUUAGAGGAGUCUAAGUCUAACACCUAUAUAUUGUACAAAGAUGAUGAUUACUUUGAAAAUAAUGGUAAAACCUUAUGUGAUUAUUUAUUCUGCUCUGUUGUGUUAUUUCCAUUUUUCUAUUUUCUGUCACAUUAGAUGUUGAGGUGCAUGUGCUGAUGAAACAGUAACAGUUUGACAUGCUAAUGAAAUGAAGCACAGGCAAGGUAGUGCUAUACAUACUGAUUUGCCAUGUGCGCAUCUGUUCUAAAAUAAGUUACUUAAUUGACCAAUUUAUAUAUAUUGAGAAAACAAUAUGAAUGAAAGGAAGAAAAUAGUUUUUUUUUUUUACAAAGGAGGGCUGUCUAAAGGUUUAGAGAAAAAAUAAGAAAAAAAUUAAGAAAUUCUAACAAAUUUUAAAAAUGAGAUCUUAUGGGAGGCCUCAGUUACCGCUAGUAUUGAGAUAGCAAUUAAAGAGGAACUUUUAAAUUUGAAUAAAAAGGAAUACAAAAGGAACACGUGGGAGAUACAAAAUAGAAAAAAAGAAAAACUGAGAAGGUUAACGUAUAUGGCAAUGUGAUCGAUAAAAGCUGAUGGAGUGAAUGUCGACUUCAUUCAAUCCAAAUGAAUGGGCCAGAUGUGGGUUCUACACACUUACUUGACACCUUAGGCCCAAAAUAAAUUAGGGCUCAAGGAGAAAGUUCUGAAACACAAACAGGGCAUGGCUUCGACAAAGAAUCUCACUAUUCCGGUGAACCUCCAGACGGGAGAGACCAUGAAAGUAGAGAAACAACUAAGCACCAUAAGGAAGAUGAAGCGUGAGUGGAAGAUGACAACUCAGACAUGGAGGUUGUUGAAGAAACACCUAGUCAAGAAGAGAGACUUGGAACCACCCAAGAAUUUACUUUUAUGAUUAGUCAACUUACAAAUAGAAUUAUGAUUUGGAACUAUCGUGGAGAAGCUAGCAAAGCGUUUCAAAGAGUGUGCAAGCAAUUAGUGAAAGAGAAUAACCCAUAUAUUGUGGUGAUUGUGGAGACACGUAUGGAACCUCAUAAACUAGAAAAAACCUUCAUUCUGUUAGGUUUUAAUAUUUUGGUAAGGUCGGAAGUGAGAGGCUUCUCGGGAGGGAUAUUUAUGGCAUGGAAGUCGAAUAGAGUGAAGGUGGAUGUUCUGCAAAAAUAUUUCAAGUUUUUACAUACUAAGAUCAAGUUUGAGGGAGAGGAAGAGUGCCUCUUCACACCUGUUUAUACGUGUCCCAGGGAGGAUGGGCGUAAGGAGUUACGGCAAAGGUGGAUGUUCUGCAAAAAUAUUUCAAGUUUUUACAUACUAAGAUCAAGUUUGAGGGAGAGGAAGAGUGCCUCUUCACACCUGUUUAUACGUGUCCCAGGGAGGAUGGGCGUAAGGAGUUACGGCAGGAGUUGCACAACUUAUCAAAGCAAAAUCAGGAAAGUUAGAUGCUUAGGGGAGAUUUUAAUGAAAUUAUGCAAGCUUCGUAGAAGGGGGGAGGGGAGUACCAGCGUUAAUAAGAAAAUGUGACAACUUCAAAGAUAGAAUUGAAAAUUGUAACCUGAUGGAUUUAGGGUUCCUAGGCCAUAAAUUCACUUGGAGAGGUCCAAUCUUUCAUGGAGGUGGAAGAAUCUAUUAGCGUUUAGACAAAGUCUUUUGUAAUUAUACUUUGAGAUCCUAAUUUCCCGAUGCUUAAGUAAUAUUUCUUCCUCGUGUGGAAUUUUCUGACCACCAUCCCAUAGUGGUUCACUUCCAAGAGGUGAACACUGAAGGAGAACAGCGAUCCAAAACGCAGCGGAAAUUAAAAUUUUCUCCUUUAGUGAUCCUUACGAAUGGGCAUGAUCAGUGAUAGAAUAUUUACCUCUUGUGACGAUUGAAACCUUUGAUGCAGAUCUACGGAGCGAGCACGAACGUUGAACGACGACAACGCCUCUACUCAAGUCCACACAAACGGAUUCCUUCAAUCUCAGUGCUAGCUGCUAUGAAUGAAGGCUUUGAGUGAGAGAGAGAGAGAGAUGAGAAGAAAAUGAAAAUGCAACCGCAAUGAAUGUUUUCUGCACAAGGUUCUAUUUAUAGAACCACUUGUGUGGGCUUCAAGCUAAAAAGCCCACUUAAGUGUAUGUGGCCCAUAUCUUAUAAUAUGCCCAAAAUCACUUAAGUCCAUGGUACCUUACCAUAUGUCAUAUUCUACUUAAGUACACCGUACCUUACGAUGUUCUACAAUUCACUUAAGUGCAUCGUACCUUACGGUGUUCCUUAGUUACUCUAUCUCUCAUCAAUUCGUCCUUUGUGUGUGACCCUGUAGGUUUUCGUGGCAUUGGCAAUUAUAUUAAAUCACGUAUUUAACAUAAUAAACAGUGAGCGAUAUCUAGCAACACAUCACUGCUACCCAAGACACGAAAAUGUCAUGUGAUCUGACAAAUCCUUCUGUGAUAAUAUUUAUGUGUAGAAUUACCCUUUUUGCCCUUAUGUCUAUAUUGAACACAAGGCAUAGACCGUGUCAUCCUUGUCCAGUUCAAUAUUGGGCUCAUAGACAUUUAUCCUGUUACACAUGAUGGGCAAAUUCCAUCUAGGUCACUCAUGUCCCUCAGCAUGCUUCGUGGAGUACCCAUCAACUGUCCUUAUGGUUAUCCAGUUACGGACAAUGUUUCAUCAGCAAUAAAGCACUCGACUUUACAUCUAGGGUCCAUAGUGGUUUCAGGUCGAAGGGUGGUAUACACCAUUAUCACCAUGAGAAUAACUUAUGACACUUUGCAUAACUUUCUAUAUAGUAUUCUCAUAGCGGGUCAAUCCAAUAUAAAUAUUACUUUUAACAUUCAUACCUAUGUUUAAGACUUGAUAACUCCUUAUCCAUGAUCCAUGAGAUAUGAUCAUCGGUCUAUAUACAUAAUAGUCUUAAUGCUUUAAUGUUAUCCCACUUCACAAUAAAGCUCGACUACGGAUACUUUAAGAAUAGUGUCCUUAUGUUUAAUGUGAUCUCAUGAUUAAGUCAUACUGAUAGCAUAAACAGACUAGCUAUUCUAGGGACUUUAUUAAACAAACGUAAUAAAGAAAAAGCCUUUUAUUAUUAAUAAAUAAUUCGAUACAAGUACCAAAAGAAAAAUAUUUUGGUAAGGUCGGAAGUGAGAGGCUUCUCGGGAGGGAUAUUUAUUGGCAUGGAAGUCGAAUAGAGUGAAGGUGAUGUUCUGCAAAAAUAUUUCAAGUUUUUACAUACUAAGAUCAAGUUUGAGGGAGAGGAAGAGUGCCUCUUCACACCUGUUUAUACGUGUCCCAGGGAGGAUGGGCGUAAGGAGUUACGGCAAGAGUUGCAUAACUUAUCAAAGCAAAAUUAGGAAAGUUAGAUGCUUAGGGGAGAUUUUAAUGAAAUUAUGCAAGCUUCGUAGAAGAGGGGAGGGGAGUACCAGCGUUAAUAAGAAAAUGUGACAACUUCAAAGAUAGAAUUGAAAACUGUAACCUGAUGGAUUUAGGGUUCCUAGGCCAUAAAUUCACUUGGAGAGGUCCAAUCUUUCAUGGAGGUGGAAGAAUCUAUUAGCGUUUAGACAAAGUCUUUUGUAAUUAUACUUGGAAAUCCUAAUUUCCCGAUGCUUAAGUAAUAUUUCUUCCUCGUGUGGAAUUUUCUGACCACCAUCCCAUAGUGGUUCACUUCAAAGAGGUGAACACUACCGAAGAGAAGAGAAUAUUUUGGUUUGAAAGUGCGUAGCUCCUAGAAAAAGGUUACAAUGCUCUGAUGUAGAAAAUAUGGAGGAAUGAUAAUCAUGCAUUGGAUAACUUGAAUAAAUUUAAAGAAAAAGUGACUGGUUGGAAAAAGCUAACGACAAACUCAAUCGAGAGACAGAAGAGACAUAUGUUAAGAAGAAUUAGUGAAAUUCAACGGGCAUUAUAUGAAGGAAAAUUCCAUGAAGGUCUUUACAAAAUGGAGAGAAUGUUGCAGAAUGAGAUUUCUAAAGUUAUGGAUCAAGAAGAACUAUUGUGGUAUCAAAGGUCAAGGGUAAAAUGGCUCAUAGAGGGAGACAAAAACACUUGGUACUACACAUUAAAGUUGUGCAAAGAAAAAGAAGGAACAUGAUACAUAUGAUAAAAGAUGAGGAAAGGGAUUGGAUAGAGGACCCGAUUUAGAUAAGUAAUUUAUUCAAGGACUUCUACCAAAAGUUGUUCACUGAAGACACAGACUCGGGAAAUUGGCAAAUGUCGAAAGUCACUUAUCCCAAACUCGAUUCCAACUUUGGAAGAAAUUUGAGUGUUAUUGUGAAUAGUGAAGAGAUCAAACAUGCUAUGUUUGAUAUGUCCCCUUGGAAGGCUCUUGAUCCAGACGGUUUCCUGGCAGGAUUUUAUCAAAAAUCAUGGUCCUAUGUUGGAGUUAACAUCUGUAAGCACAUUACAGAGUUAUGGAAUAAUCCUAGCCACAUACAAGAAGUGAAAUCAACGGAAAUAUGUCUUAUUCCAAAGGUCCCUCAUCCCACCCAAGUUCAACAAUUCAGGACAAUAUGUCUAUGUAACACUAUCUAUAAGUGUUUGAGCAAGCUUAUUGUCAACAGACUGAAGAAGUACAUUGACAAGAUUGUUUGACCAUAUCAUACUAGGGCGAAGCUAUACAUGAGAACAUUGUCCUUGCUCAGGAGUUAAUGCACAAUAUGAAUAUAAAACAAGUAAAGGUAGGAUACUUUAUGGUCAAAGUUGAUUUGGAAAAAUCAUACGACAACCUGAGCUGGAAGUAUGUGCAAAGAGUGUUAGAAGAAGUUGACUUUCUCCAAAGAUGAUCCAAGUUGUGAUGGUUGAAAUCUCCUUUGUCUCAAUGAGCAUAAGAUGGAAUGAUAAAGAGUCAAACUACUUCAAAGCAUCUAAAGUCAUUCGACAGGAGGACCCUAUUUCCCUAUAUCGAUUUGUUCUUUGUAUGGAAAAAUUGUCCCAUCUUAUUUUGGAGGCAGCAGAAAGUGGAAAGUGGGUUGGAAUCAAAGUUGUUAGGAGAGGCCCAAGUAUCUCACAUCUCAUGUUUGCUGGUAAGGCCACCACUAAAAAGGUGUACCAUGUGAAAGAUAUUCUUGAUCAUUUAUGUAACAAGUCAGGGCAACACGUUAGCAUUGAUAAGCUAGAGUACUCUUCUCGAGCAAUACAACUACUCGGGUUAGAAGAGGACUUGCCUGGAUGUCUGGCUAUAAGGAAACCAAGGAGUUGGGAAUGUACUUGGGAGUUUCGAUAACAUAAAGAAAUCCCAUAAGAAGAUAUUUUAAUAACAUCAUGGAGAACUCUAAAACUAAACUAACGAGAUGGAAAGCUCAACAUUUAUCUUUUGCAGGUAGAGAUACGUUGGCAAAGAAAACUAUUGAAGUAAUUCCAAAUUAUACAAUGAUGACUUGCGCAUUACCGAAGACAUGUAUCCAGGAGAUUCAAAAGUUGCAAAGGGACUUUAUCUGGGGUGAUUCAGAUGAUCAGAAGCAUAUUCACACAAUCAAAUGGAGCGAAUUAAUGUAACCUAGAUACAUGGGGGGUUUGGGAUUCAUAAAUUUGGUUGACAUGAAUAAUGCAUGCAUGAUCAAACUUGGUUGGAAGCUGAAGAAAGGAGAGAAUCAUAUUUGGUGCCAAGUACUCCUGGGGAAAUAUGAUAGAAACAAUAACAACAUGGAGAGUGUUGGCGUCAAAGCUCAAGACUCGAGUCUUUGGAAGCACAUUGAGAAGAACUGGCCUAUCAUGAAUGCUUCCACAAUUUGGGACAUUGGCAAUGGCUUUAAGGUUAAUGCUUGGAACGAUUGUUGGCUCCAAUUAGAUAAGCUUCUUAAGGAUUUUGUACAAGAUUUGCAAGUUCAUCAUGUGGAUCGAGUUGUAGACUUGUUGAAAAUUAAUGGAGAUUGGAAUAUUAACCUCCUUGAAGGCCUCUUAAAUGUUGACACUAUUGUAGAAAUCAGAGCAAUUCAUCCCCCUAGAAAUGAGAAUGGAGAAGAAAGUUAUAUAUGGAAGGAAGCUCGAGAUGGUAAUAUGUCAGUUUCUAGGGCUUAUGAAACAAUAAGUAAGAAUAAUUCUCUCACUGAUACAAAUGGUUUUUGGAAGCAAAUAUGAUACCUCAAAGUUCCUGAACGAAUCAAUAUUUUUAUAUGGAUGGUGAAUCAUGGUAGAUUGGUCACAAAUGCAUAUCUUCAUAAUUUGAAUUUGUGUGGCCCUGAUUGUACUUUAUGUCCUAAUGUUACAUAAGAUAUUCUCCAUGUGUUAAGAGAUUGUAAUCCUGCUACGACAGUUUAGAAAUCCCUUAUUAGAAAGCCACAUUGGAACUGCUUUUUCGAAACAAAUUUGCAGGAUUGGAUUAAGUUGGACCUUACCAAUAGGUUCGGGUACACUGGUUCUUUGAAGUUGGAGAACUUAUGGGCAAUGGUGUGUCAUACAGUAUGGUUUUGAAGGAACAAACAAAAACAUGAUGAUGAGUAUAAUAUGCCAACGAGCUUAACUCCUAUGAUCUGGGACAAAACCAAGUCCUAUGCAUAUAGUAUUAAGCCUAUUGGUCAAGUCUCGAUGUGCACCUAUACAACCAUUCAAGUCCAAUAGUCUUCGUCUGGAGAAGGGUGGAUAGCGAUGAAUAUGGAUGGCACGGUUAGUAACCAAAGGAAUGUCGGAUUUCGGGGAUUGCUCUGGGAUUACAUUGGAAGUUAGCUCAAGGGUUUCUCAAGACUUAUUGGAAUAUGAAAUGUGGAAGUUGAAGAACUUUGGGGGGUGUUAGAAGGUUUGAAACUAUUGUUCGACAAAGGAUUUUAUUUUGUGGAAGUUCAGUCAAACAACAAAGAUAUAGUGGAAAACCUAAAAGGUAAUGACACUCAGUUAAGAAAAGUCAGAGGCUUGUUGAUGCAAAUUUGAAACAUAAUUACCGACAAAAAAGUAGUAUGUUUUUCUCACAUUUACAGGGAAGCCAACUCGUGUGCAGAUACUAUGGCUAAGUUGAGUUUAUUUCAUGAUCCGAGAACUAUCGUUUAUGAUAAUUGCCCGAAAGAGUUACUUCUGUUGAUUAGCGGUGACUCUCUUGGGGCCUCUUUCCCCCGUGUAGUAUUUUCUUAAUUUUUUGUUGGGCUUAGGCCCUCCCUUGUAUCAAAAAAUGAGAUCUCAUUAUUAUGAAUAAUUAAAAUGAUAUUUAAUUCAUUUGUUGAUAAAUUUAAAAGAAUUAAGAGUUUACUAUUAUUUAAAGUAAGAUAAUAAUUAGUCAAUCUGCACAAUGAUUUUCUUCACGUUAAGCAUGUCAAUUAUUUUAAGUCAUUCUUCUGAUGCUACGUACUAAGGUCGAGAAACUAUGGUCAUACACACUUUUUUGGAAAGACAUAUCCCAUACAACAUAGUUCAUAUCUCAGAAGUGAGCAUCACAUACACAUGUUUUUUCUGCAUAUCCCCUUAUCUAAUUUCUUGAAGUCUCUAAAUAAGUCUUUGCAUCCAGCUAUGGACGUAGAGCUUUUGUAUGUAUCAUCACAAUUAAACUUAAUCCAAUUGUCAUCUGGACGACACUAGCAAACAUUUCUCAUCUUCGGUUUCAACAACCCAAUCUUGUUAUUCAUACGGUUUUCAUUCUCAAUCUCUUUCAUCGGUUGCAUGAUUGUUUUUGUUGGACUGCCAAAACGUUGAAAGCCCUCUUUAAAAAUAGUCUUGUUUCUCCAUUUCUACAAGUAGCAACAAGAUAUCAUAAAGAUGAACCUCUAGUGUGCUUUGUCAAAAAUUGAAAUAUCUUUUUUGAGAUUGUACAAGAUUUAAUCCCUGUAAAAAAAAGUAAAACUGAGCAUUUUCUUAGAAGGAACAAAUCUAAUAUAUACAUGUGUUAUAUAAGGACAAUCCCAUAUCAAAUGAACUAAGGUCUCUUCAGUGUCCAUACACCGGUUGGACUCAUCAUGGAUUGUUGUGUUCCAUUUAUGGCGUCUAUACUUUGUCAAAAGUCUCUCAUGUACCAUAAGCCAAGUGAAUAUCUAAAUUUAAUAGGGUCCUAUUCAUUUUAAAAUGAUAUUCCACUCGUUAUCAGUAUUAAUAACACAUGAGAAGACAAAAUAUAUCCAUAGGAACUACUAACAGAAAAUUCACCAUCUCUAUUUUCACCACCCCUAGAUUGUAUACACCAUCUUUAGGAAGAGGAUAGUAAAUAAUUCGGUUAACCAUCUCAACAAUGAACCAAUUUUGAAACAAAAGCAAGGUUUUACCUCCCCUCGCUAUUGACAACAUUUUUUAAGUGUCGGGGUAAUAUCCAAAGUCAUGUUAGUAUUAGACAAAUAGAAGAAGAUAGGUUACUCUAUUGGAAUGCAACUGUCAAAACAAGAAUUGAUCCUUAUUCUGUCUCCAAGCUUUCAAUUAGUAUUUUUCUGAAAUUCAUCUCAAAUCUUUGUGAAAUAUUUUCGUAACAGAGAAUCAAAUGACAAGAAAACUAUAUUCUCUAACAAGUUGAUUCUUGACAUACUUAUUAGUGAGAACCAAACACCAUAAAUUAUUAAGAUUAAAUAAAUUUCAAAUAAUUUUAAAAAGAAAUGCAUAUGUCAUUAACCGGCGUCGUUUAAUGCUUGAGCCAUCAUAUUCCUUAAAACCUCCAAACAAAUCAAAUGAGCAUUGUAAAUUGUUAGAUGGACAUUAUUAUUGUCUUAAUCUACUGUUUUAUUAGUCUUAGUCUGUUUGAAUAAGACCUAUUCUUUAGGAGAAAUAUGGUUUGUUAUUUGUGUUCCUACUCUAUAGGCAUGUAAAGAGUAGAGUUGGUUAUUUCUUUUUACUUGUAAGAUGGCUAUAUAUUAGCUACUGAUUAAUCGAAUAAUAUACAUUCCUUCACUCACUUUGGAAGCUUUGUUUAAUUCUGAUUUCCAACAUUUGGUAUCAGAGCUUUCAAAAGGGGGCUGACUAAAUAGGAGUGUGAGAGUGAGUGAAGCAUGACAAACUCUGAGAAAUUUGUGACUCCAAGAUUUGAAGUAUCAGAGCUUUCAAAAGGGGGCUGACUAAAUAGGAGUGUGAGAGUGAGUGAAGCAUGACAAACUCUGAGAAAUUUGUGACUCCAAGAUUUGACGGCCAUUAUGAUCAUUGGUCGAUGUUGAUGGAUAAUUUCUUGAGGAGCAAAGAGAUGUGGAACCUGGUGGAUGAAGGUAUUCCAGCACCAGCAAUCGGGACUUCUUCGGCAAGUGCAGGCAUUGAGGAAGGAGUUUGAAAUGUUGUUUAUGAAAGAAGGAGAAAAGAUCGAUGGCUUCAUUUCACGAACCCUCAUGGCGGUAAAUAAAAUGAAAGUGAAUGGAGAAGAUAUGAAUCAAAGCACAGUGGUGGGUAGGAUUUUGAGAUCUUUGACUCCCAAAUUCAAUUAUGUUGUAUGUUCAAUUGAGGAGUCAAAUGACAUAAAUAUUAUGACUGUUGAUGAGCUCCAUGGAAGUUUACUUGUUCAAGAGCAAAAAAUGCAUGGGAAUCAGGAGGAAGAACAAGCAUUAAGAAUUUCUUAUGACGACAAACCACGACGGGGCAGAGGCUCAUUCCGAGUGGGUCGAGGUAGAGGAAGAGGGAGGUCAUCUAUGAAUAGAGCCACUGUAGAAUGUUUCAAAUGUCAUCAGUUGGGACACUUUCAAUAUGAGUGUCCUGAUUGGGAGAAACGGGCUAACUACGCUGAACAUGUAGAAGAAGGCGAAGAGGUUCUGCUAAUGUCUUAUGUUGAUGCUGGUCAAACCAAAAUAGAAGAAGCUUGGUUUCUUGACUCGGGGUGUUCAAAUCACAUGAACGGAAACAAAGAAUGGUUCUCGAAGCUAGAGGAAGGAUUUAAACAAACAGUGAAGCUUGGGAAUGACACUAGAAUGGCAGUGGUAGCUAAAGGGAGUGUACGACUUCAAGUAAAUGGUAUUAUUCAGGUAAUCUCAAAUGUUUUUUACAUACCUGAGUUGAAAAGUAAUUUGUUGAGCAUAUGGCAACUUCAGGAGAAGGGUUUAGCUAUUCUAAUUCAGCAAGGGACUUGUAAAGUUUAUCAUCCUAAAAGAGGGUUAAUUAUGCAAACUAACAUGAGUGGAAAUAGAAUGUUUGUAUAGUAGCAUCUAUGGCAGCAAAGGAAAUUCGAUGUGUCUUCAGGCUGAACUUUCCUCCGAGAAAGAGUCACACUUGUGGCAUCGUCAAUUUGGCCAUCUGAAUUACUCAGGAUUAAGAACACUUGCAUACAAGAAAAUGAUAGACGGUGUGCCUCUGCUCAAGUUCCAGAAAAGUUAUGUGAAACUUGUUUUGGUUGGCAAACAGCAUAGAGGAUCCUUUCCGAAAAACAAGUUCUUGGAGAGCAUCAAAGCAACUUCAACUUGUGCAUUCUGAUUUAUGUGGGCCUAUCAAACCCGCUUCCAACAGUGACAAAGGUAUAUCAUAAGUUUUAUUGAUGAUUUUUCAUGUAAAACUUGGGUUUAUUUUUUACAUGAAAAAUCAGAAGCCUUUAGUGCAUUCAAGAAUUUCAAAGCAUUUAUUGAAAAGAGGCUGGUGCAUAUAUAACUUGUUUGAGAACAGAUAGAGGAGGUGAGUAUUAACUCAAAUGAAUUUGGAGAAUUUUGUAAAGCUCAUGGUAUAAGCAGGCAGUUGACAGCAGCAUACACUCCACAACAGAACGGAGUUGCCGAACGAAAGAACAGAACAAUCAUGAAUGCAAUACGCUCAAUAUUAGCUGAUAAGAAAGUUCCAAAAGUGUUUUGGCCAGAAGCUGUAAAUUGGUGUGUUCAUGUUCAAAAUAGGAGCCUGACCGUAGCGGUAAAAGAGAAAACUCCAUAGGAAGCAUGGAGUGGAGUGAAGCCAACAUCAACUUAUUUCCGGGUUUUCAGUUGCAUAGCACAUGCUCAUAUUCCAGACCAAAAGAGGAGCAAGUUAGAUGCCAAAAGCAAGAAGUGUGUGUUCCUAGGGGUUAGCAAUGAAUCCAAGGCCUAUAGAUUAUAUGAUCCAACCACUAAGAAGAUCAUCAUCAGCAACGAUGUUCAAUUUGAAGAAGAAGAGAGCUGGGAUUGGGGAAGAACUGAAGAAGAACUGAUUUUGGAUGUGCUAGAAGAUGAUAAUGAAAGUGAAAAAGAGCAUGUCGGCGAGGAUAAUAUUGAGGAGGUCAGAAAUACUCCUUCCGAUUAUUCACCACAAAAUGAAGUAAACAUUCAAGAAGUUGCAGCUGAAGGAGGGUUGAAAGAGUCAGAACAAAACCAGUAUGGAUGGGGAUUAUGAAACAUGAGAAGGUCUCUCAGAAGAAGAAGAUAUGCAUGCAAUGAUGAUAGUAACAGAGAAUGAAUCCAUUUUCAUUUGCAGAGGCAGUCAAAAGUGAGAAGUGGAAAGAGGCUAUGGAAGCAGAAAUGGAAGCUAUAGAGAAGAACCAAACAUGGGAAUUGAUGGAUUUGCCUAAGGAUGCCAAGCAUAUUGGAGUUAGGUGGGUCUUUAAGACCAAACUUAAUGAAAAUGGGGAUGUCGAGAAACAUAAAGCGAGAUUGGUAGCUAAGGUUUAUGCACAACGGUAUGGAGUUGAUUACAUCGAAGUAUUUGCACCAGUAGCAAGGCUCGAUACCAUUCGAACAAUACUUGCAGUAGCAGCACAGUCUGGUUGGGAGGUUUUUCAGCUUGACGUAAAAAGUGCUUUCCUUCACGGUGAACUCAAGGAGGAAGUAUUUGUUCAACAACCUUAAGGGUUUGUUAAGAAAGGAGAAGAAAGGAAGUUUUACAAGCUAAAAAAGGCUCUAUGUGGCCUUAAGCAAGCGCCAAGGGCGUGGUACAACAAAAUUGAGUCUUACUUUCUGCGUGAAGGCUUCGAGAAAUGUUCCAGUGAGCAUACUUUGUUCACCAAGUCAAAAGGAGGUAAAAUUUUAAUAAUUAGCCUUUAUGUAGAUGAUUUAANAAAGAGGUUUAAUGCUAAUGUCUUAUGUGAUGCUGGUCAAACCAAAAUAGAAGAAGCUUGGUUUCUUGACUCGGGGUGUUCAAAUCACAUGAACGGAAACAAAGAAUGGUUUCUCGAAGCUAGAGGAAGGAUUUAAACAAACAGUGAAGCUUGGAAUGACACUAGAAUGGCAGUGGUAGCUAAAGGGAUGUACGACUUCAAGUAAAUGGUAUUAUUCAGGUAAUCUUCAAAUGUUUUUUACAUACCUGAGUUGAAAAGUAAUUUGUUGAGCAUAUGGCAACUUCAGGAGAAGGGUUUAGCUAUUCUAAUUCAGCAAGGACUUGUAAAGUUUAUCAUCCUAAAAGAGGGUUAAUUAUGCAAACUAACAUGAGUGGAAAUAGAAUGUUUUAUAUGUUAGCAUCUAUGGCAGCAAAAGGAAAUUCGAUGUGUCUUCAGGCUGAACUUUCCUCCGAGAAAGAGUCACACUUGUGGCAUCGUCAAUUUGGCCAUCUGAAUUACUCAGGAUUAAGAACACUUGCAUACAAGAAAAUGAUAGACGGUGUGCCUCUGCUCAAGUUCCAGAAAAGUUAUGUGAAACUUGUUUUGGUUGGCAAACAGCAUAGAGGAUCCUUUCCGAAACAAAGUUCUUGGAGAGCAUCAAAGCAACUUCAACUUGUGCAUUCUGAUUUAUGUGGGCCUAUCAAACCCGCUUCCAACAGUGACAAAAGGUAUAUCAUAAGUUUUAUUGAUGAUUUUUCAUGUAAAACUUGGGUUUAUUUUUUACAUGAAAAAUCAGAAGCCUUUAGUGCAUUCAAGAAUUUCAAAGCAUUUAUUGAAAAAGAGGCUGGUGCAUAUAUAACUUGUUUGAGAACAGAUAGAGGAGGUGAGUUUAACUCAAAUGAAUUUGGAAAUUUUGUAAAGCUCAUGGUAUAAGCAGGCAGUUGACAGCAGCAUACACUCCACAACAGAACGGAGUUGCCGAACGAAAGAACAGAACAAUCAUGAAUGCAAUACGCUCAAUAUUAGCUGAUAAGAAAGUUCCAAAAGUGUUUUGGCCAGAAGCUGUAAAUUGGUGUGUUCAUGUUCAAAAUAGGAGCCUGACCGUAGCGGUAAAGAGAAAAACUCCAUAGGAAGCAUGGAGUGGAGUGAAGCCAACAUCAACUUAUUUCCGGGUUUUCAGUUGCAUAGCACAUGCUCAUAUUCCAGACCAAAAGAGGAGCAAGUUAGAUGCAAAAAAGCAGGAAGUGUGUGUUCCUAGGGUUAGCAAUGAAUCAAGGCCUAUAGAUUAUAUGAUCCAACCACUAAGAAGAUCAUCAUCAGCAACGAUGUUCAAUUUGAAGAAGAAGAGAGCUGGGAUUGGGGAAGAACUGAAGAAGAACUGAUUUUGGAUGUGCUAGAAGAUGAUAAUGAAAGUGAAAAAGAGCAUGUCGGCGAGGAUAAUAUUGAGGAGGUCAGAAAUACUCCUUCCGAUUAUUCACCACAAAAUGAAGUAAAACAUUCAAGAAGUUGCAGCUGAAGGGAGGGUUGAAAGAGUCAGAAAAAACCAGUAUGGAUGGCGGAUUAUGAAACAUGAGAAGGUCUCUCAGAAGAAGAAGAUAUGCAUGCAAUGAUGAUAGUAACAGAGAAUGAUCCAUUUUCAUUUGCAGAGGCAGUCAAAAGUGAGAAGUGGAAAAGAGGCUAUGGAAGCAGAAAUGGAAGCUAUAGAGAAGAACCAAAACAUGGGAAUUGAUGGAUUUGCCUAAGGAUGCCAAGCAUAUUGGAGUUAGGUGGGUCUUUAAGACCAAACUUAAUGAAAAUGGGGAUGUCGAGAAACAUAAAGCGAGAUUGGUAGCUAAGGUUUAUGCACAACGGUAUGGAGUUGUUACAUCGAAGUAUUUGCACCAGUAGCAAGGCUCGAUACCAUUCGAAACAAUACUUGCAGUAGCAGCACAGUCUGGUUGGGAGGUUUUUCAGCUUGACGUAAAAAGUGCUUUCCUUCACGGUGAACUCAAGGAGGAAGUAUUUGUUCAACAACCUUAAGGGUUUGUUAAGAAAGGAGAAGAAAGGAAGUUUUACAAGCUAAAAAAGGCUCUAUGUGGCCUUAAGCAAGCGCCAAGGGCGUGGUACAACAAAUUGAGUCUUACUUUCUGCGUGAAGGCUUCGAGAAAUGUUCCAGUGAGCAUACUUUGUUCACCAAGUCAAAAGGAGGUAAAAAUUUUAAUAAUUAGCCUUUAUGUAGAUGAUUUAAUUUUUACUGGAAGUGAUGUGAGCAUGUGUAUGGAAUUUAAAAGGUCAAUGAUGAUGGAGUUUGAUAUGUCGAUUUAGGAAGAAUGAGGCACUUUCUUGGAAUGGAAGUGCUGCAAAAUUCUGAUGGUAUUUUUAUUUGUUCAUUUGUCAAAGAAGAUAUGCACGAGAAGUGUUAGCAAGAUUUGAGAUGGAAAACAGCAAUAGUGUGAAAAAUCCAAUUGUACCAGGAACAAAGUUGUCAAAAGAUGAAGGAGGAACUAAAGUUGAUGUAACAUUUUUCAAACAAAUGGUUGGGAGUCUCAUGUAUUUAACUAUAACUCGUCCUGACUUAAUGUAUGGUAUAAGUCUCAUAAGCAGGUAUAUGUCUAGACCAACCAUGUCACAUUGGUUGGCAGCCAAAAGAUUUUUGAGGUAUUUAAAAGGGACAACUGAGCUAGGCAUUCUCUACACAAAGAAUGAAGGUUUUUCAAAACUCUUGGCAUUCACAGAUAGUGGCUAUACGGGUGAUCUUGAUGAUAGAAGAAGUACAUCUGGCUAUGUGUUCAUGAUAGGAUCUGGAGUUGUAUCCUGGUCAUCUAAAAAAUAGCCUAUGGUGACUUUAUCAACUACCAAGGCCGAAUAUAUCGCAGCAGCUCUAUGUGCUUGUCAGUGUAUAUGGCUAAAGAGAAUCUUGAGAAAGAUUGGAGUGGAGCCGGUUGAAGGAACUACAAUUCAAUGUGACAGCAGCUCUGCCAUUCAGUUGGCUAAGAAUCCAGUUUUUCACGGAAAAAGUAAGCAUAUUCAUGUGCGAUUUCAUUUUUUAAGAGAUUUAGUAAAUGAAGGUGUUGUAGAAUUAAAGUACUGCAACUCUCAGGAGCAAGNAAAGAGGUUAAUGCUAAUGUCUUUAUGUGAUGCUGGUCAAACCAAAAUAGAAGAAGCUUGGUUUCUUGACUCGGGUGUUCAAAUCACAUGAACGGAAACAAAGAAUGGUUCUCGAAGCUAGAGAAGGAUUUAAACAAACAGUGAAGCUGGAAUGACACUAGAAUGGCAGUGGUAGCUAAAGGGAGUGUACGACUUCAAGUAAAUGGUAUUAUUCAGGUAAUCUUCAAAUGUUUUUUACAUACCUGAGUUGAAAAGUAAUUUGUUGAGCAUAUGGCAACUUCAGGAGAAGGGUUUAGCUAUUCUAAUUCAGCAAGGACUUGUAAAGUUUAUCAUCCUAAAAGAGGUUAAUUAUGCAAACUAACAUGAGUGGAAAUAGAAUGUUUUAUAUGUUAGCAUCUAUGGCAGCAAAAGGAAAUUCGAUGUGUCUUCAGGCUGAACUUUCCUCCGAGAAAGAGUCACACUUGUGGCAUCGUCAAUUUGGCCAUCUGAAUUACUCAGGAUUAAGAACACUUGCAUACAAGAAAAUGAUAGACGGUGUGCCUCUGCUCAAGUUCCAGAAAAGUUAUGUGAAACUUGUUUUGGUGGCAAACAGCAUAGAGGAUCCUUUCCGAAACAAAGUUCUUGGAGAGCAUCAAAGCAACUUCAACUUGUGCAUUCUGAUUUAUGUGGGCCUAUCAAACCGCUUCCAACAGUGACAAAAGGUAUAUCAUAAGUUUUAUUGAUGAUUUUUCAUGUAAAACUUGGGUUUAUUUUUACAUGAAAAAUCAGAAGCCUUUAGUGCAUUCAAGAAUUUCAAAGCAUUUAUUGAAAAAGAGGCUGGUGCAUAUAUAACUUGUUUGAGAACAGAUAGAGGAGGUGAGUUUAACUCAAAUGAAUUUGGAGAAUUUUGUAAAGCUCAUGGUAUAAGCAGGCAGUUGACAGCAGCAUACACUCCACAACAGAACGGAGUUGCCGAACGAAAGAACAGAACAAUCAUGAAUGCAAUACGCUCAAUAUUAGCUGAUAAGAAAGUUCCAAAAGUGUUUUGGCCAGAAGCUGUAAAUUGGUGUGUUCAUGUUCAAAAUAGGAGCCUGACCGUGAGCGGUAAAGAGAAAACUCCAUAGGAAGCAUGGAGUGGAGUGAAGCCAACAUCAACUAUUUCCGGGUUUUCAGUUGCAUAGCACAUGCUCAUAUUCCAAGCCAAAAAAGAGGAGCAAGUUAGAUGCAAAAAAGCAGAAGUGUGUGUUCCUAGGGUUAGCAAUGAAUCAAGGCCUAUAGAUUAUAUGAUCCAACCACUAAGAAGAUCAUCAUCAGCAACGAUGUUCAUUUGAAGAAGAAGAGAGCUGGAUUGGGGAAGAACUGAAGAAGAACUGAUUUUGGAUGUGCUAGAAGAUGAUAAUGAAAGUGAAAAAGAGCAUGUCGGCGAGGAUAAAUAUUGAGGAGGUCAGAAAUAUCCUUCCGAUUAUUCACCACAAAAUGAAGUAAACAUUCAAGAAGUUGCAGCUGAAGGGAGGUUGAAAGAGUCAGAACAAAACCAGUAUGGAUGGCGGAUUAUGAAAACAUGAGAAGUCUCUCAGAAGAAAGAAGAUAUGCAUGCAAUGAUGAUAGUAACAGGAGAAUGAUCCAUUUUCAUUUGCAGAGGCAGUCAAAAGUGAGAAGUGGAAAGAGGCUAUGAAGCAGAAAUGGAAGCUAUAGAGAAGAACCAAAACAUGGGAAUUGAUGGAUUUGCCUAAGGAUGCCAAGCAUAUUGGAGUUAGGUGGGUCUUUAAGACCAAACUUAAUGAAAAUGGGGAUGUCGAGAAACAUAAAGCGAGAUUGGUAGCUAAGGUUUAUGCACAACGGUAUGGAGUUGAUUACAUCGAAGUAUUUGCACAGUAGCAAGGCUCGAUACCAUUCGAAACAUACUUGCAGUAGCAGCACAGUCUGGUUGGGAGGUUUUUCAGCUUGACGUAAAAGUGCUUCCUUCACGGUGAACUCAAGGAGGAAGUAUUUGUUCAACAACCUUAAGGGUUUGUUAAGAAAGGAGAAGAAAGGAAGUUUUACAAGCUAAAAAAGGCUCUAUGUGGCCUUAAGCAAGCGCCAAGGGCGUGGUACAACAAAAUUGAGUCUUACUUUCUGCGUGAAGGCUUCGAGAAAUGUUCCAGUGAGCAUACUUUGUUCACACAAGUCAAAAGGAGGUAAAAUUUUAAUAAUUAGCCUUUAUGUAGAUGAUUUAAUUUUUACUGGAAGUGAUGUGAGCAUGUGUAUGGAAUUUAAAAGGUCAAUGAUGAUGGAGUUUGAUAUGUCGAUUUAGGAAGAAUGAGGCACUUUCUUGGAAUGGAAGUGCUGCAAAAUUCUGAUGGUAUUUUAUUUGUCAAGAAGAUAUGCACGAGAAGUGUUAGCAAGAUUUGAGAUGGAAAACAGCAAUAGUGUGAAAAAUCCAAUUGUACCAGGAACAAAGUUGUCAAAAGAUGAAGGAGGAACUAAAGUUGAUGUAACAUUUUUCAAACAAAUGGUGGGAGUCUCAUGUAUUUAACUAUAACUCGUCCUGACUUAAUGUAUGGUAUAAGUCUCAUAAGCAGGUAUAUGUCUAGACCAAACCAUGUCACAUUGGUUGGGCAGCCAAAAGAUUUUUGAGGUAUUUAAAAGGACAACUGAGCUAGGCAUUCUCUACACAAAGAAUGAAGGUUUUUUCAAAAACUCUUGGCAUUCACAGAUAGUGGCUAUACGGGUGAUCUUGAUGAUAGAAGAAGUACAUCUGGCUAUGUGUUCAUGAUAGGAUCUGGAGUUGUAUCCUGGUCAUCUAAAAAAAUAGCCUAUGGUGACUUUAUCAACUACCAAGGCCGAAUAUAUCGCAGCAGCUCUAUGUGCUUGUCAGUGUAUAUGGCUAAAGAGAAUCUUGAGAAAGAUUGGAGUGGAGCCGGUUGAAGGAACUACAAUUCAAUGUGACAGCAGCUCUGCCAUUUCAGUUGGCUAAGAAAUCCAGUUUUUCACGGAAAAAGUAAGCAUAUUCAUGUGCGAUUUCAUUUUUUAAGAGAUUUAGUAAAUGAAGGUGUUGUAGAAUUAAAGUACUGCAACUCUCAGGAGCAAGUAGCAGACUUGAUGACAAAACCACUCAACUUGAGCAGUUUGAAAAACUCCGUGGUAUGCUUGGAUGUGGAAUGGUUAGUGCGUCAGAGUUAAACUAAAAUACAUGUGUUUUAGUUUAAGGGAGGGAAUGUUAGGUGGACAUUAUUAUUGUCUUAAUCUACUGUUUUAUUAGUCUUAGUCUGUUUGAAUAAGACAUAUUCUUUAGGAGAAAUAGGGUUUGUUAUUUGUGUUCCUACUCUAUAGGCAUGUAAAGAGUAGAGUUGGUUAUUUCUUUUUACUUAUAAGAUGGCUAUAUAUUAGCUACUGAUUAAUCGAAUAAUAUACAUUCCUCCCACUCACUUUGAAAGCUUUGUUUAAUUUUGUUUCCAACAUAGAUUGUCAUUAUGUCUCCUUAUAUAAAUUUUUGUUGAAUCCUUUCCAACUCCAUAUUAAUAGUGGUAGAAUUUUUGUGUACUGCGUGUAAAAAUAAGGGAUAAAAUUUAACACACAUUUACUCAUGGUAAUUCUUUCGGAUUAAUUUUGAGUGUAGAGUUCUCAUGAUUCAAUUCAGAUUUAUAAAAUUGAGUUAAUUCAACUCAAACUUUGAUAAGUUAUCAAGGUAAAUAAAAAUUUAUUGAAUUAUUUAACUUGAAAUAUUAUAAGUAGGGAAAUUUCGCUUUACAAACUGUUUUAUUUUUAUAAAAAAAAUUGAAUUAGACACAAUACAAAUUUAAUAAAGCUUUUGUUAUUUCAACCAUAUCAUUAACUUUUUUUUUAUAUAUAUAAAAAUAUGAGAGAAAGCUACCCCACAAAAUGAUGAUGGGAGUGAGAGAGAGGGUUCUACAAAAAUAAUUGAUAAUAAAAAGAGAGAGAGAAAAAAAAGUGUAUAAGUCUUUUGGGAUGAGAAUUUUAAAAAGUUUUGGAAAACUAUUAUAAUUCUUUUGUUGUCGUAAAAAGAAAGACUAGUUAGAGAGUGACUGAUAACUCAAAGACUACAGUUUUAUUUUUUUAUUUUUCGAUUAAAAGUAGAGUUUUCAAAAUUGAAUUGAAAUAGAUGGUUCAACCAAUUGAAUUAAAAAAUGAGCAGUUUCUAUAAUAAUUUAAUCACUUGAACUGUUUGAUUCUGCUUUUGUCUUGUUUAUAGUACUAGUAUAAUACUACUCCAAGUCAUAAAUAUAGACAAAAACUGAUUUAAAAAAGUUGAUAGAUUAAGGACAUGUUUGAAAUGGUUUUAAAAAACAGUUUUAUAAUUUUUAAAAAUUGAAAAACAAAAAAUUUGUUUGAUACAUUUGUUUCUCAAAACUAUUUCUAAAAACACUUUUAGAAUUCAGUGUUUUAAAAUCUAAAAAACUGAAACUAUCAAAAUAUGUUUUGAUUUUCAAUUUUCAGUUUUAUUUUUUAAUUUUCAAUUGAGAUGAGCUGGAAAAAAACACAGUUUCAUUAAUCGCAUUUUAAUAAUUACUUGCAAUAUUUUUUAAUUGCAAUAUUUCCCUCUCAAUCUAUUGAUAAUGAAAAUUAAAAUUCUCACUCUCAAUUACUCUCUCUCUAAUUAAUCUCAUUAAGUGAAUGGUAUAUUUGUAUACAUUAAGUGAAUUUAUAUAUAUAUAUAUAUAUAUAUAUAUAUAUUAUAUUAUAUAUAUAUAUAUAUAUAUAUAUUAUAUAUAUAUAUAUAUAUAUAUAUAUAUAUAUACUAUAUAUAUAUAUAAUAUAUAUAUAUAUAUUCAAACAACACUCAAAUAUAAUUUUAUACAUUAGAUGAAUGGUAUAUUUUAUCAUUAAUUAUUAAAAUAUUUUAAUGAAACUUAAAUGUAUAUUAACUGAAUUUUUAUACUUUCAAAAAAUAUAUCAUAAUUAUUUUUAUUUAGUAAAAUAGAUUUUUAAAAUAUAGAUUAUCAAACAAGCUAUAUUGUUCUAUUUCAAAAAAAAAAAUAGUUUUUAAGAAUUAUACUAUCAAACAUAUUUUUUCACUUUUUAAUUUUUAAAACAGUUUUCAAAAAUUGAAUUACCAAAUGAAUUCAUUUUAUUUUUUUUUCUCAAAAACAAAUUUGCAAAAUCAUUUGUAAAACAAAUUUUAAAAAUUAAAAUUAAAAAGAGAUUCAAACAAGCCCUAAGUCUUCAUUUUAUUCUCCUUUAAUGAUUAGACUAGACCACAAAUAACAAUAUAACCCGCAAUAGUUUUUGUUUUUAUUUUAAUAAACCACUAAAUUAAAGAAAAUAAAGAAAAUAUAAAAAAUAAAGAUAAUAUAAAAUACUAAGGGGUAAAACCUAAUUCAGUUAAACCAUGUAGUUAGUAUUUUAAAUAGAAUAUAAUUAUUGUAACAAUGAUCUCAAAAAAAAAAAAACACACACACAACAAAAUGUUACCUAAUGAACAUGCAUACAAGAACGAAAUCAGAUAAUAAAAGAAAGGUGUUGUGUGAGUCUUCACAAACUUUAAUUAAUGGUGAAUGAAUCGACCGCCAACACGAACCAAUUCACGUACAAACAACUUCCUGUGAAAAUUACAGCAAGCAUAAUAGCUCUUUCAAGUUAAACAAACCAAUAUGACAUCGAACCAUAACAAGGAACGACGGUGAUAAGGUUGUGAAAUAUAACAAAAUCGUUGUUAUGGUAGCGUCAACCCAAACGCAUUGAUAAUUGCAAAUCUCAAUAAAUCUGAAACAAAUCAGAAAUCAAAGCAAGGCACACCACCACCAACUACAAAAACAUAACCGGAAUCGAUGAACGAUUAAAAUCUAGAAAGACAACAUCAACUCUUCACGCGAGCAAGCUUUAACAACCUCCAAAAAUCCAAUACCCUUUCUCAGGUGACCCGAAUCCGGCGAUGUGAGCAAGCUAACAGUGUGAGAGAAGAGCAGAACAACCAAUUGCCGGCGGCGCUGAAUGAAACCACCAGCGGCGGCCGUCUGCAAGCCAUCGUUGGAAAACUCCCAGAAAACACGGUGACACAGAGAAAAUACCUCAUCGCACAAUAGUUCAACCAUGAUGAUAUUGUGUUUUGAAAAAGUUAAAAUAUUAAGUUUAUUGAUAUAAAAUUGGAUAACAAAAUAUUUACAAAUGAUUAAAAAUAAAAUGAUAUGUUUUAGGUUUUAGGACCAAAAUGUCGUUAGGCCCAAUAGUUUAUAAAUUAGGGCAUUACCUUAUCCACUAUACCAAAGUUUAUAGAUUUUGGAGAUGCAUCUUCAGACGCGUCUAUAUUACACAUCUCCAACACUUUGUGAGUAACCCACUCCAUUUUUUAAAAAAAGUGUUCGAGAUGCAUCUUCGUAUCCAUAUUAGGGUGAACUCGGAGGUACAUCUACAUAAUAACCCUUAUUUCAAAACUCGGUGUUUUACGCUCAGUGAAUUUUACGGAGAUCCAUCUUCAGGCGGGUUAUAAUAGAUAUACCUCAUGUAAGAACCUUCCAUUCCUUCUUCAUUUUCUACACUUUCAAAAACACUUUAGAGCUUGCGGACAAGAACCAACAAGGCCAUUUUUCAAGCUUCAAGCUCAUUUACAAUCAGUCCCAAGACAUUUCAUUCACUUCAUUCAAGUUUUCGCACAACAACUCUCAAUCAGUAAGUUUCUAAUUUCCUUUGUAUUUUUGAAUUGUGAUGUAUGUAUUGGGUAAAAGGUUGUAAACAUGCAUUCACAUUUGUUGGUGUUUAGGGAAUCACAUAGGAUUUUAUGCAUUUUCUGCAAUCGCACAUUUUUACAGAAAUGUAUCUCCAUAAUUUUCUUUUCCAGUGUUACGGAGAUGCAUCUCCGGAUUUUACUUGCCUUGAUUUUGAUAUAAUUUCCUGGUUUGUAUUAUAGGAACAAUGGCUGAAAACCAAGACAAAUUGAGGUAUGUAGUGGAGGUCGAAGGUGAUGAUGGGCAAGUUUUGUUCCACAAACAAUGUGCAUUGAUGUCAUACUUCAUGUACUUGGUUGAUAGGAAAAUAUUUGUGGACAAAAGUGAAACCUACAUUGAUGUAGCCUACUUGACAUACUUCAUCGAAUUAAAAUGGAUCCACGAGUACAACUGGGGGGCUGCGUGUUUGAUUUUUCUAUACUUCAAACUAGGUGAAACUUGUUUUUGAAAGACAAGACAUAUGACAGGAAGUUGCACGCGGUUUACAAUAAUAUAUUUGCAUCAUAUAUUGUUACUAAUAUUUGUAUAGCACUUGUUUUACACUUGUUACUAACAUUUUAUCUAAACCAUUUUCAAGUGUGGAUCAUCUCUCACUUUCCUCACAUGUCCCGUUGGGAACCUGAGAUGGACUACAAUGAGGAUUAGCCACGUGCUUGCGUCUUUUCCCUGUUCAAAGGAAUUCAAGCGAUAGAUUUGUACAAGGUGUUUAUUGACCUCACUGUAGCAUAUGACAAAUGUUUUUUCCCGUAUGAUAGUCAUUGUCAGACGUAUCUCUUGGAUGAUAUAACCUUAUACUCUGAAUUGUUGGCUUGUGGGUCACGCAUGAUGUAUCCACAUCUACCUGAGAGGGUCAUGCGCCAGUUCGAGUUUCUUCAUAUUAUUCCAAGACCUCCCUCUGUGUCUGCUCCUCCGAUAGUUCGUCACAGAGAUCUUGGUGCCAUAUUUGAUGAUUUCUAUGAUCAUCUAGUACCAUACGAAGCAUACAGUGUGCCCUUCCUAAUCCAUGGGUUGCAGGUUACAUUCAUUGGUUAUAUCAAGUCCCACGUCCUUACAUGACACCAAAUGUCGCGAGAGCACCAUCUUGACUAGCUCAUCAAGAGAUAUUGGAAGAGGAACUAGCUAAGGAUGACCAUGCCUAGGACCAGUUGUCGGCCUGUUAAACGUAUUGAGACGAUUGCGAUAGAUGCCAUAAAGAGAGGAGAUUUUGAAGAAGGCGAUUAUGGUAUGGGUGCCGUACAAACAUAUUAGUCGAGGAACAAAAUGCCUUGGGGUACAGGCAAUAGAGGAGAAACAAGGGAUUAGAUGUACACAAUAGUGUAUUUUUAUUUGUAUUUUAGUAACAAUUGUAUUUUCUGAACAAAUUAUGUAUUGUGGUAAUGUUUUUGAUUAAUUUAUUAAUGUUUGGAUUUGUAUUGUUGUUUGAUUUUAUAUAUGACAUAUUCGAAUUACAUUAGUAUAAUUUUCAUGGUGUUAUGAUAUCCUUCGUAUAAAUGGCCUAAAAUAAUAUCAAUUUGGGACACUUGUUGCCAAGGCAAAAACUCCCAAAUGCUUUUAGGGUUGUUCUAAAGAUGCAUCUACAAAAUAACCCUUAACAAAUUACGGAGUUGCAUCUCCAAAUCAUGUUUUUGACAAACUUGGUAUGGAUGGUUCACUUGUGAAGCAUAAAGUGCUUUUAGGGGUUAAUCCGUAGAUGCAUCUCCGUAAUUGUCUCAGGGUGAUUUCAUAGAUGUAUCUCCGAAUCUUUUUUUAUUUAUAAAUAUGGGGUGGAUGACUCACUUAUGAAGCAUUAUGUGCAUUUUAGGUGAGUUCGAAGAUGCAUCUCUGGAAUAUGAAAAUUGAAAAUUCAAGUUUUUAGUGUGUUCACCCUCAGGGCAUGAAGUGAAUAAACUAAGGGAGUUACUUUUUACACCUUUAGGGGUUUUCCCUUGCCACGGUGAAAAGCCAAAACUUCUCAUACCGUCCGGAGAUGCAUCUUCGGACGCACCUUUUUUUUACACACCAUUCAACGCAAAUGGAUGGGCCUUACUUUUCCAAAAUUUAAUCGGGAUAUGUAUCUUCGUAUACCUUAAGGGUGAGUAUGAAGAUACAUCUAUGUAAACACCAUUAGUUCAUGAUUCAGUGGGUGUUACAAACAUGCAUCUCCAUAUGCGUUUUAUUCAUAAACCCGCGCCAAACCCUUCCCUUUUCCUCCUUCAUUUUCUGAAGAGUCACUCGAAAAACUCCAUUUGAGCUCUUUUGCUGUAAAACAUUUCCAAACCCUAUUUGAGCAAUUUUCAUCAAGUUCACUCAUUCCAUUCUACUUAAUUUGCUACAAAGUUACUCACUACAUUUAAGUCUCUCAAUUCAUUCUUUUCUUGUGUGUUUUGAAUGAUGUUUUCGGUAACAUAGUUUGUUUAAGCUACAUUAGAUAAUAGUACAAUUGAAAUUGGUAGUUGGUAUAGAUAUGCAUUGCCAUUUGGAUAAAGGUUAAGGCAAUAAUGGGGUUUCUGUCAUUGCUGAAAAUUGCGAGUUCAUCUUGAGAUGCAUCUCUAGAUUAUGUUUGAACUACUUUUGAAGAUGUAUCUUCAGAUUUGUGAUUAGCUGCAUUUUGGUUGAAUUUUUAUGUGACUUUUUGGUUUUAUUACAGGUGCAAAGACUGAAAACAACCCGGACAAAAUUAGGCCUGCUCAUGUGUCCCAACAUGUGUCUGUACAACGUGAGAGGGUCAGAGCCAGGGUUACGAGGCCACAAGUACAAUUGGGGGACAUCUGUUUGGUAUACAUGUACUCGAAGCUGGGUGAUGAUUGUCUUUGGAAGACAAAGCAGAUGACAGGAAGUUGCAUGCUACUUACGAUUAUUUAGUGAUACUAAUAUUUUCAUAAGUAUUUUGUCACUUGUUAUUAAUAUUUCAUUUGAACCAUAUUCAAGGAUGGUGUCAUACCCCAAUUUUGUUUGGGCAUUUUAAAUUCAUCUGAUACAUGUCCAUUUGUCAAGUUUUUUUAUUUUUAGCCAUAUGCAUUUUUAUCAUCAAAUAAAGUCACCAUAAUCAUGCAUAUAUAGUAAAAAAAGUCAACAUAAAGUCAAUAUUUUACAUGUUGAAGAAAUUGACUAAACUUACUUUUUUUUUUCAUUAUGUAUUUUGAAAAAUAAAUUCAUGAUUAUUUGAUUUAUCAUCAAAAUAUCCAUUUGAAUUUUAUUAAUCAUUUUCAUGCAUCAUAAAACAAAGAUCAAUGUUUCUAUAAGACUCAAAAUAUCUCUCAUUUAUUACACCAUUAUUCCAUGCAUAUAUUACAUCAUUAAGUUUCUAGAAGACACUCCCACUAUUUGCAUGAUUCAUAAACUACCCUUUUUAGAGCAUAUAAAUAAAAUAAUUCUCAUUCACAAAUCUCACCACCAAUCAUUCACAAAAACUAAGUCAAAACUCUUCAUUUUUCUUCAAGAUAUUUCUUUUUUUCUUUAUUGAAUUUUAUUUUAGGUAUGCUCUUAUGCUUGUUAUUUAUUUAAUUAUAUUGUAUUUUUAUUCCUGCUUCAUUUAUUUAGUGUUUUAAUCAUCACAAUUUUGCAUGGAAACUCUAUUGAUUUAAAAUCAAGAGUUUAAAGUGUUCUUGAACCUCUAUGAGUAAAAAUUAUUAAAUGUGAAUUUAUUUUCGUUUAGUUAAUUUUGUUUGCAUUAUUAUUAUUGCUUCACUUAAUUAUUACCUUAAUCAUCACAAUUUUGCUUGAAAACCCUCUUUUUCAAAUCAAGAGUAAAAAGUGUUCUUGAACCUUCAUGAACAGAAGGGAUUAAAUGUGAAUUAAUUUUUGUUUAUUUAAAUUUAUUUGCAUUAUUAUUGCACUUAAUUAGUAUAUUAAUUACGUAUAGAAACUCAAUUGAUUCAAAAUUAAGAGUUUAAAGUGUUCUUGAACCUCUAUUAACAAAAAAGAUAAAAUGUAAAUUGAUGUUUGUUUUACAUAAAUAAUGUAUCCAAUAGCUUCCCAACGUGAGGGUGGAUAAGAUGACAAAAUCAAGCAAAUAUAUAUUGAUGUAUUUUUGUUGAUUUUCAAUUUUUUUGUUAUUUAUUUGCUAAUUCUAAAUUUACCAUUAUGUUCAUGAGAUCUAGUAGAUAAAUUUUCAUUAUUUAUUUGCUUAAUUUUGUGAAAAAUUAAAAAAAUUAUGGUAUUUUUUCGUUUUCGUUGGAACAUUUUUCUUCCAUUUUUGUUGCUACGGGAAUAAUAAUCUAAUGUGGGGUUGGAGAAGAUGAAGUCUACCACACACACCCAAAAAUUUAACUUGACACCCCCCAAAUUAAACUUGGCACCCCCAUAUUUCCAUAUUGCCAAAACUGUCCCUAAUUGAAAUUUGAAUAAAAUUUAUGUUUAAAGUUUCCGAUAGGCAAAAAGGAAAUUUGCAGUACGUACAAAAUUUUCGGUAGUGUAUUUUAAAUUUCCGAUAUACCAGAAAUUUCACAAUGUCCAAUAUGUUCCAAAUAAUUUUAAAAUUUUAAAAUUUACCGGUUGACACCGGAAAUUUCAACAAAAGUGAAAUUUCCGGUAGUCUUAUUUGCUUGAUUUUAAAAAAAUUACAACUAUCGGAAAUUUCAAAAUUUUCGAUAAAAAAUAAAAUUUUGUAUCCAUACCAGAAAAUGUUUAUAACUAUCAGAAAUUCUGAAAUUUCCGGUAAAUCAAAUGGAAAUUUGUACCAAAAUUUUUAAAAUCUUUGAUAAAUUUAAAAGCCUUAAUAUCGGGAAUUUUUGGAAUUUUUUAUACAAAAUUCCGGAGGUUUUGACUUUUACGGUAAAAAAACAUAUUUUUUUUGAAAUUUCCGGUAAUUGUUUCAAAAUUUUCGGUAUCGCCCAAGAAUUUUCAAAAUUCGCUUGAGUCCUAUAAAUUUGGGAAAUUGGUGAAGUGAUUUUGCAAGGGCAAUGUUAGCUUUUCAUAUGCAUUGGGGGUGUCAGGUUUAAUUGAGGGAGGGGGUGGCAGAAAGAAAUCUUCACACCCCUAACUACUCAGUGCACCCCUGUGAGGCCCCCUCCUUUAAGCAUAGUGCAUUUUCUUAGCUACACCCCUAAAUUUCAGUCAGUUUUUAUCUUUUCUAUAUUUUUAUUUAUUUAUUGUUUUCUUAUUAUUACUUUAUUUAUUUAUUUUUGUUUUUUUUUCUUUACUUUUUUAAUUCUUUUAUCUUUUGUAUUAAUAAUAUGCCUCUCCCUUUUAUUUUUUAUUUUAUUUUUUAAAAUUAUUAUUGCUUUAUUUUUUAGUUUAUUUUAUUAUAUUUUUAGUUGAUGUAUAAUUAUUAAUCCCAAAAGAUAAAAUGACCCUUAAAAUUGAUCUUUCAAAAAUACUAAAAUCAAAUGUGCUUGAUCAACAUCAAGUGCAUUUUUUUAAAAUCACACCAAAAUAUUUUCAAACCAAAAUCAAUUGCUUAACAUCCAUUAACCUUCACAAAUAAAAUCAAUCCUUUAAAAAAAUCAACUUGGUCAACACCAAGACUUUUUCUUUAAUAACAACCUCAUAUCAUUUUAAACUAUUUUUCAUAAUCCAUUCAAACGCAAAUCAAAUGCUUGAUCAAAUGUCAAUCUCCUUUCAUAUUCAAACCAAAUCCUCUACUCCAACGUUUUUUUUUGCAAUAAACAAAUCGAUUGAAAAAUAUUGGGGUGGAAAUAAUUUUCUUCUCCUUUCCCGAAUGUUUAUGUGAUGACCGCACUUAGCCUACCAUUUGAACAUUCGUUGGUCGUUUCAAAAUACUCUUAAAUAAACAAAUUGAGUUGAUUUCUCUUGCGGACGAAAAAGAUUAGGGUGGAAGUAAUUUUCUUCUCAUUUCCCAAAUAUUCGUGUGAUGGACGUAUUUAGCCUACCGUUUGAAUACUUGUCGCCGUUAAAGAAACAUGACUUGAUUCGCUACACAAAUUUCAUAAAUCGAUUGAAAAAGAUUGAGGUGAAAGUAAUUUUCUUUUCGUUUCCCGAAUGUUCAUGUGAUGGCCGCACUUAGUCUAUCGCUUGAAUAUUUGUCAAUCACCUAAAAUAUUCAAACAUAUUAAACCUAUCUUUUUCUCGCCCCAUGCGAUCUAAACUUUUUCAAAAAAAAAUGUAUGUCUAAUCAUUUCUAAUGCGUAUACAAACUAGCGCUUAAGUCUCUACAACAAGCAUGCAAGCCCAUGUUUAACCGUUAAAAUGCGAUCCAAGUACUUAUUCAUUAAAAAACAUCAACCAACAAACCGUAGCCUUCACCCGAACUACGAAGCUUUGAGUUCCUCAUUGUAUCUGAGAAUAUGUAGGAGUGAGACCCGUAAUCUCGUCAAGCACCCUAAUAAAAAUAUUUUUGCGACCUAUUUUCUUUUUAUUUUCUCUUUUACAUUCGAAGAAAACAGUUAACAAAAGCUAACAUUUAAUCACAAAUUUAACUAAAAGGUUCUCGUUGAGUACAACGGACGUGAGAGGUGUUAAUACCUUCCCCUUACGUAAUCGGCUCCCGAACCCGAAUUUGGUUGCGACAACCAUUUUCUUUUUUUUAAAAUAUUUUGUCGAUAUUUUCUCUUUCCUUCAUUGGAAUAAAUAAAGUACGGUGAUGACUCUGUUCGAAUCAUUUUUUUCGCGACUUCGUGAAGGAUCGUAUUUUUCGAGAUGCGAUAGAUGAGUCAUCUCAUACUUUCCUCGUAUCUCCGUGUGGGAAUUUGUUCUUAACUAUAAUGAGGAUUGGUCACAUGAUGCUGCCUUUUCCCCGCUCAGAGGGAAUUAGGUGAUCGAGCCAUACAUGAUGUAUCUUGACCGUCAUGUAGCAAAUGACAACUUAACCUCAUUACGUUAUACUAAAGAUGACUGACAUGUUGGUCACGUCUGAUGGAUCUCUAUCUGCUCGAGCGAGUGAUGCGUUAGUUUGUGUAUUUGCAGAUUAUUCUGAGACACCCCUUAGAGUCUGCUCCUCCCACUAUCUGCCAUAAAGAUCUUGAUGCGAUACUUUAGGAUUUCAAGAGUCAUUUGGUACUAGAAGACUAUCGUAGGGUGCCAACUCUUGUACACUAGACUUAUGUAGACGACUAUAUGACAUGGUUCUAUAGGGUGGCACGCCCUAUCAUGACACCGACACUCAUGUAAGAUCACAUAUGCCAUCUAAUCAAGAGGUAAUUUAGGCUAUGGAUGACCACACCCAGAACAUAAGCAAUGAUUGUCGGCGUGUUAUGAAUAUGACGAGAUCAAGCAUAUAAAUAUGACUUUUUGAGGAAGACAACCCCCAAUUUGCCCUCAUAGAAGACAUUAUUGUCGAGGCACAAAAUGCCUUGUUGUACAGGCAGAUAAGCCGAUGGAUUAUACAUACUCUGUAUGUUAUGUUUGGUUGUAUUGUUUUUUGUAUUUUUGAAAUAAUUAUGUAUGUUCAAUAUAUUUUGAUUUUACUUUAAUUAAUGUGUGACUUUUUUAAUGUAUGUGUAGCAUGUUUGAAUAAAUUAAUGUAUCUGUUUUUUAAUUUAUGGCCUAAAAAGAUCUAAAAUAUAAGUUGAUCUAAAACAUUUACAAUGUUAAGACAAUGUUAGAGCCUUGAAAGCAUUCAGGGGAUUUUCAGAGAUGUAUCUUCAAAAUAUCUCAUGUGUGGAAUAAACACACUCUUAAUACAUUUUAAAUGAUAUUUUAGAAAUGUAUCUUCGAAUAUACCACAAAAAACUUACAAAAAUACAUCUCUAAAUUAGAUUUUAAAAUAAAAUAAGAUGUGUGUCUAGAUUAAUUUUUUUUGUGUGAUUUUAAAUACGAUGAGAUAUGCAUCUCCUAACCCUAAUAAAAAUAUUUUGGAGUUAUGAGAGGGAUUGGGGGCACUCAUAAAGGUGGAACGAGCUAAACUAAUUCCCGUAAACUAUUAUUCAAGGCCCAUUAACAAUGGCCCAGCUAAUCAUCAUUGACACGUGAGAAGAGAGCCAUUGCUUCACUUACCUUACCGUCUUGCUCCGCCGUGUCUCCUCCUUGCCACGGUGCCGCUUACCUUCAUUGUCUAAUACAUCGUUAGUCCAAGUUCGUUGUCAUAUAGUUAUAUUCGGUACGUUUCUUAAACUUCCAUGCUCAUAUUUCUAGGGUUUGUUUCAUUUAUCUUUGAUUGAGUUUUGAACUAUCCAAGUUUAGUUUGACAGAAAAAUCAAAUUGUUCGCAAGGUUGCAUAUAUGAAUUGCAUCGUGUAUCUGUAAGAUUUUUCGUUCUAUUCGUAUACUUUCAAUUUACUCUCUUUAUGGUAGCAUUCAAUCCUGUAAUUAGUUACCAAUUCAUAGUGUUGGUAGAACUAUAAGAGUUUGCUUUGUGUUUGAUUCGUUUUCACAAUUAUUAGCUAUAACCUCCUUGACAGUGUUCACCUGGAAUGGAGUCUAAUUGCGGAAAUACACCUCCCAGAACACAAUGCUUGACUUCACCACUACCCCUAGCGCAUCAAGAGUUGUUGCGCCUUACAAAUUAGACAUUUGAACAAAUAAUUAUGAGUAAACACUCAAUUGAGGUCUCUUACAUGGUUUUAAAUUGUGGUCAUAGAUGUGAUUGCGGGUUUGCGAUUACGGGCAAUGCGCAUUGCGUCCGUUGGGAGGUUUGAAAUAUACAGUUUAAGAACACUUAUGUAAGAUUUUUCAUUCCAUCGGGAGUAAAUUGAGUUUUGGGAUUCUGAAAUUGUAGUUUUGGGAUUCUGAAAUUGUAGUUUUGAUAAAAAUACUUGAAGAAAUAUGGGAAAAAAUUUCUUAUAUGUAUUUCUAUAGGCGACCGGACGCAUGGUUUUAAUUCACACCGCAGUUGUAGUCCGAUGCGGUUGCAGAGGCUACUGCAUCAGCAAUAUUGCGGCUGCAAUUGCGGUUGCAGACUGAAAUUUGAUACCAUGGUCUCUCACGUUGGGUACUCGUACUCCUAUCAAGUAGUAUCAACAUGGUCUCCUACUUUAUCGACAUUCCAAAUUAGUAUCCAACUUAUCAAAACCGGGAUCAAUUUAGUCCCUAUGUUAGUUUCGGUUGAAGUGAUGAUGUGUCACGUUAAGUGACAUGUUGGCACUGAUGGACCAUUUUGAAAUUUUGAAUAUUUAUCUAAAGCAAAGAAUUCAACUGAUUCUAGUGACAAAAGUCAGAACUAUUUUGGAUAUUUACUCAAUUAGUUAAUCAUCAUAACUGUAUGACCUGAAAUGCUACUUGUAGACAAAAGCUGUGAAAAUUAACAGGAAUAUCUUGAAAACUUAAAUAUAAAAUACCCUACUUUAGUUAUAAACUAAGCACUAAUCUUUUUCCAGCAUUAUUAUAACUUAUUUUUGGUUAAUCGUGCAGGAGUUACCAUAUCUGUAGCAGAAAGAGAGGAGUUUGACAGGUUGCAGAGAAGAAAGUAGAAAGAAGAGUCAAUUUAUUUGUGCUACAACACAGGGCUGUGGGUGAUGGGAAGCAGCGGCCAAGGAGAGGUUGUGGUUGGUAAAGAAGAGGUUAUCGCUAAACUCAAGGAUGAUGGCGACUUCGACAAGCUUCGUUUAAAGAUCAUUCGUAAGCUCAAGGACAAUGUAUGCUUGACUCCAAAUUCCCUAUUUAUAUGAAAUUUCAAAUUUGUACUUCUUCUGAUGUAGUCUGUAUCUAACUAACCAGGCUAUGAAUAUGGUAAUAAUAUUCUAAAUCAGACUUGCGAUUGGUUUGAAAUAUCUUGUUAUUGAGUUUUUGUGGCUUUGUGUAAUGGACCAUUUGGUUUCUGAGUUUGCGUAUUUUCUAAUUUAAAAAAUACCAAAUAUAAAUCUGAAUCUGCCGAUUCAUGACAGGAAGAGCUACGACAAUAUAUUACCUCAAUCGUUAAACAGUCAGAGGCGCUCAAUCGUGCUGGAGCAGAAAAUAUGAAACCUAGACAGCUUUCUGAUGUCAUAUAUGAAGAAGUUGGGUAAGUUUUUCCCGCACCUAGUGUCUUUGUAAAUUGCAUUUCCACAUUUGUACUCUUGAUUCUUGAUGUUCCUACCGAAAUUGCAUUUUGUUUUCAUGUUGUGACUCUGUGCAGUUGAGUCAGUUGAGGUUAUGUGGGAACUGUAUUAUUAUUUUGCGUCUAAUUUUUUUCCAGUGAGAAUGUAAUGAGCCGCAUAUCAGAUAGUUUAUGGCAAAUAAUCAGAUCAGAUGACGGCAUGAAAGGUGAAAUCACCGAAACAGUGCAAUCUGUCUACGAUAAGCUGGCAAACCCCAAAGGGAAAGAUGACGUUCUUUUAUCAACAUCUGAUGCAAUGCCAGGUCAGACUCAGGGUGAGACAGCUUCAGCUACUGAGAAUGACGAUUCUUUGCAUGAAAAUGAGCCGCAAGAGCCGCCAGGUUUCACUCUUGUACUGAAUCAUCCGAAUAAUAACAACCAUGAGGAUCAAGAUAAAGAGAAGGCACAAGUUCAGAGGCAAAGGUCGACUGCAGAGUGCAAGGAAGAUUCCCACCCGUCACAGGAUACACUUGUUGAAGAUGAUCAUAACAUUGCGCCUUCUGGAUUUUCAAAAGACAUGGAGCAUAGUCCAGUAGCUGAUUGUAGUGAUGAAGACCCUGAUGUACCGCCUGGUUUUGGUUGACGAAUUGAAAGGUAAUUUUUUUUCACAAUUAUUAUGAUAGUUUUGAGAGAUAGUGGUUUUGCAAGCACAAAUUAGCUUUUGAAAAUUAUAUCUCUUAACAAAUAAUGAAAGGACACAUUAUUUUUCAAUCUAACCUAUGUUUAUUCACUUUAUCAUUUUUAUUUUUUUUAUUUGACACUUUUCUAAAAAAGUGUCUAACAACAAAUUGCGAUUCAAGGAUUCUUAAUCAUGAUAGAUUAAGAGCAAAUACGUCCUCAUUCAUUAGUGAUACUCAAUAAUUAACACUCCAAGAAGAAAACAACACGGUUAGCUAGCAAACUAAACCCAAGGCCUAAUAACACUUAUAUGGAUUGAUUGAUUAUCAUAAAUUUAUAUAUCUGUUGCCAUGAAUUUUCUUGUGGUACACGUUGACAGAUAUUGCAAAUCAAAAGUGGUCACCAACUUAAACUUGUGGCAAACCGAAUAAUGUCUUUGAUAGAUAAAUAAAUUAAUAUUAUAAUCCAUGGAAAUAAUGAAGUGUCGAUUUGUUUAGCAUACUUUAGUAGUACUUAUAGAGAUUGACACAUUGGUUGCCACAACAUACAGAUAAGAAAAAGUAGAGGAUCCAGCGAUUAUAAGACAAUCAUCUUUUAAUGUUUACUAAAAAGCAGAGUAAAACUAACCCAUUUGAUAGCAUAAUUUGGUUUAGACAUGAUAUAAUAUCCCGCAUUCAUAGAGAUUCUUACAAACCUUUCUUGAGUUUGACAAAGAAAAUAUACUUUGAUUUGACAAAGAAAAUAUACUUUGAUUGAGUUUGAGUUUAAAUUUGAUUUUUUUUUUCAAUUACAAAAUACGACGGAUUGGAUAAUAGAAACAUUAUUAUUCAUCCUGAAUCUGCCUCAUUCAUUUUAUUAUGUUAUUGAAAGAUUGUCUCUAGCCUGCAAGAUUGUGCUAUUGAAAGAUUCAUUAUGGUACAAUUUUUUUUUUGAAAUUUGUAUACAAAUGUCUUAGACAUAUUCUAUGUUCAAUGAACUCAAACAUCUCUUCAAAAAUAGCAACAAGAUCCUCCACAAAUAAACAAUAUGGUAUAACAGACCCUUCACGAACUACACAAUAUACACAAAAUACACCGAUACAAAUAAGCAUAAUGCAUGAUAUCUUUUGUUGAUCUGAUAUAAAUACAUAUCUUUUAUGUUGACCAAUAUCUUCCGUAAGCAGCUGUAAGAACCACCUCCAACUUUUUUUACUCCCAGUCUCCACAACGCCAAAUGCUAAUGGAAAGUACUGGUCAUUUGGAUCCUUAACUGCAACAGUAAGUAAUUUGCAACCAUACUUUGUCUUCAAAUGACACUCAUCCACUCUAAUAAAGGGUCGACAUCCAUUAAAAAAAUACUUUCUUACAACCAUCAAAAGAGAAAUAAAAACUACCAAACCUUGGUGAAAUGGUUGGAAGUGGUCUCACAACAUUAAUUUUCACAGUAUUUCCAUUACUUUGGUCCCAACUUAUGCAGCGUACCUCCAUAACAUAGAAUACUAUUUAGCUAGAUCACCUUCAAUAAUUUCCCUAGCUAUAUGCUUGGCCCUCCAUGGUCUUUGAUAUGGGGUAAAUGCAUCAUUUUUCUUACUUGUUUUAUUUCCAUUUGCAUGAUUGUUUGCAUAAUUUUAGUUCGCUUUUAUGCGUUUUUGUCAUCCUUUUGUGUUUUUAGGUAAUAAGAGGUCAAAUGAUCGAAUCAGAACAAAAAAUACCAAAAAUCGCACGAAAAGGGAUCCCUUCCAUACGAAUUUCCCGAUACCAACACGACUUUGUUGUGUCCCAUGAUAUGGGCCGUGUUGGCCCUCAACACUGCUCCCAUACAAAGAAAGAGAGGCUGACACGGCCAACUUGUGUCCUCUGACAUGACUUGUGUCAGCUUUCCAGGUAGUUUCAAACUCUUGAAUUUUUCGAUUGUUUUUGUGACAUUUGAAACUUUGUAACCCCUAAGACAUUAUGUUAGUGUUUAAUGAUGAUUAUGCACGAAUUAAUGGCGUUUAAAGCACAAAAUUAUUGUUGUUUACGAGGGAUUUACAAUUAGUUUUAGUAUAAAUAAGACUUGAGUUUCAAGCAAAAAGAUAGAGACAUUUUGGGGGGAGACGUUAAAGAGGCCUAGCAGUGAGACUUAACAAACUCUAUCCUCCAUCACUUGUACAACUUUUCACUUAGGCUUUGUUUGGAUUGAUGGAAUCGAAUGGAACAGAGCGGAAUGAGAUGGAGUGGAAUUAUAUUCCAUUGUCUGGAUCACUUAAAAUGCGAUGGAGCGGAGUGGUAUGGAUUCCAUUCCAUUCCAUCACUUACCAUCAUAUUUCUUCUCCUCCAAUUUGGACGGAAUGAACAACUUGCCUUAUUCCAUUCUAAAAUUUCCAAACAAUGGAAUGGGGCAUUCAUUCCGCUCCGUCCUACUCUGCUACACUCCAUUCUGCUCCGUUCAUUUUAUGAUAUCCAAACAUAGCCUUAGAUCAUUUCAUACAAUUGUUAUUUUCUUGAGUUCUUGGCUUCAAGCUCUUGCUACUCUUUUGUAAUUUUCUACACUUUUCUUAUAAUCUUGCUUUCAUUUUUAUUAUUUCCUUUACUUGUCUUAAUUUAUUUAUUCUUAUUGGAAUAUUUCUAAUAUUUGUUAUUGUUGUUGCUUUCUGUUUACCUUGAAAAUUGAUAAACAACCGCUGAUCUUCCAAAUUUUAAAUUUGGUUACUCACAGGAUCGAUCAGAUUGAUCCUAGGACAUGUGCUAACUGUUUUUAAAGUGAAUUCUAGUAACUAUGAACACUUCGACAAUGUAUGUGGAACUGAUGAUUAAAACCUAGAUAGUAAAAAGAUAAUAUGAAUUAAAGAGAAAAAUUGUAAAAGAACGUGAUGAUAACCAAGUAGCAAAGGCAAAUGUUCGAAACAAAGAAGUAUUAAGACUGUUUGAAAUAACGAAAUAACAAAGACGGCUUGAAAUAAAGAAGUAAAAAGAUGUAUUUCUAAAAAAGUAAAGGUAAAUUGUAUUGCUUCAAAAGAACUAACAACGGUGUAAACAAGCGUAUAUUUCUUAAUUUACGGUUCCUCUUCACACUGGUACUUGGUAAAUUUUACAGACUCUGUACACACUUUGACACACCCUUGAUCCUAACACUAAGACCCUUUAUUUACACUCAAUCAAAAUAACCGUUUCUAACGACCCUUCAAUCACGUCGAGACACAUGGCAUUUUGCAUGGAUGCAACUAUCCAUUAUGCCUCACGUAUACCUUUGAUCGCGACUUUGGUAAGUCUAUGUGAAUCGUGACUGCAAGUGCACAGUCCUAUCGCCUAGUUUUAUAGAUUAUCGAACCCAUAAGGACUAAUAAUCGAACGUAUCGUGGUCUAAUGUUGCUAUGCAAAUCUAAGGCUGAUGAUUGUUCUAUGAUUGGAGGGAUGAAGAGAAAUAACUAUAAUGUAAAUAGAAUAAAGAUAUGAGAUAUAAGGGAUAUCGGUAUGUAAUACAUCAAACUUAGGGGAUUCGAUAGAUAAUUGGUGUAAUAUUAUUGAUUAAAAUAUUCUUCAGUAGAAAUUAUUUAUAGAAAGGACUUAGUCUCACACUCUCGUUUUUAUUGACUCUGACCAUACUUCUAAACCAGAAUGAUUGGCUCUCGCGGUCUCAUUUUGAAUUUAAAAGUAUUUUUUGAAUAUAGAUAAAGUCUAAUUAAUCAUAAAGCGCUCUCGCUGUGUUUAGGAUCAAUGCUUAGUUUCAGUUAUCUGGUUAAAAUCUCAAACUCUCGUUCUUGUUGACCGUAACCUUAGUUUGUUUUGUACUCUCGUACGAAAAACAGUUUGAUUAAAAUAAGAAACUAAAACCGGAAAAAUAAGUUUAUUUGUUUUGUACUCUCGUACGAAAAACAGUUUGAUUAAAAUAAGAAACUAAAACCGGAAAAAUAAGUUUUAUAAAAACUAACACCAAUUAUUUAUUGAAUCCCGUCGUUUCGACGGUCUUUACAUACGGAUAUCUAAGGGUUUAGCCGGACAUAGAUCCGGUAGCAGACAUGGCAAUUGGGGAAUUAAACAUACAGUAAGGCAUACAUAAAUAAAAUAAUAAUCAAUAAUAAACCUGGAUUGCAAUCUAAGACUUGGAAUUGAAUCUUGAAUCUUCGAUUAAAUAAUUCCGGCAAGCUUUGACAAUGAAUACCUUACAAUUGAGUCCCAAAUACGUAAAAAAUAAUAAACCGUAAUAGUCCCCGAUGUGGAGAAACUAUCACUUUUACAAUGGUAAGAAAACUGUCUAAAAAAACUAAAAGAAAAAUAGUGUUGAACAAUAUUAAGCGUAGACUUGAAAUCUGGAAGAAGAGAGAGAGUGCUCGUGCGAGUCUGAGAGAGUCUUUUUUAUAUCCUUUCCAUAUUCCUCAUUUGUAGCAAAAGUAGUGAAAAUCGUGGCUAAAAAAGUGGAGGAAAAAUAGGAAGACUAGGUUGUGGCGGUUGCCACAACCCUAGCUUCAUGUUGAGUGGCAAGCGCCACUCUUGUAGCAACUGCCCACCACUUCUCAAGGGUUGGUGGCGGACGCCACCUCCCUAUUGGGCCUAUGUGGCGGGUGCGACACUCUUUGGAUAAUGGACGCCACAAACCCAUCUGCUUUGGUGGUCCAUUAUCACUUUGGAAACCUCAUUUUCUUCUCUUUUCUUGCCUUUUUCUUUCCUUUUUGCUAUUUUCCAUUUUUCUUGUAGUAAACCUUUUAAUCGAUAAAUACCUGCAAUAAAGAUAAAAUACUGUGUAAUAAUAAGUGUUAAUCGAGUAAAAAGCAAUGCAUAUGGAGCCAAAAAUACGAUACGUUUUCGCGGUAUCAAACUCCCUCAUACUUAAACCUUUGCUUGUCCUCAAGCAAAUGCCGCGUACAUAAAAAGUUUUGUAAAAUAUUUGCAGCAUAUAUUAUCAAGACUCGUAGAAAACACAGUUGCAUUCAGAUACUCAUUCUAGUCUAUAAACUUUACUUUGGUUCCAAAUUGUAUUAACAGGUACUUACUUCCACAAUAAGGGUAUCGUUAGAACACACAAUCGCAAUGUUGCAACCAUAAGUCUCCCUCCUAUACAAACCAAUCUAAAUCAUGUUGUCAUGCCUAAGCGUACCUUACUAAACCUUCUUUUUAUCCUUUUUCAUUCUGGCGCAAUCACAUUAAGUCUGUUAUCCUUUCACAUUCUUAGUAAGAUAGUUUGUUAGUGAUUAUGAUCUCAUCAUUAUUUAUUAAUUUCUUUUUCGCACUUUGGCUCAAAUAACAAUUGAAGAUGGUCAUACCGUUGGGCUAAAUGACUGGGUGAGGAUCACCUAACUUAGAGGGAACAACGUUUUUCAUACAUUUCGUAAUCUUUUCUUCUUUUAAGCCUGAAAUCAUACACUUAUUUGCAUCGACUUCUUGCGUACUGUGUGCUUAAGAUGAUGCUGACUGCUAGAUAAACUACUUAAGGAAAUAUUAAAGGAUAGAAUUUAAGCCUAUGACAUGACAAGUACUCAAAUCGAUCUUAUACUCGGGAGAUUUAAGGUGUUAAAAAGAUACCGAUCUUAUAAAGCUUUUCCAAAUCUCUACAAUUCAACCUCAGUUUGAUUUAUAGUUCAGAAUUUUCAAAAGAUGCACUGUAUCUCUAAGUCUAGAUUUUUGCAAAAUUUUUGUAUGGCUUAAAAAAUAGGAGAAUCAGUAAAUAACGGAAACCACGCAUAAAGACUCGACAAUACAUUGAUAUUUAACUCGACUAACACUUUAACAAAAAUUAAAAUAACCAUAGAAAUUAUAAAAUAACAAAAAUAAAUAACAAGCGAUAAAUAAAAAGCGGUAAAGCUUCCUCCCCCAUACUUAAAUCUUGCAUUGUCCCCAAUGCAACGACAUAAGAUAGGAGAGAAAGGUAGAACCUGGUUAUUCUGCUAUUGACGACGUCUGUCACGUGUACGUGGACGUCCACUGUUUCUUGGCUGGUGAGGUGGCAUAUAGUUCUGGAGAUCUUCCACACGCAUUGUCAGUGUUGUCAUUUCAUCGAUCAAGUCAGACAUGUUCUGUUCGGUUCUGAAAGCGUAGUCGUGCUUAUCAUGCUGCAUUUGGCGAAGGAUUUGCAUCAUUUCAGUUUGUUGAGCUCCCAUGGUUUGGAUCUGUAGGUCUCGCUGAGCGUCUAAUUCUCUAUGCCGCAGCAGUUCAGCAUAGAUCUCAUCAAGAGUGGUUGGUGCCACAUUUCUUCUUGGUCUUUGACUGGAAGAUGUACCUGCAACAUUUUCAAAUGACGUGUGUGUGGUGUGCGGGUCAGUAGCGGGAGCAGUUUGCUCUAGAAUGUGAUCCUCAUCGGUGUCCCCGCCAGCAGCUACAUUCUCAGGAAUGUGCGCGAGGACUUGGUUAGGCACCAGAUCAUUAAUAUAAUAAUAGUUAUCCGGGUUGCGCACAUCUGUGCGAUUUGGAUUUAGGAGGAUAAAUUCUUGUAACACAUUAUUAA
RNAcentral lists this long non-coding RNA (89782 nucleotides) under Lathyrus oleraceus (garden pea). Its description in RNAcentral is "Pisum sativum (pea) long non-coding RNA (PSAT_LNC033087)". The stretch from base 23937 to 24043 matches the Rfam family "Plant small nucleolar RNA R71". The record is from RNAcentral. Lineage: Eukaryota; Viridiplantae; Streptophyta; Magnoliopsida; Fabales; Fabaceae.